RNAcentral lists this long non-coding RNA (114465 nucleotides) under Hordeum vulgare. RNAcentral describes it as "long non-coding RNA (HVUL_LNC001450)". Lineage: Eukaryota; Viridiplantae; Streptophyta; Magnoliopsida; Poales; Poaceae. The record is from RNAcentral.
GGAGCUCUGCGCCGCGCAGGUGGCUGGCUCCGGCUCGACGCGCCGGAGAUCUGCCGCCUCGCGCGGCUCAACCACGCGUUCCGCGGCGCCGCGGGGCAGACUUCGUGUGGGAGGCCAAGCUGCCGGAGAACUACCGCCACCUCAUCGGGUACGUCGAGGGCGGGGCGAGGAGGGCAGGCGCCGGCGCCGCCGGGCCGGCACCAAGGAGAUCUACGCCAGGCUCUCCAGGCCCGUCUCUUUCGACGACGGCACCAAGGUUAGAUAUUCUUCUACAUGAAUAUAGGUCCCUUUCCAUGUGCUUGUCUAUGAUUUUUUUUCUUUUUGCAACGCAAACAAGACCCCUCAUGAGCUUGUCUAUAUGAUUUUGGCCAAUCAGUUUUGUGCUUGAAUCAUUGUUAUUAUUUACCGAGUCUGAUGUCUUAAUCCACGUAUCUGUUUAGUACUAGCCAAAUAUUGACAUCUGAAUCGUUUCAGAGUUAAUUAGUGUCAAGGGGAAGAACUCAUCUAAAACUAUUUUGAAACAAUUUCAGCACCGAAAACUAUCUUGGUUCCCUUUUUAUCUAUAGGAGCUAGAACUAUUUUUAGUGCUAAAUGGUUUAUAUUUUGUGUGCUUUGUAAUUGCAGGAAUUUUGGCUAGAGAAGAGCAAAGGUAGGGUUUGUAUGGCGCUAUCCUCCAAAGCUCUGGUCAUAACUGGCAUCGAUGACAGGAGAUAUUGGACGCACAUGCCGACCACAGAAUCAAGGUAAAAACUCGAUCUCGCGCUUACAGUUUGUGCCAGAAAGAUGUGAUGUUUGGGUUGCAACUUGCAAUUGAAUGACGUAACUACAUACUUAAUGGCGAGAUUGAGCUGUUCGUCUUUUGUUGUAGAAGAUGGGACAGAGUUGGACUUGCACGUCUACUUCUGCAUUUUAGUCCAACUUGCACGUCUACUUCUGCAUUUUUCUUCCUCGGAGCACACAAGGCUUUUGAAAUUAUGCCCCUGUACAUUUAAUUGUCGCUGGUUUAGUCCAACUCUGUACCGAAUCAGCUACAAUUAAUAUGGAUUUGAGGGAGUACGCUGUUCUCAUUUCUUGUUUAAAAUACACUCACUUUGCCUGUUGCUCUGAUAGACACAUAAAUUCAACAUAGACGAGUGAUGUCUGCCUUUAUCUUACCAGUGCUAUCAAAACGUAACUUAGAUGUAGUCCUUCCAACUGAUGGCACGAGAAGUAUGUGCCUACUCUGCCAGUGGAAGAUAUUGACUCCUCACACAGAUGUAAUUAUAUUCAUCUGUGCAAUAUCUUUCAAUGUAAUUAUAUUCUAACACAGCAAAGAUGCAUGAUAUCUUGUUCCUAGAACGGUUAUCUGACCUAUGUGUACCCAUUAUGCUCAUGCAGGUUCCAGUCCGUGGCAUACCUUCAGCAAAUCUGGUGGUUUGAAGUGGUUGGAGAGCUUGAUUUCUGCUUCCCUGUGGGAACCUACAGUUUGUACUUCAGGGUUCAUCUCGGGAAGUUCAGCAAGCGGUUUGGACGCCGUGUUUGUAGCACUGAGCACGUCCAUGGUUGGAACAAGAAGCCGGUGCGCUUCCAGCUCUCCACCUCGGACGGCCAGAAUGCAUUAUCUCAAUGCUACCUGGACGAGCCCGGGAGUUGGGUUCUGUACCAUGCAGGCGAUUUUGUUUCCUCGAAGCCAGGCCAAUCACUUAAGCUGAAGUUCUCCAUGGCGCAGAUCGACUGCACGCACACGAAAGGUGGCCUGUGUGUCGACUCGGUGCUCGUGUACCCCAAGGGCUUUCAGCAGGAGAAGGUGGUGACCGGCAAGAUCUCGGAGAUGAGAUCGUAGUUGUAGUGGUGGUGGCGCUUGCACCGCUAGAGUUGUAGAGAAAAUGCAGCUUGCAGCCCAAUCCUAUUAUCAAGUUGGGCUCUAGUAUGCAACGGAUGAAACUGUCUGUGUAAAGAACUGUAGACUCAGGGUCUGUGUGGUGAGGUACGUCAGUCAGAGUGGUUUGUGUGUCGUCCAGUCUUCCCAUGGGUAAUUUUUUCUCUCCCUGGUGCUAAAUGAGACUUUGAAGCUACGGAUGCAACGGUUGUACUGAAACGAGAUCAGAGGUUUCGUUUCCAUGUUCCUGGUUUCUUGUUCCUUGUCAUAAACUUCUGUUUUCUUGCUGCUAUUAGCCUUAGUUAAGAUGACUGGAAGAUCUGUGGUACUUACUCUCCGUGUUGACUUGAUUAUGUUGUUGGAAUGGCCAUGUUUCUUUGUCCGGUCAGAUUUGGCAGGCUUGGAGAACUACAAUUAUUUAGGAAGGGAGGGAGGCGAAUGGCGUUUUGGAGGCCGAGCUUCAUGGAGGCCUUUAUUUUGAAAAUUUAAAUUCAAAUUUUUAUGGUUCAAAAAUUCUGAAAAAAAUAUGCAUGUAUGUAAGGAUGUAACCGACAUGUGUGUAAAAUUUCAGGUCAAAAUACUUUAAAACGUGAUAUGUACAAAAAGACAAAUUCAUGGUCUGAAAUGAUGAAUAGUAACAUGUGUUAAACAGCUCUUUUUUGCACAGCCCUCAUUUUAAGGUAUUUUGUUCUGAAAAUUUAUACACUUGUGUAUUAUACCUUCAUUUAUCUAUGUAUUUUUUCAGAAUUUUUUGGAACAUUAAAAUACAAUUUUUAUUGAAUUUGAAGAAUUUAAAGGCCUUCAGUGAGCUCGGGAGUAGCUUUGUGGUAACAUAACUGCAAAAUGCUACUACUAGCACUACUGACCUCAUGACUGAUCUAUCUACUUCAUGUUGUGCCAGUUCCCAUUCUAGGACAGGCAUUUUGCAAGUGUACAUGAUUACGUACCUAUAGUAAAAAGAAGUAAAGCGUGAAGGCAAUAAUACAUGUCGCUGCUGCUCGAUCCGUCUGGAAGUUUUCCCCAACCUUUUCGAAAUAAAUAGAUAAGGUUUUGCCUAAUUGGCAUACAUGGCUUUCUUCCGUUGUCUCGACUAUAUUCAGCUGUCACAUGUCCCCCUCGCAACUUUGUGGAUUCUCUCUUCUCUCUUUCAUCGUCACCGCCACGAUCUUCGCCCUUUGUUAAUCGCCAUCACAGCCACGACCUUUCACGAUUUGUUUAACACCAAAAAGCUUCACCUUUUCUUAAGUUUCUCUGAGGAAUCAACGGCGCUGGGUCGCUGUCCCGGGUUAGAUUAGAUACGCAGGGGAGACGCGAGUUUUCUAUCCCAUCUCACGGAUGCGAUCACACACACACACACACACCAAUUUUGCACGGUUGACGUCGCUAAUUCUUCUCACUUUCUUCCGAUCUCUCCAUAGAACAGAAACAUUUGAAUAUGGCUUCUGCUUUUCAUCAGACUUGUGGCCUGGGGCGGUGCUGCGCGCAUGCGCUCGAGUUGGUGCCCGGGGAAACAGAAGGGAUCCCAUGACGCGGCUCUCCGCUGGCGGCAUCGGCUUUCAGCGUGCCCAAGGUUUGGUUGGAUUCGCCGUGGUGCCCGCACCAUUUUCUAUGGCACCGGCAGACCAUCAUGAGGCUGGCUCUGCGCUCUUGCUUUGUCGUGUCGCCCCGGCAGUUAUGCCUGCGCCCCGAGCCGUCCGUUGGACCGACCAACCAUCGCUCUGUUGCAUGCGGUAGUGGUGCAGGUCGGGAGCUUUUGGGCGACGGGUGCACUGCUGACAGCCGUGACAGGGGACGGGGCCGGAGGCGUGCUCGACGCCAAGAGAUGAUCGGUUCGUGCGGACGGUGCUCACGGACGUACGCUUUUGACUCCAAGCGACCGCACGCAUGGGCAUACGGUUUGCCGUUUUUUACUUUCGAAUUUUGCCGGUUUCAGGGUUUAGAAUGAACGCACGCUUUUCCACGGUCAGAAGUGCAACGCGACGUCAACUGGACUUGUGGCUUUGGCAAACCACGACGCCGCGUCAAAACCCGCAUGUCUGGUUUCUGACUGUGGUAUACUCGACCAGUUUUCCUUGUCGUGGCAACGACUUUGAUCCUUGUUCGCGUGAUGCCAAAUGCCAAUUCUUUUCACGUGUCCAUGCAUACCACUUUUUAUUUAUUUUACUCACUGUAUAGUUAUAGUAUAGUAUGGUCUAAUAUAGUAUAGUAUCAUUUUGACCUUGGACACAUUAGGAGCACGCGCGUGUCCAUGCAGGCCACUUCUUUUCUCAUUACUCAUCGUGCAGUAUAGUAUUAUUUCGACCUUGGACAAAUUAGGAGCAAGCACCAUUGAACUUUUUACAUGUUCAUGCAUAGUUUUUAUUUUAUUUUACUCAUGCAUGUCACUUCUUUUUCUCAUUACUCACCGUGCAAUAUACUCCAUCCGUUCCAAAAUAUAAGAUCUUUUAGGUAUUUCAUUGAAGACUACACACGAAACAAAAUGAAUGAAUCUAUACACUAAAAUAUGUUUAUGUACAUCCGUAUGUAGUUUAUAGUACAAUCUCUGAAAGGUCUUAUAUUUAGGAACGAAGGGAGUAGUAUUAUUUCGACCUUGGACAAAUUAGGCCCUGUUUGGAACCAUAAUAGAUUAUAAUAAUCUGGUUUAUGAACAUAGAUUGUAUAAACUGGUUUAUAAAAAUAAUCUAGGUGGGCAUGUUUGGAGGCCAGAUUAUAUAAACUGUAAACCAGCUUUUAAAUUGUGCAAUGACAUGUUUGCCCUCUGUUUUUUUUGCGAUGGGAAAACGGUGCGGUGGCAGUACCUUGUAAAUAGCUCAAAGUUAAUAAGGGUAACAUGUCUUUAUUAAUCCAUAAUCUGAUUUUAGCUGGGUUAGAGUAGCUUAUGAGUUUUUAAUAAUCUGAUCAUCUAGUUUUAUAAUCUAUAGUAUAAACUGCCCUGUUUGAAAACAUAAUAGCUUAUAAAAACCAGAUUACAUAAACUGGAUGAAUCCAAACAGGGCCUUAGGAGCAAGCACCAUUGAACUUUUUACAUGUUCAUGCAUAUAGUUUUUAUUUUAUUUUAUUCAUGCAUGUCACUUCUUUUUCUCAUUACUCACCAUGCAGUAUAGUAUUAUUUCGACCUUGGACAAAUUAGGAGCAAGCAUCAUUGAACUUUUACGUGUUCAUGCAUAGUUUUAUUUAUUUUACUCAUUGUCUAGUAUUUUCUCUGUAGCUAAAUAAUUAGAGUUGAUUUAAAAAAAAAUCUAACUAUAAUUAUUUAGGUAUAGAGGAAGUAUGGUAUGGUAUAUUUUAUUUUGACCUUGAACAAAUUAGGAGCAAGCGUCCGUGACUUCAUGCACAUGCCUUAUUUAAACGUAUAGAUUAGUUUGACGGGGUUGGGGAUACCCAUACCCUGUGCUAUAUAAUUUAUUUAUUUUUCACGUGUCCAUGCAUGUCACUUUUUUUUCAUUACUCACUGUGCACUAUAGUUUUAUUUCGACCUUGGACAAAUUAGGAACAAGCACCAUUGACUCUGCAUGCCUUAUUUGAACGUAUAUAAAUUAUUUAANNNNNNNNNNNNNNNNNNNNNNNNNNNNNNNNNNNNNNNNNNNNNNNNNNNNNNNNNNNNNNNNNNNNNNNNNNNNNNNNNNNNNNNNNNNNNNNNNNNNGCUGCCUUGAAAAAGUUGUCUCAAAUCAGCCCUAAUUGCUCCAUUUAUAUAGGAGGAGGGAGGGGAGUCUUGCCUUGAGGCUCAAGGAGCCCCAAGGGCUGCGCGACUAAGGGAGGAGGAGUCCUCCUCCAGUCCUAGUCCAACUAGGAUUGGAAAGUGGAGUCCUUCUCUCCUUUCCCACCUCCUUUUUUUCCUUUCUCUUUGAUUUUCUAUCCUUGGCGCAUAGGGCCCUCUUGGGCUGUCCCACCAGCCCACCAAGGGCUGGUGCGCCACCCCAAGGCCUAUGGGCUUCCCCGGGGUGGGUUGCCCCCCCGGUGAACAUCUUGAACCCAUUCGUCAUUCCCGGUACAUUCCCGGUAACUCCGAAAACCUUCCGGUAAUCAAAUGAGGUCAUCCUAUAUAUCAAUCUUCAUUUCCGGAUCAUUCCGGAAACCCUCGUGACGUCCGUGAUCUCAUCCGGGACUCCGAACAACAUUUGGUAACCAACCAUAUAACUCAAAUACGCAUAAAACAACGUCGAACCUUAAGUGUGCAGACCCUGCGGGUUCGAGAACUAUGUAGACAUGACCCGAGUGACUCCUCGGUCAAUAUCCAAUAGUGGGACCUGGAUGCCCAUAUUGGAUCCCACAUAUUCUGCGAAGAUCUUAUCGUUUGAACCUCAGUGCCAAGGAUUCAUAUAAUCCCGUAUGUCAUUCCCUUUGUCCUUCGGUAUGUUACUUGCCCGAGAUUCGAUCGUCAGUAUCCGCAUACCUAUUUCAAUCUCGUUUACCGGCAAGUCUCUUUACUCGUUCCGUAAUACAAGAUCCCGCAACUUACACUAAGUCACAUUGCUUGCAAGGCUUGUGUGUGAUGUUGUAUUACCGAGUGGGCCCCGAGAUACCUCUCCGUCACACGGAGUGACAAAUCCCAGUCUCGAUCCAUACUAACUCAACGAACACCUUCGGAGAUACGUGUAGAGCAUCUUUAUAGUCACCCAGUUACGUUGCGACGUUUGAUACACACAAAGCAUUCCUCGGGUGUCGGUGAGUUAUAUGAUCUCAUGGUCAUAGGAACAAAUACUUGACACGCAGAAAACAGUAGCAACAAAAUGACACGAUCAACAUGCUACGUCUAUUAGUUUGGGUCUAGUCCAUCACGUGAUUCUUCUAUUGACGUGAUCCAGUUAUCAAGCAACAACACCUUGUAUAUAAUCAGAAGACCUUGACUAUCUUUGAUCAACUGGCUAGCCAACUAGAGGCUUGCUAGGGACAGUGUUUUGUCUAUAUAUCCACACAUGUAUAUAAGUCUUCAUUGAAUACAAUUAUAGCAUGGACAAUAAACGAUUAUCUUGAUACAGGAAUUAUAAUAAUAACUAUAUUUAUUAUUGCCUCUAGAGCAUAAUUCCAACAGUCUCCCACUUGCACUAGAGUCAAUAAUCUAGCCCUCACAUCAUCAUGCGAAUUACAUUGUAAUAAAUCUAACACCCAUACAGUUCUGGUGUUGAUCAUGCUUUGCCCGUGGAAGAGGUUUAGUCAGCGGGUCUGCUACAUUCAGAUCCGUGUGCACUUUGCAUAUAUUCACGUCCUCCCCUUCGACGUAGUCGCGGAUGAGGUUGAAGCGUCGUUUGAUGUGUCUGGUCUUCUUGUGAAACCGCGGUUCCUUUGCUAAGGCAAUGGCACCCGUGUUGUCACAGAACAAGGUUAUUGGAUUCAGUGCGCUUGGCACCACUCCAAGAUCCGUCAUGAACUGCUUCAUCCAGACACCCUCCUUUGCCGCCUCCGAGGCCGCCAUGUACUCCGCUUCACAUGUAGAAUCAGCUACGACGCUUUGCUUGGAACUGCACCUGCUUAAUGCACCCCCAUAAGAAUAAAUACGUAUCCGGUCUGCGACUUAGAGUCGUCCGGAUCUGUGUCAAAGCUUGCAUCGACGUAACCCUUUACGGCGAGCUCUUCGUCACCUCCAUACACGAGAAACAUCUCCUUAGUCCUUUUUAGGUACUUCAGGAUAUUCUUGACCGCCGUCCAGUGAUCCACUCCUGGAUUACUCUGGAACCUGCCUGCCAUACUUCUGACUAGGCUAAUGUCCGGUCUAGUGCACAACAUUGCAUACAUGAUAGAUCCUAUGGCUGAAGCAUAGGGGACGGUGCUCAUAUGCUCUCUAUCUUUAUCAGUUGCUGGGCACCGAGUCUUACUCAAUCUCGUACCUUGUAAAACUGGCAAGAACCCUUUCUUGGACUGUUCCAUUUUGAACCUCUUCAAAACUUUAUCAAGGUAUGUGCUUUGUGAAAGUCCUAUCAGGCAUUUCGAUCUAUCCCUGUAGAUCUUUAUGCCUAGAAUGUAAGCAGCUUCUCCUAGGUCUUUCAUAGAGAAACUUUUAUUCAAGUAAUCCUUUAUGCUCUCCAAAAACUCUACGUUGUUUCCAAUCAGCAAUAUGUCAUCCACAUAUAAUAUUAGAAACGCCACAGAGCUCCCACUCACUUUCUUGUAAAUACAAGAUUCUCCAACCACUUGUAUAAACCCAAAUGCUUUGAUCACCUCAUCAAAGCGUUUGUUCCAACUCCGAGAUGCUUGCACCAGUCCAUAAAUGGAUCGUUGGAGCUUGCACACCUUGUUAGCAUUCUUAGGAUCGACAAAACCUUCGGGUUGCAUCAUAUACAACUCUUCCUUAAGGAAACCGUUAAGGAACGCCGUUUUGACAUCCAUCUGCCAGAUUUCAUAAUCGAAAAAUGCAGCUGUUGCUAACAUGAUUCUGACGGACUUAAGCAUCGCUACGGGUGAGAAUGUCUCAUCGUAGUCAACUCCUUGAACUUUUGAAAACCUUUUGCCACAAGUCGAGCUUUAUAAACGGUCACAUUGCCGUCAGCGUCCGUCUUCUUCUUAAAGAUCCAUUUGUUCUGAAUAGCCUUGCGGCCCUCAGGUAGUACUUCCAAAGUCCACACUUUUUUUCAUACAUGGAUCCUAUCUCGGACUUCAUGGCCUCCACCCAUUUGUUGGAAUCUGGGCCCACCAUUGCUUCUUCAUAAUUUGCAGGUUCAUUGUUCUCUAACAACAUGAUUGACAAAACGGGAUUACCGUACCACUCUGGAGCAGCACGUGGUCUCGUCGACCUGCGUGGUUUGAUAGGAACUUGAACCGGAGUUUCAUGAUCAUUAUCACUAACUUCCUCCUCAACCGGUGUCGCAACGACAGGGGUUUCCCCUUGCCCUGCGCCACCAUCCAGAGGGAUGAGAGGUUCGACGACCUCAUCAAGAUCUAUCUUCCUCCCACUCAAUUCUCUCGAGAGAAACUCCUUCUCGAGAAAAGCUCCGUUUUUAGCAACAAACACUUUGCCCUCGGAUUUGAGAUAGAAGGUGUACCCAACUGUCUCUUUUGGGUAACCUAUGAAGAUGCACUUUUCCGCUUUGGGUUCCAGCUUUUCAGGCUGAAGCUUUUUGACAUAAGCAUCACAUCCCCAAACUUUAAGAAAUGACAACUUUGGCCUUUUGCCAUACCACAGUUCGUAUGGUAUCGUCUCAACGGAUUUUGAUGGUGCCCUAUUUAAAGUGAAUGCAGCUGUGUCUAAUGCAUAACCCCAAAACGAUAACGGCAAAUCGGUAAGAGACAUCAUAGAUCGCACCAUCUCUAAUAAAGUACGAUUACGACGUUCGGACACACCAUUACGCUGUGGUGUUCCAGGCGGUGUCAACUGUGAAACAAUUCCACAUUGUCUUAAGUGAGCACCAAACUCGAAACUCAGAUAUUCACCCCCACGAUCAGACCGUAUGAACUUAAUCUUCUUGUUACGAUGAUUUUCAACUUCACUCUGAAACUGCUUGAACUUUUCAAAUGUUUCAGACUUGUGCUUCAUUAAGUAGACAUAACCAUAUCUACUCAAAUCGUCAGUGAAGGUGAGAAAAUAACGAUAUCCGCCGCGUGCCUCCACGCUCAUCGGACCGCACACAUCGGUAUGUAUGAUUCCCAAUAAGUCACUGGCACGCUCCAUUGUUCCGGAGAAUGGAGUUUUUGUCAUCUUGCCCAUAAGGCAUGGUUCGCACGUGUCAAGUGAAUCAAAGUCAAGUGACUCCAAAAGUCCAUCGGUAUGGAGUUUCUUCAUGCGCUUUACACCAAUAUGACCUAAGCGGCAGUGCCACAAAACAUGGCGCUAUCAUUGUUAACUCUAACUCUUUUGGUCUCAAUGUUAUGUAUAUGUGUAUCACUAUCAAGAUUCAAUAUGAACAAUCCUCUCACAUUGGGUGCAUGACCAUAAAAGAUGUUACUCAUAGAAAUAGAACAAGCAUUAUUCUCUGACUUAAAAGAGUAACCGUCUCGCAAUAAACAAGAUUCAGAUAUAAUGUUCAUGCUCAACGCAGGCACUAAAUAACAAUUAUUCAAGUUCAUAACUAAUCCCGAUGGUAACUGAAAUGAAACUGUGCCGAUGGCGAUUGCAUCAACCUUGGAACCAUUUCCUACGCGCAUCGUCACUUCAUCUUUCGCCAGCCUUCGCCUAUUCCGCAGUUCCUGUUUCGAGUUGCAAAUAUGAGCAACAUAACCGGUAUCGAAUACCCAGGCACUACUACGAGAGCCGGUUAAGUACACAUCAAUAGCAUGUAUAUCAAAUAUACCUGAUUUUCUUUGGCCGCCUUCUUAUCAGCCAGAUACUUUGGGCAGUUGCGCUUCCAGUGACCCAUACCCUUGCAAUAGUAGCACUCUGUUUCAGGCUUAGGUCCAGCUUUGGGUUUCUUCAUCGGAUUGGCAACAGGCUUGCCGCUCUUCUUUGAAUUGCCCUUCUUGCCUUUGCCGUUUCUCUUGAAACUAGUGGUCUUAUUCACCAUCAACACUUGAUGCUCUUUACGGAGUUCGGACUUUGCGACUUUCAGCAUCGCAAACAACUCGCCGGGUGACUUGUUCAUCCCUUGCAUGUUGUAGUUCAACACAAAGCCCUUAUAGCUUGGCGGCAGUGAUUGAAGAAUUUUGUCAGUGAUAGCCUCUUGCGGGAGUUCAAUCCCCAGCUCAGCUAGACGAUUUGAGUACCCAGACAUUUUGAGCACAUGUUUCACUAACAGACGAAUUCUCCUCCAUCUUGCAAGCAUAGAAUUUAUCGGAGGUCUCAUACCUCUCGAUCCGGGCGUUCUUCUGAAAGAUAAACUUCAACUCCUGGAACAUCUCAUAUGCUCCAUGACGCUCAAAGCGACGUUGAAGUCCCGGUUCUAAGCCAUACAAGACUGCACAUUGAACUACUGAGUAGUCCUCCUUACGUGUUAACCAAGCGUUCUUAGCAUCCUGGUCAGCCGUAGCGGGUGGUUCAUCUCCUAGCGCAGCAUUAAGGACAUAAUCCUUCUUCCCAGCUUGUAGGAUCAACUUAAGAUUACCAGCCCAGUCUACAAAGUUGCUUCCAUCAUCUUUCAACUUAGCUUUCUCUAGGAACGUAUUAAAAUUCAGGGUGACUGUCGCGUGAGCCAUGAUCUACAACACGAAUAUAUUCAAAGUGGACUUAGACUAUGUUCAAGAUAAUUAGAGUUUAACUUAAUCAAAUUACUUGCUAAACUCCCACUCAAAAAGUACAUCUCUCUAGUCAUUUGAGUGGUUCAUGACCCACUUACACUAGCUCAAGUCCGAUCAUCACGUGAGUUGAGUAUAGUUUCAGUGGUAAGCAUCCCUAUGCUAAUCAUAUCAACUAUAUGAUUCAUGAUCGACCUUUCGGUCUCAUGAGUUCCGAGGCCAUGUCUGCACAUGCUAGGCUCGUCAAGCUUAACCCGAGUGUUCCGCGUGUGCAACUGUUUUGCACUCGUUGUAUGUGAACGUUGAGUCUAUCACACCCGAUCAUCACGUGGUGUCUCGAAACGACGAACUGUAGCAACGGUGCACAGUCGGGGAGAACACAAUUUCGUCUUGAAAUUUUAGUGAGAGAUCACCUCAUAAUGCUACCGCCGUUCUAAGCAAAACAAGGUGCAUAAAAGGAUUAACAUCACAUGCAAUUCAUAAGUGACAUGAUAUGGCCAUCAUCACGUGCUCCUUGAUCUCCAUCAGCAAAGCACCGGCACGAUGUUCUUGUCACCGGCGCCACACCAUGAUCUUCAUCAACGUGUCGCAAUCGGGGUUGUCGUGCUACUCAUGCUAUUACUACUAAAGCUACAUCCUAGCAAAAUAGUAAACGCAUCUGCAAGCACAAACGUUAGUUUAAAGACAACCCUAUGGCUCCUGCCGGUUGCCGUACCAUCGACGUGCAAGUCGAUAUUAUCUAUUACAACAUGAUCAUCUCAUACAUCCAAUAUAUCACAUCACAUCAUUGGCCAUAUCACAUCACAAGGAUACCCUGCAAAAACAAGUUAGACGUCCUCUAAUUUUGUUGUUGCAUGUUUUACGUGGUGACCAAGGGUAUCUAGCAGGAUCGCAUCUUACUUACGCAAACACCACAACGGAGAUAUAUGAAUUGCUAUUUAACCUUAUACAAGGACCUCCUCGGUCAAAUCCGAUUCAACUAAAGUUGGAGAAACCGACACUUGCCAGUCAUCUUUGAGCAAAGGGGGUUACUCAUAGCGAUGAAACCAGUCUCUCGUAAGCGUACGAGUAAUGUCGGUCCAAGCCGCUUCAAUCCAACAAUACCGCGGAAUCAAGAAAGACUAAGGAGGGCAGCAAAACGCACAUCACCGCCCACAAAACUUUUGUGUUCUACUCGAGAAGGCAUCUACGCAUGAACCUAGCUCAUGAUGCCAUUGUUGGGAACGCCGCAUGGGAAACAAAUUUUUCCUACGCGCACGAAGACCUAUCAUGGUGAUGUUCAUCUACGAGAGGGGAUUUCCGAUCUACGUACCCUUGUAGACCGCACAACAGAAGCGUUAGUGAACGUGGUUGAUGUAGUGGCACGUCCUCACGUCCCUCGAUCCGCCCCGCGAACCGUCCCACGAUCCGUCCCGUGAUCCGUCCAACGAUCAAGUGCCGAACGGACGGCACCUCCGCGUUCAGCACACGUACAACUCGAUGAUGAUCUCGGCCUUCUUGAUCCAUCAAGAGAGACGGAGAGGUAGAUGAGUUUUCCAGCAUCGUGACGGCGCUCCGGAGGUUGGUGAUGAUCUUAUCUCGGCAGGGCUCCGCCCGAGCUCCGCAGAAACGCGAUCUAGAGGUAAAACCGUGGAGGUAUGUGGUCGGGCUGCCUUGAAAAGUUGUCUCAAAUCAGCCCUAAUUGCUCCAUUUAUAUAGGAGGAGGGAGGGGAGUCUUGCCUUGAGGCUCAAGGAGCCCCAAGGGCUGCGCGACUAAGGGAGGAGGAGUCCUCCUCCAGUCCUAGUCCAACUAGGAUUGGAAAGUGGAGUCCUUCUCUCCUUUCCCACCUCCUUUUUUUCCUUUCUCUUUGAUUUUCUAUCCUUGGCGCAUAGGGCCCUCUUGGGCUGUCCCACCAGCCCACCAAGGGCUGGUGCGCCACCCCCAAGGCCUAUGGGCUUCCCCGGGGUGGGUUGCCCCCCGGUGAACAUCUUGAACCCAUUCGUCAUUCCCGGUACAUUCCCGGUAACUCCGAAAACCUUCCGGUAAUCAAAUGAGGUCAUCCUAUAUAUCAAUCUUCGUUUCCGGACCAUUCCGGAAACCCUCGUGACGUCCGUGAUCUCAUCCGGGAUUCCGAAUAACAUUCGGUAACCAACCAUAUAACUCAAAUACGCAUAAAACAACGUCGAACCUUAAGUGUGCAGACCCUGCGGGUUCGAGAACUAUGUAGACAUGACCCAAGUGACUCCUCGGUCAAUAUCCAAUAGCGGGACCUGGAUGCCCAUAUUGGAUCCCACAUAUUCUACGAAGAUCUUAUCGUUUGAACCUCAGUGCCAAGGAUUCAUAUAAUCCCGUAUGUCAUUCCCUUUGUCCUUCGGUAUGUUACUUGCCCGAGAUUCGAUCGUCAGUAUCUGCAUACCUAUUUCAAUCUCGUUUACCGGCAAGUCUCUUUACUCAUUCCGUAAUACAAGAUUCCGCAACUUACACUAAGUCACAUUGCUUGCAAGGCUUGUGUGUGAUGUUGUAUUAUCGAGUGGGCCUCGAGAUACCUCUCCGUCACACGGAGUGACAAAUCCCAGUCUCGAUCCAUACUAACUCAACGAAMACCUUUCGAGAUACCUGUAGAGCACCUUUAUAGUCACCCAGUUACGUUGCGACGUUUGAUACACACAAAGUAUUCCUACGGUGUCACAUUAUGAAUUUUAGGCAACUGGAUAAUGAACAUGUUGCUCAAGCUUGAGAACGUAUGAAAUUUCUUGUUAAGAAUUUCCCUACACAUGGCUUGACUACUUGGAUGGUUAUCCAAACUUCCUAUGCAGGAUUGAACUUUACUUCGCGGAAUCUGUUAGACUCGACUGCGGGAGGAACCUUUAUGUAAACUACACUUGGUGCUGCCACAAAGCUAUUGGAUGAGAUGAUGGUAAAUUAUUCUUAAUGGCACACCGAGAGAGCUCCAACAGGUUGGAAGGUAAACUCUGUUGAGGGGAUCUCCUCCCUUAAUGAUAAGGUUGACAUGAUCAUGACUCUACUUACUAAGCAAUCUCCUAUUGAUCCUCAUGAUGUUCCUUUAAAUUCUUUGGUUGCUCAAUAAAGAGAGCAAGUUGAUGUUAAUUUAUUUCUAGGAACAACUUGAAUAAUAAAGGUUAUAGGACUAAUUUUGGUAGCAAUCCUAGACAUUUCCCAUCCAACAACUAUGGGAACAACAACAAUUAUCCUAGCACCAAAAACUCCACUUCUGAAUUAUAGAGCAUGCUUAAAGACUUUAUCACUUCUCAAAAAGCCUUCAACAAGAGUGUAGAAGAGAAGCUAGAAAAUUAGAUAGUCUCUCUUUGAAGGUGGACAAUAUAGCUCAUGAUGUAGAGAUGCUUAAAAUUAGAACUUACCCCUUGAGGAAAGGAACACCAAAACCCAUGAAUGAUAUCCAAGUCCAAAUUAAUGAGAACAUAAGAAUGCUAGCCAAACUUAAAAAUAGAUGGGCUAGAGAAAAGAAGAGGAAGAUAGGAUUAAGAGCCUUCCUACACACACAACCAUUGCUACUAUACAAGUUGUUGAGGAUCUCAAAACGUUUAGCACCCAUCACACUUCUAGUCCUAAUGGACCUAUUAAUGGUGAUGCUAAUACCUCAACUAUAGGACAAGAAGGUCCUUUGAAUUUAGAGACUACUAAAAGAAUGAUCUUAGAUGACAUUACUACCACUUUAAUUAAUGGUAGUAACCUUGAUUUUGACAAUUGUAGUCUUUCCGAAGUUAUCACCUUUUUGCAAAGAAUGGCUAAAGACCCCACACUAGUACACUCAAUAUUGCCUUCACCGAGCAUAUUACCAAUGCUCUUAUCAAAGCUAGGGAGGAGAAGAUCAAGCUAGAGACUUCUAUCCCUAGGAAACUAGACGAUGGUUGGGCUCCUAUGGUCAAAAUUGAAUUGAAUAAUAUCUCUUGCUUUGCAUUAUGUGAUGUUGGAGCUAGUGAAUCCGUUAUGCCCAAAAGAAUGUAUGAUAUGCUUGAUUGGAAACCUUAUGAUCCAUGUUCUUUUGGUGUUAGUAUUGUUGAUUCUUCCAUAAAGAAACCUAUAGGGAGAAAUGAUGAUGUGCUUAUUAUUGUCAAUGAUAAUUAUGUGCCCGUUGAUUUUCUUAUUAUGGACAUUGAAUGUGAUCCUUCAUGUCCAAUUAUUUUGGGACAUCCUUUUCUCCGCACCGUUGGUGCUAUCAUUGACAUGAAAGAGGGGACCAUUAGAUUCCAAUUUCCCCUUAAAAAGGGAAUGGAACACUUCCCUCGAAAGAACUUAAGUUACCUUAUGAGUUCGUUACUCGGGCAAGUUAUUCUUUUGAUAAUACUUGAUCUUCUUGCAUUUUGCCUAGCUCAAAGACAUAAAAGAAAGCGCUUGUUGGGAUGCAACCCAAUUUGUUUUUACUUUCAGUUUUAGUGGUCUUGAUGCGUGUUACUACUGUAGCAACAUCAUUGUAUCUUUAUUUUUAAGCUUUGUGUCAAGUUAUAGCCUCCGAUCGCAAGAAAGUUCAAAAAUUGUGACAGGCUGUCCAGAAACAGAUUUUGUUUGCCCAACGGAAAAAUCGCCAAAAAUCACCAGAUCAUCUUUUUAUCUGAAUUUGUUUUACAAAAGAUCUAUAUAUUUGUCUUUCUCCCAUAUGUUCUGAGUUUUUUUAUUUGAGUUGCAUAAGUGCCCCGAAUAAAUUAUUUACUACCUGAUGUUCUGUUUUUCACAUAUUCUGCCAUGUUUUGCGUUUUCAUCAUUUUGCAAAUCUUAAGCUUGAUUUUCCUUUGCAAAACCUUUUGGCAAUCAUGAGAAAUAGUAGCUUUUCAUGAAAAUAAUCAUUUCCAGUAGGUAAUGAAUUAUUUUAUUAAGGGUAGUAACCACUCUAAUCAGCUUAUGAUGAGUUUCGUAUGAAGGGAGUUUUCAAGCAUGCGAUGGGAGAUGAUGAAAGAAGAUACAUGAGUGUCAAGCGCUCAAGCUUGGGGAUGCCCCCAUGCAUCCCAAGUAAUAUUCAAGGAGACUCAAGCGUCUAAGCUUGGGGAUGCCCCGUGCAUCCCCUUCUCUAUCAACAAUCAUCAGUUCGUCCAUCUCCAUGCUAUAUUUUAUCACUUCAUAUGUUAUGUGCUAUGCUUGAAGCGUCCCGAUCUUUACUUUUAGUUUGUUUAGUUUUGCUUUCUGAUCAUAACAAGUCGGAAUCUAGCCUACCUUGUUUUGGAGAGAAACACGCUACAUUCCACUCUAGAACACAACAUAGGUUUUCAUGCUUAUCUUUUUGUGUGUUCUUUAUCUUUUCGUAACUACUGUCAUGCCUAGCUCUUAGUUUUCAUGCCAUAUAUUUUUAAGAGCUAUUAUUUAGGUUGAUUUUGGAACUCUUCUGAGUUACCAUGCUUAUCUUGUUUAGAGAGUUGGCUCAUUGCACUAAGUUGUGUGUCUUGCAUGAGUAGGUAAUUGAUGUUGCUAUUUAAGUAUAGUAGUAACUUGCAAUAGUUUUGAGGUAUUGAUUUGAGUAACGUUUGGACUAUUGGUGCCAAGAGCUUGAGCCUAUUAGUUAUAGGUGUCAUAUUUUGGGAAAUCCAUGUGUUUUUCAAAAACAAAAAAUAGUUGAGAACUCUAGCUACUAAAUUGAUCGCUAACCUCUGGAGGGGUUGGAAUAUAUAGAGUGCCCUCACGUUACCAUGAGUCGAGGAUGCACAAGGAUAACCAAACCCCCAAACACUCCUCCUCGGGGUACUUGUCUCUUUGUGAAUUUCCUAACUAGAUAGAGAGUUACCAAUAAUAAGUGUAUGAGUUCUGCGGACUAAUGUGAGUAUUCGAUUGUUGGCACUUCCACCAUCCAUAUUUUGCAAGCCUCUUCGGUAUCGUGCAUUACCCUUUCUCACAUUGAGAGUUGGUGCAAACUUCGCCGGUGCAUCCAAACCCAUGACAUGAUACGCUCUGUCAUACAUAAGCCUCAUUAUAUCUUUCCUCAAAACAGCCACCAUACCUACCUAUUAAGGCAUUUCCAUAGCCUUUCCGAGAUACAUUGCCAUGCAAAAUCCACCAUCUCAUGACUUGAUCUUCAUGCCAUACAUGCUUUUGCUUGAUCGAGGAGCCGCAUGAUAGUUGGGACUUGCCCUUAUUAUUGCUACAUGACGUGCUAGUAUCAUUGCAUAUCCUGCUACACUCGCAGAGGCAUACAUUUGCAUACAUCAUGAUAGUUUUCACUUGUCUUUAUGUUGAGUACUUCUUAUAAAGUGUGAUGAUUUUUUUAUUCUUGUAAAACAUAGAGUGUUGGCCUUAAGUGAGGGAAAGAUCCCAAAGAGGACAAAUGAGAUAUAAAAAUAAAGAGACAAAGAGGCCACAAAAAAAGAGAAAAAGAAAAAGAAAAAAGAAAUAAAAARAAGAGAAGGGACAAUGCUACUAUCUUUUUCCACACUCGUGCUUCAUAAUAGCACCAUGUUCUUCAUGAUUGAGAGCUUCUUGCUUUAUCACUACCAUAUGCUAGUGGGAAUCUUCAUUAUAUAACUUGGCUUGUAUAUUCCAAUGAUGGGCUUCCUCAAAAUUGCCCUAGGUCUUCGUGAGCAAGCAAGUUGGAUGCACACCCACUAGUUUUCCUUUUGAGCUUUCACAUACUUAUAGCUCUAGUGAACCUCUUGUAUGGAAAUCCCUACUCAUUCACAUUGAUAUCUAUUAAUGGGCAUCUCCAUAGCCUUUUGAUACGCCGAGUCAAUGUGACCAUCUCCUCCUUUUUGUCUCACAACCACCACCACACUCUAUUCCACUUAUAGUGUUAUAUCCAUGGCUCACGCUCAUGUAUUGCGUGAUAGUUAUAAAAAGUUUGAGAAAGUAAGAGUGCGAAAACAAUUACUUGGCCAAUACCAGGGUUGUACAUGAUUUACAUUAGUUGUGUGAGGAUGAUGGAGCAUAGCUAGACUAUAUGAGUUUGUAGGGAUAACUUUCCUUGGCCUUGUUAUUUUGAAAGCUCAUGAUUACUUUGCUAGUUUGCUUGAAGUAUUAUUGUUUUCAUGUCAAUAGCUAACUAUUGUUUUGAAUCUUAUGGAUCUGAACAUUCAUGUCACGUGAAAAAAGUUGCAAAGGACAACUAUGCUAGGUAGCAUUCCACAUCAAAAAUUCAUUCUUUAUCACUUCCCUACUCGAGGACGAGCAUGAGUUAAGAUUGGGGAUGCUUGAUACGUCUCCAACGUAUCUAUAAUUUUUUAUGGUUUCAUGCUAUUAUCUUGUCAAACUUUGGAUGUUUUUCAUGCCUUUUAUAUAUUUUUGGGACUAACUUAUUAACUCAGUGCCAAGUGCUAGUUCCUGUUUUUUCCAUGUUUUUGACACCUUUCAGAGGAGAUUUUGAAACGGAGUCCAAACGGAAUAAAAUCUCCGAAAAUAAUUUUUCCGUAACGGAAGAAGAUCAGGAGACUUGAGAGCCAAGGCAGGGGCCCCAGGGGCCCCACAAGCCCUCACCCCGCGGCCAGGGCGGAGGCCGCGGCCCACAGGCUUGCGGGCCCCUGGACGCCCUUUGCCCUAGGGGUUGCGCCUAUGUAUUCCCUAAAAAUCCCAAAAAAUCAGGAGAUCAUCGAAAGUUCUUUAUGCCGCCGCAAGCUUGUGUCUCCGCAAGAUCCCAUCUGGGGCACGUUCUCGUGCCCUGCCGGAGGGGGAUUCAGACACGGAGGGCUUCUUCAUCAACACCAUGACCUCUCCGAUGAUGCGUGAGUAGUUCACCAUAGACCUACGGGUCCAUAGCUAGUAACUAGAUGGCUUAUUCUCUCUCUUGGAUCUUCAAUACAAAGUUCUCCAUGAUCUUCAUGGAGAUCUAUCCGAUGUAAUCUUCUUUUGCGGUGUGUUUGUCGAGAUCCGAUGAAUUUUGGAUUUAUGAUCAGAUUAUCUAUGAAUCUUAUUUGAGUUUCUUCUGAUCUCUCUUAUGCAUGAUUUCAUAUCCGUGUAAUUCUCUUCGAGUUGUGGGUUUUGUUUGGCCAUCUAGAUCUAUGAUUCUUGCAAUGGGAUAAGUGCUUGGUUUUGGGUUCAUACCGUGCGGUGACCUCACCCAGUUACAGAAGGGGUAGCGAGGCACGCAUCGUUUUGUUGCCAUCAAGGGUAAAAGAUGGGGUUUUCAUCAUUGGUUUGAGAUUAUCCCUCUACAUCAUGUCAUCUUGCUUAAGGCGUUACUCUGUUCGUCAUGAACUCNNNNNNNNNNNNNNNNNNNNNNNNNNNNNNNNNNNNNNNNNNNNNNNNNNNNNNNNNNNNNNNNNNNNNNNNNNNNNNNNNNNNNNNNNNNNNNNNNNNNACAACUUCCCAAUAAAAGCAUCUUUGCACUUAUGCCAAGAAUCUAUGCCAUUCCUAGGCAAGCAUUGAAGCCACACUUUAGCUCCUCCUCUCAAGGAGAAAGGAAAAAGCUUAAGUUUAACAAUAUCACCAUCUACUUCUUUAUACUUUUGCAUAUCACAGAGCUCAACAAAAUUGUUCAAGUGCAAAGCAACAUCAUCUCCAGCACCGGAAAAUUGAUCUUUCAUAACAAGGUUUAGUAAAGUAGGUUUAAUCUCAUAGGACGUGGCUCCAGUGGCGGGAGCAACAAUAGGAGUGUAGAUAAAGUCAUUGUUGUUGUGACUAGUGAAGUCACACAACUUGGUGUUCUCAAUGGAACCCAUAGCAGCGGCAACUAGCAAGAACGAAGCAACUAAUAUUUUGUGGGUUUUGGUAUAAGACUCUAAAGCAAAAACUAGAAAGCAAACUAACAAGACUAAAAGCAAAGGUAAAGGAUAACGUGCAACUCCCCUAUCUUGAAGAAUGGAGCCACCGGCAACGGGCCAGAAACUUUGCUUGAUGACGAGAUGAUGUAUAUACUUCUCGCACCUCGUUGGUUACCCCAAGUGGAAYAGNNNNNNNNNNNNNNNNNNNNNNNNNNNNNNNNNNNNNNNNNNNNNNNNNNNNNNNNNNNNNNNNNNNNNNNNNNNNNNNNNNNNNNNNNNNNNNNNNNNNCGGUCAAUAUCCAAUAGCGGGACCUGGAUGCCCAUAUUGGAUCCCACAUAUUCUACGAAGAUCUUAUCGUUUGAACCUCAGUGCCAAGGAUUCAUAUAAUCCCGUAUGUCAUUCCCUUUGUCCUUCGGUAUGUUACUUGCCCGAGAUUCGAUCGUCAGUAUCUGCAUACCUAUUUCAAUCUCGUUUACCGGCAAGUCUCUUUACUCAUUCCGUAAUACAAGAUUCCGCAACUUACACUAAGUCACAUUGCUUGCAAGGCUUGUGUGUGAUGUUGUAUUAUCGAGUGGGCCUCGAGAUACCUCUCCGUCACACGGAGUGACAAAUCCCAGUCUCGAUCCAUACUAACUCAACGAACACCUUCGGAGAUACCUGUAGAGCAUCUUUAUAGUCACCCAGUUACGUUGCGACGUUUGAUACACACAAAGCAUUCCUCGGGUGUCAGUGAGUUAUAUGAUCUCAUGGUCAUAGGAACAAAUACUUGACACGCAGAAAACAGUAGCAACAAAAUGACACGAUCAACAUGCUACGUCUAUUAGUUUGGGUCUAGUCCAUCACGUGAUUCUUCUAAUGACGUGAUCCAGUUAUCAAGCAACAACACCUUGUAUAUAAUCAGAAGACCCUGACUAUCUUUGAUCAACUGGCUAGCCAACUAGAGGCUUGCUAGGGACAGUGUUUUGUCUAUAUAUCCACACAUGUAUAUAAGUCUUCAUUCAAUACAAUUAUAGCAUGGACAAUAAACGAUUAUCUUGAUACAGGAAUUAUAAUAAUAACUAUAUUUAUUAUUGCCUCUAGGGCAUAAUUCCAACAAUAGGGUUUGGAGAUGAGAUGGUGCUGAUGAAGAUGUUGAUGGAGAUGAGUCCCCUCUAAUGAGAUGAGUGUUGGUGAUGACGAUGGCGAUGAUUUCUCCCAUCGAGAGGGAAAUUUGCCCGGCACGACGGCCGUGCCGGAGCUCUAGAUUGGUUCUGCUCAAGUUCCGCUUUGUGGCGGCGGCGGCUCCUCCCGAAAGCAUCCUCUUGUUUUUCUGAAACGAAACCCUCCAUAUAGCAAAAGAUGAGCGCCGGAGGGGCAACAGGGGGCCCACAAGACACCCACGCCCGGCCAGGGGGUAGACUGGGCCUAGCAGGCUUGUGGCCUCCUGGUGGCUCCCCUCCGGUACUUCUUUCGCCCAGUAUGUUUCAUAAAAUCCAAAAUAAUUCCCCGUAGAUUUUCAUGCCUUUUUGAGUUGCGCAGAAUAGGUAUCCCAAACUUGCUCCCUUUUCAGACCAGAAUUCCAGCUGCCAGCAUUCUCCCUCUUCAUGUAAACCUUAUAAUAUAAGAGAGAAAAGACAUAAGUAUUAUACCGUAAAGUGUAAUAACAGCCCAUAAAGUGAUAAAUAUCAACAUAAAAGCAUGAUGCAAAAUGUACGUAUCACUCCCCACCUCGCCCUCACGCGUCGCCCCCUCCUCCCAAUCCCACGCCGCGCCAAGUCCCCUCCCUCUAGCGACCCCUCCACUCGCCGCCCCUACCUCUCCAUAUCUCGGCGGCCUCCCUGCACCCUCCCUCAACCCCCUGUGCCUCCUCUCACCGCGGCCACCACCACCAACCGCCGCUGACAGGCCCCUUCACCAGCUCUCGACCGGCCCUCCGGCCAUGGCGCCGCCCCACACUGGCCGUGGCCCUCGACGGAUCCGCCGGCUCCUCCUUCAACCCGCCCCGCCAGAUCCACUCCACCCCAUCACCAACCGCGCCAACUCCCCGUACACUCCGGCUAUACCGGGCCUCCCCUUCAUCACCGGUGAGACCAUUCGGGCUCCUCCCACGUUCUCCUUCCUUCCUACUCCGGCGAGCCGCCGGAUGUGCACUCCGGUUUCUCCCUAUUGACAGAGGGGACUAGCCUCUAUGUAUUGUAUAAAUGCAUGUAUGUAUGUAUUAUGUACGUACGUAUGUAUGUAUGUAGAAAAGUAUACAUAGUGUAUUUGUGUGUGUAUGUGUUACAACAUUGAAAGUGCGUUAUAUCGACUAGAGGGGGGGGGUGGAAUAGGAGAUUUUUAGAAUUUCAUCACUGAGGAAAUUCCUUUUGUGGAAAUUCCUCACUGAUGACUAACUUACAACGGAAACAGUAAAGGAUCAGAAGUGCAAAGUUUCACAACAACAGUUUUUCAGAGUGAGGAAUGUGAAAACAGAUUGCACUGUGAGUAGGCACGCAGAAAACAGAUGAGGAUUAACUAGCGUGAAGAAUUUGGGGUUGAGGAAUUUCAGAGAAAGUCUUCAGCAAAUUCUUCAAACAGUAGCAGUGAAAGUCAUCAACACAUAAUCUAAGGAAAGUAAGGAGUUGAGGAAUUAGAACCCGUUUCACAGCGAAGACAAUAGUUGAUGACCUAGUUUCAACUGCUGUCACAGUUGUACAUCUGGUUUGGAGCGGCUUGGUAUUGAAACCAAAGGACACACAGUCCCGGGACACACAGUCCCUACCGUGUUCUCCUUGGGCUAAGAACACACAGUCCUCGCNNNNNNNNNNNNNNNNNNNNNNNNNNNNNNNNNNNNNNNNNNNNNNNNNNNNNNNNNNNNNNNNNNNNNNNNNNNNNNNNNNNNNNNNNNNNNNNNNNNNGCAUGCAAGCUUGGGGAUGCCCCGAGAAGGCAUCCCCUCUUUCGUCUUCAAUCCAUCGGUAACAUUACUUGGAGCUAUAUUUUUAUUCACCACAUGAUAUGUGUUUACUUGGAGCGUCUUGUAUCUUAGGAGUGUUUUAUUUUGUUGUGUCACAAUCAUCCUUGCUGCACACAUUUUUGAGAGAGAGAGACAUGCACUCAUCGUGAUUUUUGCUAGAAUGCUCAUAGUGCUUCACUUAUAUCUUUUGAGCUAGAUACUUUUGCUCUUUGUGCUUCACUUAUAUCUUUUAGAGCACGGCAGUGCAUGAUUUGGUAGUUGGCUUAUGCUAUGAAAGUAGUCCCAAAUGUGAUAGGUACCCAAAUAGGAUGCAAAAAACCUCCAUCUUCAUGUGCAUUGAGUAGAAAGAGAAGUUUUAAUUCCUCUCAAUUAGUUUUGAGACGUGGAUUUGGUAAUAUUAAGAGCUAUUUUAGUAGGGUGUUGUGAAUCUAGAAAUACUUGUGUUGAAGUUAGUGAUUCCCGUAGCAUGCACGUAUGUUGAACUGCUAUGUUAGGAAGUCAGAGCAUAAUUGAUCUAUUGAUUGUCAUCCUUUGUGUUGAGGUCGGGAUCGCGCGAUGGUUAACACCUACCAACCCUUCCCCUAGGAGUAUGCGCUUAGGACUUUGUUUCGAUUACUAAUAAAACUUUUGCAACAAGUAUGUGAGUUCUUCAUGACUAAUGUGAGUCGAUGGUAUAGAUGCACUUUCACCUUUCGCCAUUGCUAGCCUCUCUAGUGCCGCGCAAUUCUCGCCGGUACACAAACCCACCAUAUGCCUUCCUCAAAACAACCACCAUACCUACCUACUAUGGCAUUUUCCUAGCCAUUCCGAGAUAUAUUGCCAUGCAACUCCCAUCGUUCCGUGUCAUGACUUGUGUUCUCACUCUCAUAUUGCCAUUGCAUGGUCGUAAGAUAGCUAGCGAGUCAUACGCCAUGCUAGAUCGUUGCACAUCCCAGUACACUGCCGGAGGCAUUUCCUAUAGAGUCAUAAUCAUUUUGAGCUGUGAGUAAAUAAAAGUGUGAUGAUCAUCAUUAUUAGAGCAUUGUCCCAUGUUAGGAAAUAAAAAAGAGGCCAAAGAGCCCAAAAAAGAAAGGAAAAAAGAGAGGCCUAAAUUGAAAAAAAGAGAAGGGACAAUGCUACUAUCUUUUUCCACACUCGUGCUUCAUAAUAGCACCAUGUUCUUCAUGAUUGAGAGCUUCUUGCUUUAUCACUACCAUAUGCUAGUGGGAAUCUUCAUUAUAUAACUUGGCUUGUAUAUUCCAAUGAUGGGCUUCCUCAAAAUUGCCCUAGGUCUUCGUGAGCAAGCAAGUUGGAUGCACACCCACUAGUUUUCCUUUUGAGCUUUCACAUACUUAUAGCUCUAGUGAACCUCUUGUAUGGAAAUCCCUACUCAUUCACAUUGAUAUCUAUUAAUGGGCAUCUCCAUAGCCUUUUGAUACGCCGAGUCAAUGUGACCAUCUCCUCCUUUUUGCUUCACAACCACCACCACACUCUAUUCCANNNNNNNNNNNNNNNNNNNNNNNNNNNNNNNNNNNNNNNNNNNNNNNNNNNNNNNNNNNNNNNNNNNNNNNNNNNNNNNNNNNNNNNNNNNNNNNNNNNNUUACUUUUCGAAUUUUGCCGGUUUCAGGGUUUAGAAUGAACGCACGCUUUUCCACGGUCAGAAGUGCAACGCGACGUCAACUGGACUUGUGGCUUUGGCAAACCACGACGCCGCGUCAAAACCCGCAUGUCUGGUUUCUGACUGUGGUAUACUCGACCAGUUUUCCUUGUCGUGGCAACGACUUUGAUCCUUGUUCGCGUGAUGCCAAAUGCCAAUUCUUUUCACGUGUCCAUGCAUACCACUUUUUAUUUAUUUUACUCACUGUAUAGUUAUAGUAUAGUAUGGUCUAAUAUAGUAUAGUAUCAUUUUGACCUUGGACACAUUAGGAGCACGCGCGUGUCCAUGCAGGCCACUUCUUUUUCUCAUUACUCACCGUGCAGUAUAGUUUUAUUUCGACCUUGGACAAAUUAGGAGCAAGCACCAUUGAACUUUUAUGUGUUCAUGCAUGGUUUUUAUUUUAUUUUACUCAUGCAUGUCACUUCUUUUCUCAUUACUCAUCGUGCAGUAUAGUAUUAUUUCSASCUGUGGACAAAUNNNNNNNNNNNNNNNNNNNNNNNNNNNNNNNNNNNNNNNNNNNNNNNNNNNNNNNNNNNNNNNNNNNNNNNNNNNNNNNNNNNNNNNNNNNNNNNNNNNNUCAUCAACACAUAAUCUAAGGAAAGUAAGGAGUUGAGGAAUUAGAACCCGUUUCACAGCGAAGACAAUAGUUGAUGACCUMRCAGGUCUUAGAUUUUCUUGUGGAGUAGCAGUCCUUUAGGACAGCAUAUCUAACGGUUAAAAACGACCCUAAUGUGUGAUUUAACGGUCAGAAAACGCGAGGGUGUGAGAGGUCUCCGUUUAGGCUCGGUUAUACUGUCCUAAAUAUCUCCAUAUGUGGUUUUGGUAAUUGAUGACAAUUUCUAUGGACUAAUGGUUGCCUUAAGUUAUAUUUAUAGGAUUUGUCCAUAGGCACUUCUUGAAGUUCCAUUUGUUGGGUUCAAGGAGUUUAUAUGAUGACCAAGAUGGUAUUCAAGGUAUUAUCCAAAGAAUGSWSMUAGWGACACAAGGUUGAUCAAGAUCUCAAACAAAGAGUAAAGCAAGAUGUCAACACACAAAGCGUACAAGAUGUACCGAGAGGGAUCAAGUGAUCCCAUGGUAUGGUAAGCAUUGUCCAUUACGUGUUUGUGUACUAACCCAUGGUCUUCGUGAGNNNNNNNNNNNNNNNNNNNNNNNNNNNNNNNNNNNNNNNNNNNNNNNNNNNNNNNNNNNNNNNNNNNNNNNNNNNNNNNNNNNNNNNNNNNNNNNNNNNNCUACAUGUAUCUCCGAAGGUGUUCGUUGAGUUAGUAUGGAUCGAGACUGGGAUUUGUCACUCCGUGUGACGGAGAGGUAUCUCGGGGCCCACUCGGUAAUACAACAUCACACACAAGCCUUGCAAGCAAUGUGACUUAGUGUAAGUUGCGGGAUCUUGUAUUACGGAACGAGUAAAGAGACUUGCCGGUAAACGAGAUUGAAAUAGGUAUGCGGAUACUGACGAUCGAAUCUCGGGCAAGUAACAUACCGAAGGACAAAGGGAAUGACAUACGGGAUUAUAUGAAUCCUUGGCACUGAGGUUCAAACGAUAAGAUCUUCGCAGAAUAUGUGGGAUCCAAUAUGGGCAUCCAGGUCCCACUAUUGGAUAUUGACCGAGGAGUCACUCGGGUCAUGUCUACAUAGUUCUCGAACCCGCAGGGUCUGCACACUUAAGGUUCGACGUUGYUUUAUGCGUAUUUGAGUUAUAUGGUUGGUUACCGAAUGUUGUUCGGAGUCCCGGAUGAGAUCACGGACGACACGAGGUUCCGGAAUGGUCCGGAACGAAGAUUGAUAUAUAGGAUGACCUCAUUUGGUUACCGGAAGGUUUUCGUGCAUUACCGGAAAAGUUUCGGGCUUAUCGGUAGUGUACCGGGAGUGCCGGGAGGGUGCCGGGGACCAUCGGGAGGGUGUCACGCCCCAAGGGGUCUCAUGGGCUAUGAGAAUAGAUAAACCAGCCCCUAGUGCAGCUGUGNNNNNNNNNNNNNNNNNNNNNNNNNNNNNNNNNNNNNNNNNNNNNNNNNNNNNNNNNNNNNNNNNNNNNNNNNNNNNNNNNNNNNNNNNNNNNNNNNNNNUGGCAAGUCAUCCAAGGAAAGCCCAUGAGGAAAAAGGUGGAAAUUCAAAAGAGGUGGGCAAUUUAGGAAGGAGUCCUAAUCCAAGUAGUAUUGGACGAGGACUCCUCCCUCCUCCACUUCGGCCGAGCCAAGAGGCUCUCCUUGAGGCUCAAGGCUAGCCCCUCCCUCCUCCUAUAUAUACUAGAGGGUUUAGGGGUUUUGAGACACAACUUUGCCACGUGCAACCCUAAACCUCUACUUCGUAGUUCUUCCUCUAGAUCGGAUUUCUGCGGUGCUUAGGCGAAGCCCUGCAGGAAUAGAUCACCACCACCACCGGAGCGCCGUCACGCUGCCGGGGAACUUAUCUACAUGCCCGUCUCUCUUGCUGGAUCAAGAAGGUGGAGAUCAUCAUCGAGCUGUACGUGUGCGGAACGCGGAGGUGUCGUCCGUUCGGCACUUGAUCGGGACGGAUCGUGAGACGGUUCGUGGGACGGAUCGUGAAGACGUACCACUACAUCAACCGCGUUUGUUAACGCUUCCGCUUAGCUAUCUACAAGGGUAUGUGGAUCCGAUCUCCCUCUCGUAGAUGAUCAUCACCAUGAUAGGUCUUCGUGUGCGUAGGAAAUUUUGUUCCCAUGCUACGUCCCAACAAUUUAUAGGACUGGAAGUAGGGUCUACGGAGCCAUGNNNNNNNNNNNNNNNNNNNNNNNNNNNNNNNNNNNNNNNNNNNNNNNNNNNNNNNNNNNNNNNNNNNNNNNNNNNNNNNNNNNNNNNNNNNNNNNNNNNNGGUCUUUGAGCAAAAUCAUCAAGUGAGGGAAAUACCCAAACACCAAACCAAACCUAGUGAUUGAGCGUCACUGAAGAAGUUGUUCCUGUGUGGGACUGAAGCCUUUUACCUUUGAGGACUGUGCAUCCUCCAGACGGUUUAGGCGUCAUGGUCUAGAGCUUUCGAGCAGUCAAUUGUGGAUCGCUGGGUGACCAAGUUUGUGAGGGUUUGGAAGUUUGCCCUGAAAACUUACCACGAGUGUUGGGCGAGGACUGUGUGUUCUUAGCCCAAGGAGAACACGGUUAGGGACUGUGUGUCCCGGGACUGUGUGUCCUUUGGUUUCAAUACCAAGCCGCUCCAAACCAGAUGUACAACUGUGACAGCAGUUGAAACUAGGUCAUCAACUAUUGUCUUCGCUGUGAAACGGUUCUAAUUCCUCAACUCCUUACUUUCCUUAGAUUAUGUGUUGAUGACUUUCACUGCUACUGUUUGAAGAAUUUGCUGAAGACUUUCUCUGAAAUUCCUCAACCCCAAAUUCUUCACGCUAGUUAAUCCUCAUCUGUUUCUGCGUGCCUACUCACAGUGCAAUCUGUUUUCACAUUCCUCACUCUGAAAAACUGUUGUUGUGAAACUUUGCACUUCUGAUCCUUUACUGUUUCAGCUGUGNNNNNNNNNNNNNNNNNNNNNNNNNNNNNNNNNNNNNNNNNNNNNNNNNNNNNNNNNNNNNNNNNNNNNNNNNNNNNNNNNNNNNNNNNNNNNNNNNNNNCCCCCCCCCCGUAACUCGUCUCCCUCGCCCCGCUGCGUAGUCUCCCGCUCCCCCACUUCGCCUUCUCGCCCUCUCCCAUUGCAUUGUUUCCCUCACCUCCAUCUCCUACCUCUUUCGAUGGAGGACGCUUGUCGCGCUGUCGCUGAUCCGACCGGGGAUGUGGUGGAGAAGCCUAGCGUGGCGACCGCGGCAAAAGCAGUGCAAGACGUUGGCGGCGUCAAGGGCGGUGCGGGAUAGACCGCAACUGAUGUCGCUGCUGCAGAUCUUGAGAAGGAGGUGCCGGAGCAGGAGGUCACGGCGUCAAGCGGCACUGCGCAGGCUGGUGACGAGGAGGUAGUUCUAUUUCCUCAGACGCUAUUUCCUUGUUAGUUCUAAUAUUUAGAAUGUAGGGUUAGAUUACUUUGUUUUUUAGAUGGUGUUUUGUAGAUUGGGUCUUCUCUAGAUGGGGUUUUUUGUAUUAGAUUUUGUCCCUUAAAUUUGUUGUAAUUAAUUCGUGCGAAAAUGUUACAGAUAUUUCAAUGAGAUAGGGAUCAGUGUACUUGAAUGCUUCACAGAUAAAUGCUUAUUAAAUUAGUGGUUGAAUGAUACACAGAUAUACAUAGAUAUAGUAUAUUUCUCAUUGAAUGUUGCACCCCUUCGGCUUGUUGGUAAAUCUUAAUGAGAGUUAGGGUUUUUUGUAGUUGAUUCAUGCUUAAUUUGUUAACAAUCNNNNNNNNNNNNNNNNNNNNNNNNNNNNNNNNNNNNNNNNNNNNNNNNNNNNNNNNNNNNNNNNNNNNNNNNNNNNNNNNNNNNNNNNNNNNNNNNNNNNNNNNNNNNNNNNNNNNNNNNNNNNNNNNNNNNNNNNNNNNNNNNNNNNNNNNNNNNNNNNNNNNNNNNNNNNNNNNNNNNNNNNNNNNNNNNNNNNNNNNNNNNNNNNNNNCUUAAUUUGUUAACAAUCUUAAUUUGUUAACAAUCUGUUCAAGGAGUCGCUACUCCAUCAUCACACAAGACACAUAUGGUAAUGUAAAAAAUCAUCCAUACUUGUGAUCUAUUUUAGUCAUGCUGAACUUGAGAGUCAAUUCUUGGAACAAGUGAAUUAUUAGAAAAGUAAAUUACGAGUCUGUUACAUAUGGGAAGAGGCCUUUUAGAACAAGUGAAUUAUUUGAAAACUAAAAUAUUAAAAAAUGUUAAAAGUGAAGUUACUCUCCAACUACAAUUUUAUGCAAGCACUCAUCUUUAAAUUGAAGGUGAUUAUUCUUUUUAAGAAGGGAGAAUGAUUAUCUUGAGAUAGCCUUGUUUGGAGGUAGGAUAGUCUUAUUAUGAGAAUCAAGUAUGAUUUGAUGAUAUUCUAUGAGGACUAUGUUUGCGCACAUAAAUUUGUGAAUCAUUUAUGCCUUCUUGAGUGACACUAUUUUUCUAGAAAAAUACUACCGUGAGUUCAAAAUUUUAGCAAAGCAUGAAAGUCUUCAUCUUGAGAUUAGGCGUUAACUAGCAUUUGAGUGCAUGCAAUAAACAAAGAGACCACUGGGUAUGUAUUUUGCUUUUAUAUAACAUAAUACAAUAUCACCUGCUAUGCAUGUGGAAUCUAUCUAAAUAUAUAGUUUACCCAUGAUCGGUGUUGAUCGGUUGAAAUACUUAUAUUGCAGGAAGAGGAAGCUGCUCGCAUGAAGAGGAAGCUGGCUAUGACUGGGUUCAAGGACCCGUAUGAGUCUGACUCUAACGUCGAUGAAGUGUAUGAGGUAACCCCAACUAGAUUUUUUUGUCUCUUCAUUAAUUUCUAUGAGAUGUUGUUUGUUGAUAAAGCCCUGUAAGUAUGCCUUUAAAUUGGAUUUUUGUGUUGUUUAUUCAUUAAUAUCAUAAAGUUGUGUUGUUUGUUCAUUAAUCAGCUCUAAAUGUGAUAUUUGUGGUCUUUCUUCAUGAAACCAUAUAUGAAUGCAUAUAAAUGGAAAUAUUAUGUUGUUUGUCCAUUAAAUUCUUCUAAAAUGGAAAAAUUGCAUAUAUUUUCUAUUUAUUCCUCUAAUUUGGAAUUUUCUGUUUUUAAGUUCACUAUAAGCACUAUAUGAAUGCAUCUACGUGUUUUUUUAGUUUGUUAAUGAAAUUGAUGUAAAUGGUAAUUCACUGUUCUUUGUUCAAUUAAAUUACUGUACAUGGCUAUUUUCUUUCUUUGCUCAUUAAAUUCCUGUAAAUGGCAAUUAUCAAAUGUUUGUUCAUUAUAUUCCUCUAAAUGGCAAGUAUGUGUUGUUUGUUCAAUAAGGCCUAUAUGAAUGCAUAAUGUAUUUAUGCAAUUCAUUUGUGUGUGCAGUAUAAUUCUGGAGAUGAUGUGGACGACGGGAACAAACAGUCCUUUAUUGAGAAGGAAGCCGAGAAGAUCAGGGAGAAGGGGAAGGCAGCAUACUUCAAGAGGGGCAAGUUCAGGUGCCCAUACUACACCACAAAGCCAAAGCCCAAGGAUGGGCUUUAUGAGCACCUUAUGUCGCAUGCACGCGGUUUAUCGACGAGUGCACACGAAAUCAAGAUCAGGGCAGAGCAUGCAACCCUCCUGAAGGCUAUGGGUCCCAUUUAGUCACCCUCCAUGAUCUAGAUGUUGUGAAGAUGGAUGUGGUACUCAUGUAAUGACCAAGAUGCGACACUUUCCUUAUUUGCGGGCGAGGCCUUAAAAGGGGAAAGGGUUGCAUCUAAGCAUUUCGCAAGUAGGAUAAAAAUGCCAUUACAUAAAUAGAGAGAUGAGUAUAAGAUUCGGCUCACACUUACCACAUGCUAAAUUACAAUCCUCACAAGCAUUCACUAUUCAUACAUAAAACAGGGUCCGACUACGGACAAGAUAAACGGCAAACCAUGUUAUCCUAUCUUGCUACUCCCACGAUCACGACCAUGCGCCUCUAGUCCUCGGGAUAAGUCACAUAGAGUCUGCCACUGUCUUCGUCGAACUCCCACCUCAGUAGGUUAUCAUCGGAAACUCAUGCAUCUGGGGUACAUGUACCUGUGGGUGUUUGUAGUAAAUUGUGAGCCACGAGGACUCAGCAAUCUCAUGACCUUCGUAUCGAGUCUAACUAAGUUAAAUGGGUGCGUUAGGUUAAGUGUUUGAGUUUGCAGCAUCCUAAGCAUAUAUGGUGGCUAUCUUACAAUGAACAGAAAUAACAUAUGGUGGUCUACGUAAGACGGUCGAAGACUAGAAUGAUCACUAAGUGACCCUAGACACCUACUUACGUCAUUCAUAACCCCACCGUGUUCUUGAUCAGAGAAGGAGCUCUCAAAGAAACAAUCACGGUUACGCACUCAUUUGGUAAGUUUUAUUUGAAUUACUUUAAGUUAUCUAGAACCGGAUGUUAACUAAAUAUCCAUGUUUGCCACAUAACCGUGUGCACGGCUUUCCAAAAGAUUAAACCAUGCAGGGGUGCUCCAACUAGUCCAUCACAAAUUAUCACAAACCGCAUAGUAGUCCUCUACCACGAAACUCGUGAUCUCGGCGGAUUCCUUAGAGGAAAACCUCAACUCUGAGAAGACCCAAAGUCUCAGCGGAAUCCCAAUGCGAAGAUAUACCGCUAGGGUAAGACUGAUGACCCACAAGUGUAGGGGAUCUAUCGUAGUACUUUCGAUAAGUAAGAGUGUCGAACCCGACGAGGAGCGGAAGGAUCUGACAAGUAGUUUUCAGCAAGGUAUUCUUUGCAAGCACUGAAAUUAUCGGUAACAGAUAGUUGUGUGGUAAGAUGAUUCGAAGCAAGUAGCAACUAACAAUAGUAACAACGUUGCAGCAAAGUGGCCCAAUACCUUUUGUAGAAAGGGACAAGCCUGGACAAACUCUUAUAGGAGGUAAAGCGCUCCCGAGGACACUUGGGAAAUUCUGUCAAGCUAGUUUUCAUCAUGUUCAUAUGAUUCGCGUUCGCUACUUUGAUAGUUUGAUAUGUGGGUGGACCGGUGCUUGGGUGUUGCCCUUACUUGGACAAACCUCCCACUUAUUAUUAACCCCUCUCGCAAGCAUCCGCAACUACGAAAGAAGAAUUAAGACAAAGUCUAACCAUAACAUUAAACUAGUGGAUCCAAAUCAGCCCCUUACGAAGCAACGCAUAAACUAGGGUUUAAGCUUCAGUCACUCUAGCAACCCAUCAUCUACUUACUACUUAACAAUGCCUUCCUCUAGGCCCAAAUAAUGGUAAAGUGUUAUGUAGUCGAUGUUCACAUAACACCACUAGAGGAAAAACAACAUACAACACAUCAAAAUAUCGAACGAAUACCAAAUUCACAUGACUACUUAUAGCAUGACUUAUCCCAUGUCCUCAGGAACAAAAGUAACUACUCACAAAGCAUAAUAAUAUUCAUGACCGGAGAGGUAUUGAAUAGCAUCAAGGGUCUGAACAUAUAAUCUUCCACCGAGUAAUCCAACUAGCAUCAACUACAAAGAGUAAUUAACACUACUAGCAACCUUACACGUACCAAUUGGAGUCACGAGACGGAGAUUGGUUACAAAAGAUGAACUAGGGUUUGGAGAUGAGAUGGUGUUGAUGAAGAUGUUGAUGGUAAUGAGUCCCCUCCGAUGAGAGGAGUGUUGGUAAUGACGAUGGCGACGAUUUCCCCCUCCGGGAGGGAAGUUUCCCCGACAGGACGACCCUGCCGGAGCUCUAGAUUGAUUCUGCUCAAGUUCCGCCUCGUGGUGGCGGCGAAUCCUCCCAAAAGCCUGCUCCUUAUUUUUUCUGGAACGAAACCCUCCUUAUAGCAAAAGAGGGGGGCCAGAGGGCCAACAGGGAGCCCACAAGCCCCCUAGGCACGACCAGGGGGGUAGGCCGCGCCUAGCACGCUUGUGGCCUCCUGCUGGCUCCCCUCUGGUACUUCUUCGGCCUAGUAUUUUUUAUAAAUUCCAAAAUAAAUCCUCAUUGAUUUUCAUGACUUUUGGAGUUGCGCAGAAUAGGUAUCUCAAACUUGCUCCUUUUUCAGGCCAGAAUUCCAGGUGCCGACAUUCUCCCUCUUCAUGUAAACCUUGCAAAAUAAGAGAGAAAAGGCAUAAGUAUUGUACCGUGAAGUGUAAUAACAGCCCAUAAAGCGAUAAAUAUCAACAUAAAAGCAUGAUGCCAAAUGAACGUAUGAACUCCCCCAAGCUUAGACCUCGCUUGUCCUCAAGCGAAAGCCAAGAUCAAUAAAUAUGGCCACAUGUCUAGAGAGAGAGGUGUCGACAAAACAAAAUACGGACAUGGAGGCAUCAUGAUCAUAAUCAGAACAACAAUAUCAUCAUAUCAUCUCUUAUGCUAAAGUGAUAAUUCCUUCACAAAGUAAAGUAUGGAUCAAGAACUUUAUUGAGAAUUAACAACCAAUAACAUUUAGUCAUUGAAGCAAUUGCAAUUUAUCAUAACAUCGGAAAUAGUCAAAUAAGAGCUUGUAAAGCAAAUCCACAUACUCAAUCAUCCUUUUGUCUUCUACAAUUGCUACAACUCACGUGAUACUCAUGAGAUCAAAGUUUCAGUCGGUCAUGGAGAAAGAUAGGGGCUUAUAGUUUCGCCUCCCAACCAUUUACCUCAAGGGUAAUGUCAACAAUAAUAGUUCAUGAAUACUUACCUCCAAGUUGACAUACGAAUAUAGAUCUUUCCCUAGCAUAUGACGUUAGCCAAGAUAAAGGCGAAACAAGGAAUUGGUGAAGAUCACCAUGACUCUUUCGAGGGCAAAAAGUAAAGGUAUAAGAUAGGCCCUUCGCAGAGGGAAGCAGAGGUUGUCAUGCACUUUUGAGGUUUGGAUGCGUGUCCUCUUAGUGCGGAGGAACGUCACUUUAUAUUGCCUCCUGUGAUAAAGAACUUUAUAAUGCAGUGUGUCGAAUUUAUGUCUUAGUCAUCACAAGUUCGUACAAAGCUUAUUUUCCACACACUAAUAGAUCAUACAUAUUAGGUAGCAAUUUUUAUUGCUUGCACUGAUGACAACUUACUUGAGGGAUCUUAUUCAAUCCAUAGGUAGGUAUGGUGGACUCUCAUGGCAAAACUGGGUUGAAGGUUUAUGGAUGCACAAGUAGUAUCUCUACUUGGUGCGGGAGUUUUGGCUAAUAUGAGGUGGAAGCAAUCGUCACGUGCUAAGGGAUCUCUAAUCAUAUAACAUUGUUCGAAACCAAGCAAACACAAUUCAUUAUGUUGUCUUCCUUGUCCAACAUCUACUUCUAAGCAUGCAAUAGUUUAGUGAGUGUUCACAAUCAUAGAUGGUGUCAAAGAUGAUAUAUUUAUAUGUGAACCUCUCCUUCUUUAUUACUUCCUAUUAGUUGCAACAAUGACCAAGGUCUACGUUUGUCUACCCUCAACAAGUUUCAAUCAACAUUCUUUUUAUAUGUGAAGCCAUCACUUCCCAUAAGAUCAUUACAUGAUCUUUCAUGCUUUUGUUCUUUUCUCACUCUUUUGAUCAUGGCAAGAGGCAAAGCCCUCAAAUAAGACACUCUUUAUUAUAUGGCUCACGAGCUCGAAUACAUCGGGGGAGACACAAAGCAAAAAACUCAAGACUAAAACACUAAGACUUUUAAUCUACUAGAGAAAAAGAAAACUGAAAAGGAACAAACUAAAACAAAGGUAAAGGCAAAAGAUGUGAUGGUGAUACGAUACCGGGGCAACUCCCCCAAGUUUGGCACAAGCCAAGGGGAUUGCCCAUACCCAUGCUCAGUUGUUUUCCUUUGGAGGUGAUGGUGGUGAACUUGUUGCAGAGGUCUUGAGCUUGUUUAAUUUCCACCUGAGCAUAAAAUUUUGCUCCCUCAGGUCAUCAUUUUCCUCUUCAAGCUUCAACACCCUUUGGCAUAAUUCCUGCUUACUCUCCUGCAAGAAACGAGAAGGGAUAAACAGUCUUAGGUUUCUUCCUUGAGUCAGGGAGACUCAACUUCUUGAACUCCACAUGGGUGUUUCCAAGUGGAGGUAGAGGAGCCUCCUCCUCAUCGGAACUUGUUCCUUCCUUCCCCUUGGGUUCAUAAUCUUCUUCCUCAUCAGUGGUUCAACCAUAACGAUCCAAGUCCCCAUAAACAUGGGGUUAGCGAGGUAAUCAUACACAUAGCUCUCCCCCUCUGAAUCCUGAGAAGACAUCUUGACCUAAAUCUACGGCAGAAAACAGGCUCGAAACGAGAACAGAGGAAAUCUGCGUGGUACGAGGGUCAGACCUUACGGGAGAAUAUAUAAUGGUUUUUUCUAGACCAGAAGGAGUACUCCGCACGAAAACGGAGUCCGGGAGGCACACGAGGUGGCAACAAGACCCCCAGGCGCGGCCAGGGGGUGGGCCCGCGCCUGGCAGGCUUGUCGCCUCCACGCGCGCUUUCCGGACUACUUCCAUUUUUUCUAUUUUUUCAAAAAUUCCAAAACGGAGAAAAAAUCCUACUGGAAAUGUUUUGGAGUCUGUUUUCUUGCCGAAUCACAUACCUCUUCGUUUUCGGAUUCUGAAACAGGCUGAUAAAUAGGCACCUUCCAUUUAGAGAGAAGCUUGCGUGCAAAAAAUCUUAAACGAGAAUUAUAUAGCGAGACAUAAUCACCUACAUUGAACUCACUCUUUUGUAUCCUCUUAUCAUGCCACCUCUUAACCUUUUCUUUGAACAACUUGGCAUUUUCAUAUGCCUGAGCUCUCCAUUCAUCAAGCAAGCUAACGUCAAAUAACCUCUUCUCACCAGCAAGAUUGAAAUCAAAGUUGAGCUCUUUGAUUGCCCAAUAAGCUUUAUGCUCUAGCUCAAGAGGUAAAUGACAUGCUUUACCGUACACCAUUUUGUACGGAGACAUGCCCAUGGGAGUCUUAUAGGCAGUUCUAUAAGCCCACAGUGCAUCAUCGAGCUUCUUAGACCAAUUCUUUCUAGACCCGUUGACAGUCUUUUGCAGAAUUAGUUUAAUUUCCCUAUUGCUUAGCUCUACUUGACCACUGGACUGAGGAUGAUAGGGGGACGCAAUUCUAUGGUUGACAUCGUACUUAGCAAGCGUUUUAUGGAAAGCACCAUGAAUGAAAUGUGAACCACUGUCAGUCAUUAGAUAUCUAGGGACUCCAAAUCUAGGGAAGAUAACUUCUUUAUGCAUCCUAAUAGAUGUGUUGUGAUCAGCACUACUAGUGGCGAUAGCUUCUACCCACUUAGUGACGUAAUCAACAACAACUAAGUUGUGAGUAUACCCGUUGGAUUUUGGAAAAGGUCCCAUAUAAUCAAAGCCCCAAACAUGAAAUGGUUCAAUGACAAGUGAAUAGUUCAUAGGAAUUUCCUGACAUUUACCGAUAUUACCUAUUCUUUGACAUUCGUCACAAGACAAGACAAACUUACGGGCAUCCUUGAAAAGAGUGGGCCAAUAGAAUCCUGAUUGCAAUACCUUGUGUGCAGUUCUAUCUCCCGCAUGGUGUCCUCCAUAGGCCUCAGAGUGACACUUCUGUAGGAUCUAUCCCUGUUCAUGUUCAGGUACACAAUGUCUAAUAACACCAUCUACUCCUUCCUUAUAAAGGUGAGGAUCAUCCCAGAAGUAAUGUCUCAAGUCAAAGAAGAAUUUCUUCUUUUGCUGGUAUGUGAAACUAGGUGGUAUAUAUUUGGCGACAAUAUAGUUUGCAUAAUCAGCAUACCAUGGUGCACUACGUGAAGUAUUGAUGACAUUCAUUUGCUCAUCGGGAAAGCUAUCAUCAAUAGGUUGUGGGUCAUCAAGAACGUUCUCUAAGCAAGACAAGUUAUCUGCUACGGGGUUAUCAGCACCAUUCGUGUCGACAAGGUGCAAAUCAAAUUCUUGUAGCAAGAGAACCCAUCUGAUAAGUCUAGGUUUAGCGUCUUUCUUCUCCAUGAGGUACUUAAUAGCAGCGUGAUCAGUGUGAAUACUGACUUUGGGAUCAACUAUGUAGGACCUGAACUUUUCACAUGGAAACACGACUGCUAAAAAUUCCUUCUCCGUAGUAGCAUAGUUUCUUUGGGCACUGUCUAGAGUUUUACUAGCAUAGUGAAUAGCAUUCAACUUCUUAUCAACUCUUUGCCCUAGGACAGCACCAACAGCAUAAUCACUAGCAUCACACAUGCUUUCAAAAGGUAAGUUCCAAUCAGGUGGUUGAACAAUAGGUGCAGUUAUCAAAGCCUUCUUAAGUAUUUCGAAGGCUUCCUCACACUCAUUGUCAAAAACAAAAGGAAUAUCCUUUUGCAAGAGAUUGGUAAGAGGCCUAGAAAUCUUAGAGAAGUCUUUAAUGAACCUUCUAUAGAAACCAGCAUGACCAAGGAAACUUCUUAUACCUUUGAUAUCUGUGGGGUAUGGCAUUUUCUUGAUUGCAUCAACUUUAGCCUUAUCGACUUCAAUACCUCUUUCAGAAAUUUUAUGUCCUAAGACGAUGCCUUCAUUAACCAUGAAGUGGCACUUCUCCCAAUUCAAGACAAGAUUGGUGUCUUUACAUCUCUGCAAGACUCGAUCAAGGUGGCUGAGGCAAUCGUCAAAAGAAGACCCGUAAACAGAGAAGUCAUCCAUGAAAACCUCAACAAUCUUUUCACAAAAGUCAGAGAAUAUAGCCAUCUUACAUCUUUGAAAGGUGGCAGGUGCAUUACAUAAGCCAAAAGGCAUACGUCUAUAAGCAAAGGUACCGAAAGGGCAGGUGAAAGUGGUUUUCUCCUGAUCAGAUUGUGCAACUGGUAUUUGGGAGAAACCAGAAUAACCGUCUAGAAAGCAGAAGUGUGUGUGUUUGGACAAUCUUUCUAGCAUUUGGUCGAUAAAAGGCAAAGGGUAAUGAUCUUCAGAGUUGUGUUUAAUUCUUUCCAAUAAAUUCCAUUUGAAGUCAAUAUCUCUCUUCGUAAAAGAACCGGUACAAGAAGUAUCAAGCAUGGUGCGAUCAUCAUGAGAAAGCCGAGCAUAGAAGUUGUGAAUGAUAAUUUCUCUCGAGAGCUCAUGAUUGGGGCAUGAAUAUAACAUUGACUUAAGCCUCCCCCAAGCUUGAGCGAUGCUUUCUCUGUCACGAGGCCAAAAAUUAUAAAUAUAAUUCCGAUCACGAUGUACUAAAUGCAUAGGAUAAAAAAUUUGAUGAAAUUCCAAUUUCAAGCGAUUGUAGUUCCAUGAUCCACUAUCAUCACAUAGCCUAUACCAUGUCAACGCCUUAUCUCUCAAAGAUAAGGGAAAGACCUUCUUCUUGACCUCAUCCUUGGGCAAACCUGCAAGCUUAAAUAAACCACAAACUUCAUCUAUAUAGAUUAGAUGCAAGUGUGGAUGUGAUGUUCCAUCUCCUCUAAAAGGAUUAGCCAGCAAUUUCUCAAGCAUACCCGAAGGAUAUUCAAAGAAAAUAUUUUCAGUAGGUGCAGCAGGUUGAGGAGCAACUCUUUGUGCUUCCGUUCGAGGUGAAGAUACCCCGAACAAGCCCCUCAAAGGAUUAGUUUCCAUAGUGACAAGUGACAAUAAAUUUCAGCACACUAUAUGAAUGUUUCCUUCCCAAGUUCCACUUACCAAAGGCACUUCACUCCCCGACAACGGCGCCAGAAAACAGUCUUGAUGACCCACAAGUAUAGGGGAUAUAUCGUAGUCCUUUCGAUAAGUAAGAGUGUCGAACCCAACGAGGAGCAGAAGGAUCUGACAAGUGGUUUUCCGCAAGGUAAUAUCUGCACGCACUGAAAUUAUCGGUAACAAGUGAUUGUGUGGUGAGAUCAUUCGUAGCAAGCAACAAGUAACAAAAGUAACAACGGUGCAGCAUAGUGUCCCAAUCCUUUUGUAGCAAGGGACAAGCCUGGACAAAGUCUUAUAGGAGGAAAAACGCUCCCGAGGACACACGGGAAUUUCUGCCACGCUAGUUUUCGUCAUGUUCAUAUGAUUCGCGUUCGUUACUUUGAUAGUUUGAUAUGUGGGUGGACCAGCGCUUGGGUAUUUCCCUUACUUGGACAAGCAUCCCACUUAUGAUUAACCCCUCUCGCAAGUAUCCGCAACUACGAAAGAAGAAUUAAGACAAAGUCUAACCAUAGGAUUAAACUAGUGGAUCCAAAUCAGCCCCUUACGAAGCAACGAAUAAACUAGGGUUUAAGCUUCUGUCACUCUAGCAACCCAUCAUCUACUUACUACUUCCCAAUGCCUUCCUCUAGGCCCAAAUAAUGGUGAAGUGUUAUGUAGUCAACGUUCACAUAACACCACUAGAGGACAAACAACAUACAACACAUCAAGUUACCGAACGAAUACCAAAUUCACAUGACUACUAUUAGCAUGACUUAUCCCAUGUCCUCAGGAACAAAAGUAACUACUCACAAAGCAUUAUCAUAUUCAUGACCAGAGAGGUAAUGAGUAGCAUCAAGGAUCUGAACAUAAACUCUUCCACCAAAUAAUCCAACUAGCAUCAACUACAAAGAGUAAUUAACAAUACUAGCAACCUUACAAGUACCAAUCGGAGUCGGGAGACAGAGAUUGGUUACAUGUGAUGAACUAGGGUUUGGAGAUGAGAUGGUGAUGAUGAAGAUGUUGAUGGUGAUGAGUCCCAUCCGAUGAGAGGAGUGUUGGUGAUGAUAAUGGCGACAAUUUCCCCCUCGGGAGGGAAGUUUCCCCGGGAGGAUCGUCCUACCGGAGCUCUAGAUUGGUUCUGUUCAAGUUCCGCCUCGUGGCGGCGGCGAAUCCUCGAAAAAGCCUCCUCCUGAUUUUUUUUCGGAAUGAAACCCUUCAUAUAGCAGAAGAGGGGGGCCAGUGGGCCAGCAGGGAGCCCACAAGCCCCCUAGGCGCGGCCAGGGGGGUGGCCGCGCCUACCAGGCUUGUGGCCCCCUGGUUGCGCUCCUCUGGCACUUCUUCGGCCCAGUAUUUUUUAUAUAUUCCCAAAAAAAUCCACGUUGAUUUUCACGGCUUUUGGAGUUGCGCAGAAUAGGCAUCUCAAACUUGCUCCUUUUUCAGGCCAGAAUUCCAGCUGCCGACAUUCUCCCUCUUCAUGUAAACCUUGCAAAAUAAGAGAGAAAAGGCAUAAGUAUUGUCCCGUGAAGUGAAAUAACAGCCCAAAAAGCAAUAAAUAUCAACAUGAAAGCAUGAUGCAAAAUGGACGUAUCACAACGCCAACAGCAUAAUCACUAGCAUCACACAUGCUUUCAAAAGGUAAGUUCCAAUCAGGUGGUUGAACAAUAGGUGGAGUUAUCAAGGCCUUCUUAAGUAUUUCGAAGGCUUCCUCACAAUCAUCGUCAAAAACAAAAGGAAUAUCCUUUUGCAAGAGAUUGGUAAGAGGCCUAGAAAUCUUAGAGAAGUCUUUAAUGAACCUUCAAUAGAAACUAGCAUGACCAAGGAAACUUCUUAUACCUUUGAUAUCUGCGGGGCGUGGCAUUUUCUCGAUUGCAUCAACCUUAGCCUUAUCAACUUCAAUGCCUCUUUCAAAAAUUUGAUGUCCUAAGACGAUGCCUUCAUUAACCAUAAAGUGGCACUUCUCCCAAUUCAAGACAAGAUUGGUAUCUUUACAUCUCUGCAAGACUCGAUCAAGGUUGCUGAGGCAAUCAUCAAAAGAAGACCCGUAAACGGAAAAGUCAUCCAUGAAAACCUCAACAAUCUUUUCACAAAAGUCAGAGAAUAUAGUCAUCAUACAUCUUUGAAAGGUGGCAGGUGCAUUACAUAAGCCAAAAGGCAUACGUCAAUAAGCAUAGGUACCGAAAGGGCAGGUGAAAGUGGUUUUCUCCUGAUCAUAUUGUGCAACUGGUAUUUGGGAGAAACCAGAAUAACCAUCUAGAAUGGAGAAGUGUGUGUGUUUAGACAGUCUUUCUAGCAUUUGGUCGAUAAAAGGCAAAGGGUAAUGAUCUUUUCUAGUGGCCUUAUUCAAUUUCCUAAAAUCGACCACCAUCCUAUAGCCAGUAAUAAUCCUCGGAGGGAUCAAUUCAUCCUUAUCAUUAGGGACAACGGUAAUACCUCCCUUCUUAGGGACGCAGUGCACCGGACUUACCCAAUCACUAUGAGCAACAUGAUAGAUAAUACCUGCUUCCAGGAGCUUUAGUAUUUCUUUUCCUACUAUCUCUUUCAUCUUAGGAUUUAAUCUCAGUUGAUGAUUGGCAACUGGUUUGGAAUCAGGAUCGGUUUUAAUCUUGUGCUGGCAUCGAGUGAGACUAAUGCCUUUAAGAUCAUCAAGAGUAUAUCCAAUAGCAGCACGGUGCUUCCUGAGAGUUUUUAGUAACUUCUUUUUUUCAUGCUCUGAGAGGCUAGCACUAAUUAUAACAGGAUAUAUCUAUUUUUCAUCGAGAUAAGCAUACUUAAGAGUAUCAGGCAACUGUUUAAGUUCGAACACAGGAUCACCCUUUGGUGGGGGUGGUUCUCCAAACAGUUCAACAUGCAAAUUAUUCUUAAGGAUAGGAUAUUGUUCAAAGAUAACUCUAUCCAUCUCAUCCAUUUCAUCCAUAUGCAUAUCAUUUUCAUGCUCAAGCAAGUAUUGCUCUAAGGGAUCAGUAGGAGGCACGGCAGUAGAAGCUCGGGCAAUAAUUUCAUCCUUACUAGGCAACUCUUUUUCAUGAGGUUGUCUACCAAACUUGGAGAAAUUGAACUCAUGUGACACACCUUCAAAGCCAACAGUGACAGUUUGCUUCUCACAGUCAAUAUGAGCAUUGACAGUAUUGAGGACAGGUCUGCCAAAUAUGAUGGGACAAAAGCUAUCUUGUGUGGUAGCAAGAACGGGAAAAUCAGCAGGAUACUUCGUUUUACUACACAAGACUUCAACAUCUCUAACAAUUCCGAAAGGGCAUAUAGUAUCUCUAUUGACAAGCUGAAUAGUGACAUCAAUAGGUUCCAUCUCAACAGGUGCAAUCUCCUCUCUAAUUUCAUCAUAUAAGGGUUGAGGUAUUGCACUAACACUAGCACCCACGUCCCAUAAACCAUGAUAAAAUGAUCUCUUGUCUUAACAGAAACAACAUGCGUGCCAACAACAGGCCUAUGUUUGUCUCUAGCAUGGGGUUUAGCAAUUCUAGUAGCAUCUUCACAGAAGUGAAUAUCAUGGCCAUCAACAUUGUCGGAGAGGAGAUCUUUGAUAAUAGCAAUGCUAGGUUCAACUCUAUUUUUUUUUGACCGAUUAUUGUAGGGAAACACCCCACAGCUGUUAGUUUUAUUAAACAAUAUUUACAAUAAUCACAGCAUAGGGGAAUAGAAUGUACAGGGGCGGGGUAGAUAUUACAAACCUCAAGGAGGUAAAAAGGAAAUCCACUUCAAGAGAGCCUCUCUAAGCCUAGGUUUAAUUCUGUAAGCUAGAAGGGGCAUAUCAUGAAUAAAACCAGACCUCCAUCUCCUGAAUCUAGGUUGAUAAUUCCUGAAAACCUUGGCAUUCCUGACAGUCGAAAUGUUCGAGCACGCAGUGAAGACUGUCUCUGAGAAAAAAGGGUGGGCAAAGUCCUUCCUUGCAGCAAGAGUGGUAGUGUACAUGUCAGAUCCCUGCCAUGAAAUCUGAAGAUAGUUCCAUAUCCUAAUGCUAAAUGAGCAGCUGAAGAAAAGAUGGUCUCUGUCCUCCUUGACCUGAGCAUGACAGAGAACACGGAGGUUGGAUUCAGAAAUGUUCCAUUGUGUGCGUUCAAGCAUGUCCCGUGUAUUGAGUCUGUCCAUAAUAAGCAUCGAGGCAAACAUUUUUAUUUUGAUGGUACAACAGCUCUUCCAAAUCCAACAGAGCAAAGGAUUAGGAACAAUAGACUUGUGUAGAUGGUUGUAGUAUUUCUUAGCAGAGUAAGAUUUACUAUCAGGACCCCAAAGCCAAAUAAUCCUUGUUGUUUGAGUCUCUAUUUAGGUUUUGGACUAGAUAGCUGACUGUUUGAAACUCCUGAUGAUCUCUUUCUGACAGUGGUAGAUGAAAGAGAUUGAUCAUGCUAUAAGUGUGUGCAGCUUGGAAGACUUCCUCAGCAGUACAAAAAGAGUCCACAUCAAAAGAGAAUAAUCUUUGAAACCUUUGGGCCAGAGGCAUGAUAGAACCAUCUACAACCCAAGAAUCAGACCAGAACAUGAAUGUGUCACCUAUGUUGGGCACAACAUAGGUGACAGCCUUGAAGUUGUCCAUUUUUUUGCAGAUGUCCUUCCACCAGAAAGAGCCACAGAGAGAAGUCCCCUGAGGGAUAGUAUUGUGGUAGUAAGUAUCCUAAAUUAACUUCACCCAAGGAACAUCAGCUUUGUUGAGAAAUUUAUCUACAUGCUUGAGUAGGAGAGCUUCAUUCUGAAAAGCCAAAUUCAUAAUGCCCAUACCCCCCCCUUCAUUUUAGGCCUGCACACCAGGUCCCAUGCAGUAAGAUAGGGGGCAUGAUCCUGACCAUUUUUCCUCCACAGACAAUGCCUCUGAAUUCUUUCCAACUGCUUAACUAUUCCAGGGGGAUACCUAGACUGCACACAAAGAACAGUGGAACAGAGGACAGAGCAGAGUUGAGGUAUUGAAGCCUUCCCGCUUGAGUUAGAAAAGAGGAGCUGACAGAGAGCUUCCUCUCCAUACUGUCCACCAAGGGCAUGAGGUCAAUGAUUCUGGGUUUAGUUGUACCAAUAGGUAGGCCAAGAUAAGUGAAGGGAAGAGAUACAGUCUUACAACCUAUUGCAUCAGCCAGGAGUUGAAGAUGAUAUUGAUCAAUGUUUACUGGUAACAGAGCAGAUUUGUGGUAAUUCACCUGAAGACCUGUGGAUUGUGAGAAGACAAAGGCAUUGCUUUGAGCUCCAAAAGUUGUGAUUUAUCAGCAGGCAUGAUGAUAAGAGUAUCAUCAGCAUAUUGGACAAUUGGAAAAUCCUUGUCAUGACAGGGGAUUGGGAGCUACAGCAAACCAUCUUCUAACAACUUGUUAACCAAGGUCUCGAGAAAAUCUGCAGCUAUUGCAAAGAGUAGAGGGGACAAAGGAUCCCCCUGCCUAACCCCUCUUCUACACAUGAAUUUUUUACCAGGAACUCCAUUAACAAGGAUGGAGGAGGAUCCAGUGUUGAGCAACUGUUGAACCCAAAGAAGCCACUUGACAGGAAAACCUUUAUGCUGCAGGAUCUGAAGAAUAAACUCGUGUUCUAUAGAGUCAAAAGCCUUUUCAAAAUCUAGCUUUAGUAUGACAAUAGGUUUUUUAGACUGAUGACAUUGAUGCAAGUACUCAAGUGUCCAACCAACACAGUCCUGAAUGGUCCUAGACUUAAUGAAGCCAUACUGGUUCUUAUGAAUGCAGUUCAUAAUCUGUAGCUGAAGUCUAUUAGCAAUCAUUUUGGACGGAAAUUUAAGCCCCAUACCAGUGAGAGAGAUAGGCCUGAAGUCACUCUACCAGCAAUCAUUUUUGGCACAAGGGUGAUAUAGGAGGAGUUCAUGUUUUCCAGCUGGGCUGAUCCAGCAUGAAAUGCAGAAGCAAGUUGGUAAAACUCAGGGGAGAAGAUGUGCCAACAUUUUUUGAAAAAGAGUCCAUUAAAACCAUCAGGACCAGGUGCUUUGUCAAUAGGCAUUUCUUUGAUAGUGUUGUCCAUUUCCUCUUUGGAAAAAGGUUCAGUCAGAAUUGAUAGCCCUUCCACUUUUUGGAUGAGAGCUUGGAGAUCAAAAACUAAAUUAAUGCCAUGUGAGGUGCCCAUCCUAUCUUUGAAGGAAGACCAGAAGCAAGCAACAAUCUGUUCAUGUUCAAUGAUGACUGAACCAUCAGGCAAGGAGAGAGAUGAGAUGGAGUUUUCCGGUAUCUCUCAGUGGCCAUGGCAUGGAAAAAAUUUGUGUUCUCCUCCCCCACUUUAAUAUAUCUAAUUGUGGCUCUCUUUUUCCAGUACAGAAAUUGCAAAUGUAACAAGUGCUCCAAGUGAAAUUUGACAAUUAUCCUGAAGUUUGCUUCUAGUCUGUAUAGUGGCCUGAGCUCCUCAAGAUCAUCAAGACAGAGUAUUACAUUAUUGCAUUUGUCAAUAGUAGCUUUGAGUUUGGACAGGCUGGUUUGCCAUUUCCUUAGAGCAUGUCUAAGAUGCUUGAACUUGUCCAUGAUGAUAGCAGAUAUAUGCCCCUUUCUGGAAGGAACAUUCCAUGAGUUUGCAACACAUUCCAGGAAACCCUCCAUUUCUACCCAAUAGUUUUCAAACCUAAAAAGGUUACUUUUGGGAAUGGUUGUAUUAAGUGAGACUACACAUGGAACAUGGUCAGAAGCAGACUUAGCCAGAGGAGUCACUUGGGUCAAUGGAUAUGAAGAUAUCCAAUUAGCAGAAGUGAAGAACCAAUCAAGCUGUUCAAGAAGUGGAGAAUCUUGCAUGUUGGACCAGGUAAAAGAUCUUCCUUUGAGAGGCAGUUCCAAGAGUCCAAGGUGCCCAAUAAUCUCAUUGAAGAUGAACAUAUCAUUGACAUCAGCCCCUGGGAGGUUUCUGUUGGUAGGAGAACGCAGGAAAUUAAAGUCCCCAACCAGCAACCAGUUAUCCAUUACUGGUAUCUGGAGGUGAUAUAACCAGCUAACAAAUUGGUCCCUUGGCUCACCCUGACAAGGGCCAUAAACAUUGACAAGAGUCCAGGAUUCAGAAGUGUGAUUAGAGGUGAAGGACACAAUCAACCCAAAUGGCCGCACUGUUACCACAGUACCAGACAGCACUGAGGAAUUCCAUAGAGUAAUCAAGCCACCCGAAGCACCCCUCGAGGGGGUAUAAGCAAACUGAUCAAAUCUUUUGGGACAAAAUUUUCUGAUAGACCGGAAGUCGAUAUUUUGCAUUUUAGUUUCUUGCAGAGAGACAACUGUGUCAACGAUCCCGAUAGGAGCCGCAUAUCUCGUUCUCAGGACACGACGGAUGAGCUAUGGUUACCACGCCAAAACACUUAUUAACUGAGUGCCAAGUGCCAGUUCCUGUUUUUGACCCCUUUUAGAGGAGAUUUUGAAACGGAGUCCAAACAGAAUAAAAUUCCCGAAAAUAAUUUUUCCGUGACGGAAGAAGAUCAGGAGACUUGAGAGCCAAGGCAGGGGCCCCCAGGGGCCCCACAAGCCCUCACCCCGCGGCCAGGGCGGAGGCCGCGGCCCACAGGCUUGUGGGCCCCCUGGACGCCCUUUGCCCUAGGGGUUGCGCCUAUGUAUUCCCUAAAAAUCCCAAAAAAAUCAGGAGAUCAUCGAAAGUUCUUUUAUGCCGCUGCAAGCUUCUGUCUCCGCAAGAUCCCAUCUAGGGCACGUUCUGGUGCCCUGCCGGAGGGGGGAUUCGGACACAGAGUACUUCUUCAUCAACACCAUGACCUCUCCGAUGAUGCGUGAGUAGUUCACCAUAGACCUACGGGUCCAUAGCUAGUAACUAGAUGGCUUCUUCUCUCUCUUGGAUCUUCAAUACAAAGUUCUCCAUGAUCUUCAUGGAGAUCUAUCCGAUGUAAUCCUCUUUUGCGGUGUGUUUGUCGAGAUCCGAUGAAUUUUGGAUUUAUGAUCAGAUUAUCUAUGAAUCUUAUUUGAGUUUCUUCUGAUCUCUCUUAUGCAUGAUUUCAUAUCCGUGUAAUUCUCUUCGAGUUGUGGGUUUUGUUUGGCCAACUAGAUCUAUGAUUCUUGCAAUGCAGAAGUGCUUGGUUUUGGGUUCAUACCGUGCGGUGACCUCACCCAGUUACAGAAGGGGUAGCGAGGCACGCAUCGUUUUGUUGCCAUCAAGGGUAAAAAGAUGGGGUUUUCAUCAUUGGUUUGAGAUUAUCCCUCUACAUCAUGUCAUCUUGCUUAAGGCGUUACUCUGUUCGUCAUGAACUCAAUACACUAGAUGCAAGCUGGAUCGCGGUCGAUGUGUGGAGUAAUAGUAGUAGAUGCAGAAAGUAUUAGUCUACUUGUCUCGGACAUAAUGCCCAUAUGUAUGAUCAUUGCCUUAGAUAUCGUCAUGACUUUGUGUGGUUCUAUCAAUUGCUCGACAGUAAUUUGUUCACCCACUGUGAUAUUUGCUAUUUUGAGAGAAGCCUCUAGUGAACAUUAAGGCCCCCCAGGUCUACUCCACACCAUAUUUUCAGCCUUACACUUUUUACUUCGUUGCACUUUCCGCCUUCAGAUCUCACUUUGCAAACAAUCUUGAAGGGAUUGACAACCCCUUUGAAGCGUUGGGUGCAAGCUUGUUUGUGUUUGUGCAGGUACUCUGGACUUGACGAGACCCUCGUUCUGGAUCGAUACCUUGGUUCUCAAACUGAGAGAAAUAAUUACUGCUCGUGUGCUGCAUCACCCUUUCCUCUUCAAGGGAAAAACCAACGCAAGCCCAGUCUCCGUUAACGUGUCAAUUUCUGGCGCUGUUGUCUGUUGCCGUAGCAGAAGAAUUUCUGGCGCCGUUGCCGGGGAGGAAGAUCAAGUCAAGAACUCAUCCAAGUAGGUGUCGCAAACUCAUCUCUUGCAUUUACUUUGUUUGCCAAUUGCCUCUCGUUUUACUCUCCCCCACUUCACAAUUUGCCUUUUUCGUUUGCCUUUUUCGUUCGCCCUUUUUCCUCGCUUGCUCUUUGUUUGCUUGUGUGCUUGCUUGCUUGCCGAAGUCACCAUGAAUGAAAACACCAAACUUUGUGACUUCUCGAAUACUAAUAAUAAUGAUUUUAUUAGUACUUCGGAUGCUCCCGCCACUAGUGCGGAGUCAUACGAAUUCAAUGCCGCUUUGUUGAAUCUUGUUAUGAAAGAGCAAUUCUCCGGCCUUCCUAGUGAAGAUGUCGCAUUCCAUCUCAAUACCUUCAUUGAGCUUUGCGAUAUGCAAAAGAAGAAAGAUGUGGAUAAUGACGUGAUUAAAUUGAAGCUUUUUUCCUUUCUCGUUGCCAGAUCGCGCAAAAACUUGGUUUUCUUCUUUGCCCAAAAAUAGUAUCGAUUCUUGGGAUAAGUGCAAAGAUGCUUAUAUAUCCAAGUAUUUUCCGCCGGCUAAGAUUAUCUCUCUCCGUAAUGAUAUCAUGAAUUUCAAGUAACUUGAUAAUGAACAUGUUGCACAAUCUUGGGAGAGAAUGAAAUUAAUGAUUAGAAAUUGUCCCGCUCAUGGCUUGAGUCUUUGGAUGAUUAUUCAAAUCUUUUACGCUGGCUUGAAUAUCGCUUCUAGAAAUAUCUUGGACUCCGCCUCAGGUGGAACGUUCAUGGAAAUCACGUUAGGGGAGGCCACAAAGCUCCUAGACAAUACCAUGACGAACUACUCUAAGUGGCACACUGAAAGGUCACCUACUAGUAAGAAGGUACACGCUAUAGAGGAAAUUAACUCGUUGAGUGCUAAGAUGGAUGAGUUAAUGAAUUUGGUUGCUAGUAGAAGUGAUCCUUAAGAUCUUAAUGAUAUGCCCUUGUCUUCUUUGAUUGAGAGUAGCAACGCUAGCUUGGACGUUAAUUUUGUUGGUAGGAAUAACUUUGGCAACAACAAUGCUUUUAGAGGAAACUAUGUUCCUAGGCCUUUUCCUAGUAACUCCUCUAAUACUUUUGGCAACUCCUACAACAAUACUCAUGGAAAUUACAAUAGAUUACCUUCUGAUCUAGAGAGUAAUAUCAAAGAGUUUAUCAACUCACAAACAAAUCUCAAUGCGUCCAUAGAGGAAAAACUACUCAAAAUUGACGAUUUGGCUAAGAGCGUUGAUAGAAUGUCUAGUGAUGUUGAUGCUUUGAAACUUAGAUGUGCUCCUCCCAAGAUCAAUAUGGAUGAAACUUUGAAAGCUAUGCGUGUUUCCAUGAUUGAGAGCAAAGAAAGAACCACCCAAAUUCGUGCUAGACAUGAAUGGCUUAAAAAUGCGUGUUCUCGUGAUAAGAAUCACGAAGAUCUUAAAGUGCUUGGUGUGACUCCCAUUGAAUCUUUGUUUUCUUGUGUCAAACCUCAUGAUCAUGGGGCUGGAUAUGAAUCCACUUUGGUUGAAAAUUGCCCAAAUGAUUUGGAGUCCAUCUAUCUUGAUGCUAAAAGCAUUAAAAGUGGAGUAGAAGAUAUUAAAACUUUGAGUAGUAAUGAAAUUACUACCUUGGAUUUCAAGGAAUUCAAUUACGAUAGUUGCUCCUUGAUUGAAUGCAUUUCCUUGAUGCAAUCCAUGUUAAACUCUCCACACGCUUAUAGCCAAAACAAGACCUUUACCGAUCAUAUCGUCGAAGCUAUGAUAAAAUAUCUUGAAGGGAAACUUGAAUUGGAAGUCUCUAUCCCUAGAAAGGUUCAUGAUGAGUGGGAAACUACCAUCAAAAUCAAAAUCAAAAACUAUGAGUGCAAUGCUUUGUGUGAUUUGGGUGCUAGUGUUUCUGCGAUUCCAAAGUCUUUAUGUGAUGUUCUGGGUUUUAAUGAGAUUGAAGAGUGUUCUCUUAAUUUGCAUCUUGCUGAUUCUACUGUCAAGAAACCCAUGGGAAGGAUCAAUGAUGUUCUUAUUAUUGCAAAUAGGAACUAUGUACCCGUGGAUUUCAUUGUGCUUGACAUUGAUUGCAAUCCUACAUGCCCUAUUAUUCUUGGUAGACCUUUCCUAAGGACUGUCGGUGCUAUCAUCGAUAUGAAGGAAGGGAAUAUUAGAUUUCAAUUUCCUUUGAGGAAGGGCAUGGAACACUUUCCUAGAAAGAAAAUAAGAUUGCCUUAUGAUUUAUGAAUCCAUGAUGAGGGCCACUUAUGGUUUGAGCACCAAAGACGACGAUACGUGAUUCUAUCGCUUUUAUGCCUAGCUAGGGGCGUUAAACAAUAGCGCUUGUUGGGAGGCAACCCAAUGAAUUUAUCUUUUUCUUUCUCUUUUGUUGCAACCACACUUUCAUAAUUCUGUUGUGAUUGUUUUUUUUGUGUUUCUUUUUGUGUUUGAGCCAAGUAAAACCUUUAUGAUUAGUCUUGGUAAUGGUUGUUUGAUGCUGCUGGAAAAAGACAGAAACUUUUCGCUCACGAGAUGAUUUUUCAUUUUUAUUCAGAAAGAGCUUUUGAGUUGAUUAUUUUUGCUUCUGGUUGAUAUGCCUUUUUCCUAGGCCUUCGUAAUUGUUCACAUCUUUUGAGGUACCAGAAGUAUACGAAGUAUACAGAUUGCUACAGACUGGUCUGUUUUUGACAGAUUCUGUUUUUGUUGAGUUGGUUGCUUGUUUUGAUGAAACUAUGGUUAGUAUCGGGGGGGGGGUACUAGCCAUGAAAAAGUGAGAAUACAGUAGCCCAACACCAAUAUAGAUAGAAUUCAAGGUUGCUACAGUACCAAAAGAAGUGGUAGUUUGUUUUCUUGUGAUAAUGUUAUCACGAGUUUCUGUUUAAGUUUAGUGUUGUGAAGUUUUCAAGUUUUGGGUGAUGUUCUCAUGGACAAGGAGAUAAGGAGUGGAAAGAGCUCAAGCUUGUGGAUGCCCAAGGCAUCCCAAGACAAAUUCAAGGACACCAAAAAGCCUAAGCUUGGGGAUGCCCCGAGAAGGCAUCCCCUCUUUCGUCUUCAAUCCAUCGGUAACAUUACUUGGAGCUAUAUUUUUAUUCACCACAUGAUAUGUGUUUUACUUGGAGCGUCUUGUAUCUUAGGAGUGUUUUAUUUUUGUUGUGUCACAAUCAUCCUUGCUGCACACAUUUUUGAGAGAGAGAGACAUGCACUCAUCGUGAUUUUUGCUAGAAUGCUCAUAGUGCUUCACUUAUAUCUUUUGAGCUAGAUACUUUUGCUCUUUGUGCUUCACUUAUAUCUUUUAGAGCACGGCAGUGCAUGAUUUGGUAGUUGGCUUAUGCUAUGAAAGUAGUCCCAAAUGUGAUAGGUACCCAAAUAGGAUGCAAAAAACCUCCAUCUUCAUGUGCAUUGAGUAGAAAGAGAAGUUUUAAUUCCUCUCAAUUAGUUUUGAGACGUGGAUUUGGUAAUAUUAAGAGCUAUUUUAGUAGGGUGUUGUGAAUCUAGAAAUACUUGUGUUGAAGUUAGUGAUUCCCGUAGCAUGCACGUAUGUUGAACUGCUAUGUUAGGAAGUCAGAGCAUAAUUGAUCUAUUGAUUGUCAUCCUUUGUGUUGAGGUCGGGAUCGCGCGAUGGUUAACACCUACCAACCCUUCCCCUAGGAGUAUGCGCUUAGGACUUUGUUUCGAUUACUAAUAAAAACUUUUGCAACAAGUAUGUGAGUUCUUCAUGACUAAUGUGAGUCGAUGGUAUAGAUGCACUUUCACCUUUCGCCAUUGCUAGCCUCUCUAGUGCCGCGCAAUUCUCGCCGGUACACAAACCCACCAUAUGCCUUCCUCAAAACAACCACCAUACCUACCUACUAUGGCAUUUUCCUAGCCAUUCCGAGAUAUAUUGCCAUGCAACUCCCAUCGUUCCGUGUCAUGACUUGUGUUCUCACUCUCAUAUUGCCAUUGCAUGGUCGUAAGAUAGCUAGCGAGUCAUACGCCAUGCUAGAUCGUUGCACAUCCCAGUACACUGCCGGAGGCAUUUCCUAUAGAGUCAUAAUCAUUUUGAGCUGUGAGUAAAUAAAAGUGUGAUGAUCAUCAUUAUUAGAGCAUUGUCCCAUGUUAGGAAAUAAAAAAAGAGGCCAAAGAGCCCAAAAAAAGAAAGGAAAAAAAGAGAGGCCUAAAUUGAAAAAAAAGAGAAGGGACAAUGCUACUAUCUUUUUCCACACUCGUGCUUCAUAAUAGCACCAUGUUCUUCAUGAUUGAGAGCUUCUUGCUUUAUCACUACCAUAUGCUAGUGGGAAUCUUCAUUAUAUAACUUGGCUUGUAUAUUCCAAUGAUGGGCUUCCUCAAAAUUGCCCUAGGUCUUCGUGAGCAAGCAAGUUGGAUGCACACCCACUAGUUUUCCUUUUGAGCUUUCACAUACUUAUAGCUCUAGUGAACCUCUUGUAUGGAAAUCCCUACUCAUUCACAUUGAUAUCUAUUAAUGGGCAUCUCCAUAGCCUUUUGAUACGCCGAGUCAAUGUGACCAUCUCCUCCUUUUUGUCUCACAACCACCACCACACUCUAUUCCACUUAUAGUGUUAUAUCCAUGGCUCACGCUCAUGUAUUGCGUGAUAGUUAUAAAAAGUUUGAGAAAGUAAGAGUGCGAAAACAAUUACUUGGCCAAUACCAGGGUUGUACAUGAUUUACAUUAGUUGUGUGAGGAUGAUGGAGCAUAGCUAGACUAUAUGAGUUUGUAGGGAUAACUUUCCUUGGCCUUGUUAUUUUGAAAGCUCAUGAUUACUUUGCUAGUUUGCUUGAAGUAUUAUUGUUUUCAUGUCAAUAGCUAACUAUUGUUUUGAAUCUUAUGGAUCUGAACAUUCAUGUCACGUGAAAAAAGUUGCAAAGGACAACUAUGCUAGGUAGCAUUCCACAUCAAAAAUUCAUUCUUUAUCACUUCCCUACUCGAGGACGAGCAUGAGUUAAGAUUGGGGAUGCUUGAUACGUCUCCAACGUAUCUAUAAUUUUUUAUGGUUUCAUGCUAUUAUCUUGUCAAACUUUGGAUGUUUUUCAUGCCUUUUAUAUAUUUUUUGGGACUAACUUAUUAACUCAGUGCCAAGUGCUAGUUCCUGUUUUUUCCAUGUUUUUGACACCUUUCAGAGGAGAUUUUGAAACGGAGUCCAAACGGAAUAAAAUCUCCGAAAAUAAUUUUUCCGUAACGGAAGAAGAUCAGGAGACUUGAGAGCCAAGGCAGGGGCCCCCAGGGGCCCCACAAGCCCUCACCCCGCGGCCAGGGCGGAGGCCGCGGCCCACAGGCUUGUGGGCCCCCUGGACGCCCUUUGCCCUAGGGGUUGCGCCUAUGUAUUCCCUAAAAAUCCCAAAAAAAUCAGGAGAUCAUCGAAAGUUCUUUUAUGCCGCCGCAAGCUUGUGUCUCCGCAAGAUCCCAUCUGGGGCACGUUCUCGUGCCCUGCCGGAGGGGGGAUUCAGACACGGAGGGCUUCUUCAUCAACACCAUGACCUCUCCGAUGAUGCGUGAGUAGUUCACCAUAGACCUACGGGUCCAUAGCUAGUAACUAGAUGGCUUAUUCUCUCUCUUGGAUCUUCAAUACAAAGUUCUCCAUGAUCUUCAUGGAGAUCUAUCCGAUGUAAUCUUCUUUUGCGGUGUGUUUGNNNNNNNNNNNNNNNNNNNNNNNNNNNNNNNNNNNNNNNNNNNNNNNNNNNNNNNNNNNNNNNNNNNNNNNNNNNNNNNNNNNNNNNNNNNNNNNNNNNNNNNNNNNNNNNNNNNNNNNNNNNNNNNNNNNNNNNNNNNNNNNNNNNNNNNNNNNNNNNNNNNNNNNNNNNNNNNNNNNNNNNNNNNNNNNNNNNNNNNNNNNNNNNNNNNNNNNNNNNNNNNNNNNNNNNNNNNNNNNNNNNNNNNNNNNNNNNNNNNNNNNNNNNNNNNNNNNNNNNNNNNNNNNNNNNNNNNNNNNNNNNNNNNNNNNNNNNNNNNNNNNNNNNNNNNNNNNNNNNNNNNNNNNNNNNNNNNNNNNNNNNNNNNNNNNNNNNNNNNNNNNNNNNNNNNNNNNNNNNNNNNNNNNNNNNNNNNNNNNNNNNNNNNNNNNNNNNNNNNNNNNNNNNNNNNNNNNNNNNNNNNNNNNNNNNNNNNNNNNNNNNNNNNNAAUACACUAGAUGCAUGCUCGAUAGCGGUCGAUGUGUGGAGUAAUAGUAGUAGAUGCAGAAAUUAUCAGUCUACUUGUCUCGGACGUGAUGCCUAUAUUUAUCAUCAUUGCCUUAGAUAUCGUCAUGACUUUGCGUGGUUCUAUCAAUUGCUCGACAGUAAUUUGUUCACCCACCGUGAUAUUUGCUAUUUUGAAAGAAGCCUCUAGUGAAUACUAUGGCCCCCGGGCCUACUCCACACCAUAUUUUCAGCCUUACACUUUUUACUUCGUUGCACUUUUCGCCUUCAGAUCUCACUUUUGCAAACAAUCUUGAAGGGAUUGACAACCCCCUUGAAGCGUUGGGUGCAAGCUUGUUUGUGUUUGCGCAGGUACUCUGGACUUGACGAGACCCUCCUUCUGGAUCGAUACCUUGGUUCUCAAACUCAGGGAAAUACUUAUUGCUCCUGUGCUGCAUCACCCUUUCCUCUUCAAGGGAAAAACCAACGCAAGCCCAGUCUCUGUCAACGUGUCAAUUUCUGGCGUUGUUGUCAGUUGCGGUAGCAACCAGCUGGCACGUGCAACUAGCAAAGCUAACAAAAUAGUGGUUGAGCAAGCCUAAGUUAGCCAAUCAACAUUUACUAGAAGGGGAGGUGUUUGAGGUUUCAUGGCAAUGUUUGAUAGCCUACAUAUCAUGUGGUAGGCAGCAGAGAUGUAACGAAGGAAACGUAACACUAAGCAAAACAAAGCUAGAAACGGUGUCAAGGUCACGAUCAUCUUGCAUGUGAUUUCUUCAGAGUGGAAGUGAUCAUGAUCUUCCCGCACGAACUCACCGGACUCUUCCAACUCGUUUCCAGUCCUAGUAGCUACCCAAAAGAAAACAAGCAGGAAAUAAAUACCAGCAAGAAGAUGACGCCAAAGACAUAAUGAUGCAUGCAUGCACUACCUAUAACCAUGCACAUAAACCACCCUACACCGAUAAAACUAUUGCCACCUCACCACAAGGGGACUCCUACAGAAAGGCUCAAAACCAGAAACGAGUACCACCAUAUGAUUCCUUGGGAUUUUCUACCCCAAAUGCAUAUAUCAUACUGCCCAUGUUGCAUUCAGAAAAACACCACAAACAAUGAAAGAAAAACUAGCACACAUCAAACUACAACAAUAUUCAGAAUAGGGAUGUUCUUGGGUCUGCCCAAUUUGGCAAGUUCAUAUCUGGACAAUUCCAGAAAUGGAAAUAUUCCUAUUUAACACAAAUAAAUACACAAACAAUAAAAAAUAACAGGAAAUAUAUGAUAAGUAGGGGAACCCACGUGGCAGUGGCGAGGGCCCCCUCACUCUAUGACAUGUGGGCCCCUCUUGCCCACUGUCAGCCACACACUCACACACAACCUCCACAUAGCACACACACACUGGAAAAUGACCUCAACAAAAAUAGGUGCAGAGGGGAUUCGAACCCUGCACCUCUGCCCACAUACACACAUGCCACACCACUUCACUAGACGAGUAUAGCUGCACUAGAAGGGGUCGAAGGCCUCCUGUACUGAUGCCAUGCCACUACUAAACUAUAGACUUACAACGAAAAUUAAAAAGGGGGCCGACGGGGACUCGAAUCCGCGACGCACUGGAUCUACCACACACCCCUAACCACUACGCUACUGAACGGAAGCUUGGCAGAGAGGGGGUAUGUCUCCUUUUGAGCAGCCCAUGUGCACGUGCACACCAUCACGUGGCGGCCGGAACAGGGGAAGACGGCGGUGAGGCUACCACCUCUAGUCGGCAUGGCUGGCUACCGGUGGGGGAUGCGGGACCCUACGGGGUUCUAUUCCCGUGGCUAACGCAAUGGGAGAGAGGCUGCACCGGCGACGCGAUGGAGCUGCUGCCCCUCGUCACGACAAAGCACAACAGCGGCGAAGACCAUGCACAGCGAGGGAAUAGGCACGCGGGAGAGGGGGAGAAGAAGACGCGUCUCACCCAGGGGCACGGAGACGAGGACGAUCUGCUCACGGGAGAGGAAGAAGAGGCGAGGCGGAUUCGCGUUGGAGCUGCACCCGCUCUGGCGACGGCGACCCACACACAACGCCGGGGAGGGGGAUCCGCCCUCCUAGCGACGGGAACGGGUCGAGGGAAGUUCUGGCAUCCUCGUGGCCACCUUGAUCUCCACGGGAGAAGUUUGCCGGCGACGAGGGGACGUGGGGACGGCAGCGAAGCUCUCUGCUUUCUCUCUGGACCUCUCUGCUCUACUUCACUAUUGCAUCUUACCUUGGAGAAGGGGAAAGAAGGAGGGAGAAAAGGAUGGUGACGGAGGAUGAGGAAUGCAUGCAUCCCUAGGUCACGUCGGAGCUUAAAUAGGGCGACGCUGACGAACCUCGACGUCCGUGCAGUGCCAUGCGGCAGCCUCUCUCUCUCACGCACUAUUGCUAACUCACAGAAAAGGGAGGAGAGAAGGAGACGGCGUCACAGAAAGGAGAGGCAGGUGGGCUGGCUCGCGAGAAGAGAAUGGAAUGGGCCAGGAAGCCCACUAGACUCUCACUCUCUCUCAAAACUAUCUGGUAUUUUUAAAGAAAAAAUAAAACACAACCAGCUUUGGGGAUUUGAGCUAGGGGAAAAGAAAAGAGUUUUUGUCAAAGUAAAAAUUCUUUUGGAAAUAUAAAAUGAACCUCCUAUUUAUAAAAAUAGGUGGGACAUUUUAGAGUGAAGAAAAAUAACAUGUUUUAUUUGAAUGUGGCUCUGUUUUAAAAUAAAACAAAAGGAAAAAUAAAUGCAAAUAAGUGUGUGUUGCCACCCACAAAUCUUUGAAAGGGGUAUUAAAUAAUUUGAACAAUUUUAAUAGGUCAAAACAAAAACUUCAAAUCUACCCUAAGCUAUUUGAAAGGAGAGAGGGUUUUUGGACAUGGCGCAACUAAGGUUUUGAAGGGCUCUUGUUGCACCCACACCACACUCCACAAGAACAAUCACAAGACACAUGCAAUCACAUACACCACCAAGGUGACCACCACACCAAGAUCAAACAUGGAAGACAAAAUAAAUAAAUGUUAUGCAUGAUGCAUGAUGCACAUGAAAUGAAAACAUCACCAAGUCUCUCAUCCAUCACAUUGCAUCACAAGGUUGCCAAACAUGGAAAGAGUUCAAAAGAAGGGAGGAAAAGCAUUGGGUCUGUCACAACUCUCCCACACUACAAGAGGGUGUUGACCUGAGAUCUAUGAUUGGAAGAACGUUGGGUACUCGGAACGGAGGUGGUCCUCGCGGUCCGAGGUGGCUUCUUUGUCUAAAUGAUGUGACCAUUGCACUUUGAGGAACUUGAUUGACUUAUUGCGGGUCUUGCGCUUAGUCUCUUCAAGUAUUGCUAUCGGAUGCCCAUGGUAGGAUAGGUCGGGCUGGAGGUCGAUAUCCUGGAGAUCACCUGUAAGCUCGGGAGUCUUGAAGCAUCUCCGGAGCUGAGAGACAUGAAACACAUCAUGCACAUUUGAGAAGUUGGAAGGAAGCUCUAACUGAUAAGCAAGAUCGCCUCUCUUACCAACAAUUCUGAAAGGACCAACAAAGCAAGGAGCGAGCUUUCCUUUGAUGCCAAAGCGUUGAGUGCCCUUCAUGGGAGACACUUUCAGAUACACAAAAUCAUCGAGGUGAAAAGUCAUGUCAUGAUGCUUGCUAUCGUAGUAGCUCUUCUAACGGGACUGAGCUGCUUUGAGAUUAUCCCAAAUGACACGACACAUUUCUUCUGCUUCAGUAAUCAUGUCAUUCCCAAGAAUCUGACGCUCAAUAGUUUGUGACCAAUUGAGCGGGGUACGACACUUCCUGCCACAUAAAAUCUAGAAUGGGGCCUUGCGUGAGCUUGCUUGAAAGUUCUUGUUGUAUGAGAACUCGGCAAAUGGUAGGCAAUCUUCCCACUUCAUGCCAAAAGAAAUCACACAAGCUCUGAGCAUAUCUUCAAGGAUGUGAUUGACUCUCUCAAAUUGCCCACUUGUCUGAGGAUGGAAAGGUGUACUGAAACGGAUAUUAGUACCCAUCGCAGUCUGAAAGGAAUCCCAGAACUUGGAAGUAAAGAUGCUUCCACGAUCUAAAGAAAUGAGCAUAGGAACACAGUGCAACGAGACUAUCCUUAACGUAUACAACUCUGCCAGCUAAGGUGCUGAGAUAGACUCUUUGACCGAUAGCAAAUGAGCAACUUUGGUCAACUUGUCGAUGACGAUGAAGAUGGCAUCGUUCCUUUCUUGGACUUCGGAAACCCACUGACAAAAUCCAUCUGCACAUGAUCGAAUUUCCACUCGGGUAUAGGCAAGGGAUGAAGAAGACCUGUUGGACGUUGAUGCUCCGCCUUCACUCUGCGACACACAUCACAGUCGUUUACAAACUAAGCAAUCUCACGUUUCAUGGAGUCCACCCGAAGGUCUGCUUCAGAUCCUGAUACAUUUUGGAGCUUCUUCGAUGUAUCGAGAGAAGGGAAUUAUGGGCUUCAUCCAUGAUAAUUUUCCUGAGCUCUCCUUUCGAAACAACAAGGCGGUCCUCGAAGAACAAGGUAUCUUUGUCAUCAACACGGAAGCACUUUUAUUUCAGAGUGCUCUUUGCCAUGCCAAUCUUAACUUUUUUCACCACCACAUCAAGAAGUUGAGCUUGUCGGACUUAGUCUUCCAAGCUAGGAGAAAUCUGGAGAUUAGCAAGAAAUCCAUGAGGUACUAACUGAAGGUUGAGCUUCCUGAAAUAUUCACAAAGAUCGGGCUGGAGAGGCUUCAGAAUGAGACUGUUGCAGUAAGCCUUUCUGCUCAAAGCAUCUGUAAUGACAUUUGCUUUGCGUGGAGUGUAGUCAACGCUCGGAUUAUAAUCUUGGAUCAUUUCCACCCAACGAUUUUGCCAAAGAUUGAGACUAGGUUGGGUGAAGAUGUAUUUGAGACUCUUGUGAUCGGUGUAGACCGCAACCUUUCUGCCCAACAAGAGAUGUCUCCAAGUCAUCAGAGCAUGGACCACUGCCGCCAACUCAAGAUCAUGAGUGGGGUAAUUCUUCUCAGUUGGCUUCAACUGCCUCGAGGUAUAAGCUAACACUUUCUCCUCUUGCAUCAGAACUGCACCAAGACCUUGAAGAGAGGCAUCACAAAACACUUGAUAAGGCUUGUAAUCAUUAGGAGGAGUCAAUACUGGAGUAGAAGUGAGCUUCUCUUUGAGUGUGUCGAAGGCCAACUGACACACUGGAGACCAGACAGACGUCACACUAUUCUGAAGAAGGCUUGACAGAGGCUUAGCAAUCUUGGAGAAGUUCUCAAUGAACCUUCUGCAAUAGCUUGUAAGCCCGAGAAAGCUUCGAAGAUGCUUCACAGCAUGAGGAGGUUCCCACUCAACAAUGGCCUGCACCUUUGAUGGAUCAACUUUGAUGCCCUCGGAAGAGAUGAUGUGCCCAAGGUACACAACUUCCUUCAACCAGAACUCGCAUUUGGAAAACUUAGCAUAGAACUUAUGCUCUCUUAGCUUAUCAAGCACAAGCCGGAGAUGUUCUUCACGCUCUUCCUCAGUUUCAGAAAAGACCAGAAUGUCAUCAAGAUACAUCAAGACAAAUUCAUUCUUGAAUGGGGAGACGACAUAAUUCAUCAUCUGAUAGAAGGUCGGCGGAGCAUUGGCAAGACCAAAAGACAUCAUUGUGUACUCAUAAGUGCCAGAGCUUGUCCUGAAUGCAGUAUUGUGAAUGUCUUCUUCACGAAUGCGGAUUCGAUGAUAGCCCAUCCUGAGAUCAAGCUUAGAGAAAAUAUUGGCCCCCUUCAAUUUCUCGAACAGUUCAUUGAUGUUGGGAAGUGGAUACUUGUUUCUGAUCGUCUUCUUAUUCAAUGGACGAUAAUCGACACAGAGUCGGUCCGUUCCAUCCUUCUUCUUGACAAAAAGAAAUCAACAACCCCAAGGAGAUGAGCUUGUUGUGAUCAGACCCAGACGCUCUUGCUCAUCAAGCUUCUUCUUCAACUCUUUCAAAUCUUCUGGACCCAGUUUAUACGGCCACUUGCAUACUGGUUCAGUUCCCGGUUCAAGCUCAAUUACGAACUCAACUGCCCGGUGCGGAGGCAUUCCAAGCAGUUCUUCCGGAAAGGCAUCUUCAUACUCACAGACCACUGGGUCGUGUCAAGGAAAACAGACGGAUCGUGUCAUCGCGCGCAGCAAAGAUAAUCACGUCCUCCGAAGGAUGAGUCGGCUUGACUUCUUUUGCUUGACAAUCAAGAAAUGCCUUGUUCAUAGCUAGCCAAUCCAUACCAAGGAUCAGAUCAAUAUCAGACUUGCCAAGGACACUUGGAGAAGCCGAAAAUGAAUAGUCGCCCAUCUUGACAAAGAGAUCGCGAACGACCUUGUUGGUGCUGAUGAGAGAGCCGGGUGAAACCACACGCAAGGCCUUGCUCAAAUACUCAGAAUCAAAAUCAUGCUCGGAGAAGAACAUUCUAGACAUGAAUGAAUGAGAAGCACGAGAAUCAAACAAAACCUUUGCAGGAAUAUCAUUAACCAAGAGAUUACCCAUGAUCACAUCAGAGGAGUUUUCUGCUUAUGUUGCAUUCACCAUAUUGACUCUCUCAGAUUUGGGGUUGAACUUCACCAUUGCAUUGCUUGGAGGCUUGACUGGAGGAGGAGGCGGAAGACGAUGAUGAGCGGUGCACUUGUUAGAGUAGUGACCCUUCUGCCCACACUUGUGACAAGUCACCUCUGACGGUGGAUGGAAUUGCACUUGAGGAUUCCCUUGCUUCUAUUGAUGAAACCUUUGAUGGAAGGCUCGGUUGGGUGGGUGGGGAGAACCAGGACCACCUGACUGCUUGAACUGGUGAAUCCGCCGAGGAGGAGGAGACACCUAGUAUUUCUGCUGCUUCAGAACCACGUGAGUUGAGGACGAGGAACUGGAAUCUCUGAAACGCUUCCUUGAGGUCUCCACUUUGAGCAAAGCCGCUUCAGCCCUGAGAGCCAAGUUGUAGAACUUAUCGAACUCAUCGGGAUUGUGCAAGGCAAGGGUCAACUGCAAGUCUUCCUUCAAACCACCUCUGAACUGAUAAAUCUUGCUCUUUUGAUCUGCGAUGUCCUACUUAGCAUACCGAGCAAGCUCAUGGAACUCAAUAUUGUACUUGUACACAGAUGAUCCUCCUUGCUUCAAGCGUCUGAAUUUCUCACGCAUCUCUUCCACGAAGCUAGCUGGAAUAUACUGAGCCCUGAAAUCCGUGCAGCAAUCAUCCCAGCUAAUCAUUAUGUCGCCUCUGGAGUCCUUCAACUGUUGCCACCAUUCUGCUGCUUGACCCUUGAGCUGAAAAGUUGCAAAGUUGACGAAGUCCUCUGGUCGCACAUUACUGCACUCAAAGUGCUUGUCACAAAUCCAGUCAUCUGCAUUGAAAGGCUGGUUACAAGAAGUGAAGGACUUCGGCUGGUUCGCCAAGAAUUGAUUCAGAGUUGCAAACUGAUGUCCACCAUAGUUGAAAUUGCCUAGCUCCUUAUUGUUCCUCUCUUGAAACAAAUGAAGUAAAAUCUGAGUGUUUUCACUGGUUGCAUCCAUCACCGUUUGCCAUGCCUUUGGAGGAGGAGGCAACAACGGAGGAGGUGGCGGAGGAGGAGGUGGUGGAGGAUCAGCACUCGCACGACCCAGAUUCUGGCGGGUUGGUGGAGCCAUCCUGCAGACGGACAACAUGUUAGACCAGAUAUUAACAUUCAAAGAUUAAGCUGAAUCAACGAGCAGAAAUAUGUGAACAAGAGUACUUAGCAAUUGCAUUCGGACAUUAAUUAGUAAGAAUGGUUCCUCAAAGUAAGUGCGGACAACAUCUGAUUCAAAGCCACUCGUAAACCAAGUAUGAUCUAGGAUUGCUCGGAACAAAUGUACGAUAGAGAUUUACAUCCGAUAUUUUUGUGGAUAUGAUCGCACGGGAUUGAUCCUACAGUAGCUAUCAUGUACAGGCCAGUGCACACGACAUACGAAGCGUCCCCGAGUCGUAGCAAGCUACAAGGACUCUUUUCGACACCACGAGAACCGCUAUAAGAUGACCGUGAACAAACGAAUCCACUGAAUGUCGAAUCCCAACCUCACAUCAUGCAUCUGUUGGAAGAUUGUUUUAUAAGUAACUACCUGAGUUCCCACCUAAGAACUCCCAAAAUUUCUGGUCAUGCCAUCUGGUCCACGCAUACAAGGAGUAAUAUAUCAUUCAACUCCGAGCAUCUAACCCGUCCAAUGUAUCACAUCCGUCAACACAUAACCAGAGAUCUCGGAAACUCAUCUAUCUCAGAUCCUCGUAAUCACAAUGAUACUAAGUAUGGCGAUACAUCCGGAACUAUCUGCACCAGUACUGGGGAAGCCUGACUCCUCUCGCCAUUACUAGUAUUGAAGCAAUUUCAAACAUCCUUCAUCCUGAGAUACUAAGAAAUCUGAAUGAUAACGAUGUGCUCAAGAAUUCCCUAGAGCUCAACUCCCCGGAAUAAAAUCAACACAACAGGACGCACCAAGACAGAACUCCAUCACAUCGGUAUCAUAUUGAUUCCAAAAUACCCGCAUGAUCCUAAAAAAAUGAGCGAGAAGACGAGUAGAAUUAAAAUUUACUAAGUCGUGAACCUCACCAGAGCAUAGAAGCGGAGAAAACAUAAACCUACUCUCCGAUAUAACUAAGACUCAAAAUAGUUUUUGCUACACUCGAUUCGGCCAAGUUCGAUCACACGAAGACUCCUAUGGUCGUAAGGCUCUGAUUACCAACUUGUAACGACCAAGAUGCAGCACUUUCCUUAUUUGUGGGCAAGGCCUCAAAAUGGAAAGGGUCACAUCUAAGCGUUUCGCAAUUAGGAUAAAAAUGCCAUUACAUAAAUAGAGAGAUGAGUAUAAGAUUCGGCUUACACUCCCCACAUGCUAAAUUACAAUCCACGCAAGCAUUCAUUAUUCAUACAUAAAAUAGGGUCCGACUACGGACAAGAUAAACGACAAAACAUGCUAUCCCAUCUUUCUAGUCCCACGAUCACAACCAUGCGCGUCUAGUCCUCGGGAUAAGUCACAUACAGCCUGCCACCGUCUUCGUCGAACCCCCACCUAAGCUGGUUAUCAACGGGAACUCCUGCAUCUAGGGUACCUAUACGAGUGGGUGUUUGUAGUAAACUGUGAGCCACGAGGACUCAGCAAUCUCAUGACCUUGGUAUCGAGUCUAACUAAGCUAAAUGGGUGACGUAGGUUAAGUGUUUGAGUUUGCAGCAUCCUAAGCAUAUAUGGUGGCUAAAUUACGAAGAACAAAAAUAACAUAUCGUGGUCUACAUAAGACGAUCGAAGACUAGAAUGAUCACUAAGUGAUCCUGAACACCUACUUACGUCAUUCAUAACCCCACCGUGUUCUCGAUCAGAGAAGGAGCUCUGAAAGAAACAGACACGAUUACGCACUCAGUUGGCAAGUUUUAUUUGAAUUACUUUAAGUCUUCUAGAACCGGAUGUUUACUAAAUAUCCAUGUUUGCCACAUAACCACGGGCACGGCUUUCCGAAAGAUUAAACCCUACAUGGGUGCUCCAACUAGUCCAUCACAAAUUACCACAUGCCGCAUAGUAGUCCUCUACCACGAAACUCGUGAUCUCGUCGGAUUCUGUAGAGGAAAACCUCAACUCUGAGAAGACCCAAAGUCUCAGCGGAAUCCCAAUGUGCAAGAUAUAUCGCUAAGGUAAGACAAGUCCGGUAUGACCUCCCGACGUGUCGACGAUCCCGAUAGGAGCCGCGUAUCUCGUUCUCACGACACGACGGAUGAGCUAUGGUUACCACGCCAAAACACUGAGUUGUCCCGGGGAGCGUUAAUAAGUUUCUCUGGGUUGGACCAACACUCACGAGGAGCACUGGCCCGGGUUGUUGAUUAAAUCCUUGGGGUUGCUGUUCCCUAUGCUUUUUAUUAUGAAGUUAUUAGCAAAUUAACAGCAAAGUUGGGUCCUGUCAAACAAGUCUUAACACUGAACGAUUUAUCGAGGGGGUCCCCAUAACAACCCUGAACGUGUUAGGAGCGCUCAAUUAUGGAAUAAAACACCGGUAGCCGAAACAAAAGCGACAUCAACGGAACAAAUCACCCGACAAAAGGCUAGGCCUUCCGUUAUUUAGCAAGUAUAUAGGUGCAUUAACUAAAUAGCAAUUAAUUAUGAUGAUAUCAAAUGCCCAUGUUAUCACAUGGACCAGCUGGCACCUACAACUAGCAACGCUAACAAAUUAGUGAGUGAGCAAGCCUGACUUAGCCAAACAACAUUUGCUAGGAGGGGAGGUGUUUGAGGUUUCAUGGCAAUGUUUGAUGGACUACAUAUCAUGUGGUAGGCAGCGGAUAUGUAACGAAGGAAGCGUAACACUAAGAAAAAUAAAGGUAGAAAUGGUGUCAAGGUCAUGAUCAUCUUGCGUGUGAUUUCUUCAGAGUGGAACUGAUCCUGAUCUUCCUGCACGAACUCACUGGACUCUUCAAACUCGUUUCCUGUCCUAGUAGCUACCCAAAAGAAGACAAGCAAGAAAUGAAUACCAGCAAGAAGAUGAUGCCACAGACAUAAUGAUGCAUGCAUGCACUACGUCUAACCAUGCACAUAAACCACCCUACACCGAUAUAACUAUUGCCCCCUCACCACAAGGGCACUUCUACAGAAUUUCUCAAAACCAGAAACCAGUACCACCAUUGGAUUCCUUGGGAUUUUCUACCCCAAAUCCAUAUAUCAUACUACCCAUGUUGCAUUCAUAAAACAGCACAAACAAUGAAAGAAAAACUAGCACAGAUCAAACUACAACAAUAUUCAAAACAGGGUUGUUCUUGGGUCUGCCCAAUUUGGCAAGUCCAUAUCUGGACAUUUCCAGAAAUGGAAAUAUUCCUAUUUAACACAAAUAAAUACACAAACGAUAAAAAAAUAACAGGAAAUAUAUGAUAAGGAGGGGGCCCACGUGGCAGUGGCGAGGGCCUCCUCACUUGAUGACAUGUGGGCCCCUGUUGCCCACUGUCACCCACACACUCACACACAACCUCAACACAAGACACACACACUAGAAAAUUACCUCAACAAAAAUAGGUGCGGGGGGGAUUCGAACCAUGCACCUUUGCCCACAUACACACAUGCCACACCCACUGCACUACACGAGUAUAGCUGCACUAGAAGGGGUCGAAGGCCUCCUAUACUAAUGCCAUGCCACUGCUACACUACACACUUAAAACGAAAAUUAAAAAGGGGGACGACGGGGACUCGAACCUGCGACACACUGGAUCUACCACACGCCCCUAAAUACUAAACUAUUGAACGGAAGCUUGGCAAAGAGGGGCAUGUCUCCUUUUGAGCAGCCCCUCUGCACAUGCACACCACCACGCGACGGCCUGAACAGGGGAAGAUGUCGGCGAGGCUACCGGCUCUAAUUGGCUUGGCUGGAUACCGGCGGGGAAUGCGGGACCCUACAGGGUUCCAUUCCCAUGGCUAACGCGGUGGGAGAGCGGCUGCAGCGGCGGCGCAAUGGAGCUACUGCCCCUGGCCAUGGUAGAGCACAACGACGGCGAAGACCAUGCACAACAAGGGAAUGGGCACGCGGGAGAGGGGGAGAAGAAGACGCUGCUCACCCAGGGGCACGAAGAUGAGGACGAUCUUCUCGCGGGAGAGGAAGAAGAGGCGAGGCGGAUCCGCGUCGGAGCUGCACUCGCUCUGGCGACGAUGAGCGGAGACGACGCCGUGGAGGGGGAUCCGCCCUCCUAACGAUGGGAACGGGUUGAUGGAAGGUUCGGCAUCCUCGUGGCCACCUUGAUCUCCACGGGGGAAGGCUGCCGGAACAAGGGGACGCGGGGACGGCGGCGAAGCUCUCUGCUCUCUCUGUGAACCUCUCUCCUCUACUCCACUACUGCAUCUUACCUUGGAGAGGGGGAAAGAAGGAGGGAGAAGAGGAUGGCGGCGGCAGAGGAGGAACGCACGCAUCCCUAGGUCACACCGGGGCUUAAAAAGGGCGACGUUGACAGACCUCGACGUCCGUGCAGUGCCACGCGGCAGCCUCUCUCUUUCUCACGCACUCGGUGACUGAGGAGAGAAGGAGACAACAUCAGAGAAAGGAGAGGGUGGUGGGCUGGCUCGCGAGAAGAGAAGGGAAUGGGCCAGGAAGCCCACUAGCCUCUCACUCUCUCUCAAAACUAUGUGGUAUUUUUAUAUAAAAAAAUAAAACACAACUAGCUUUGGUAUUUUGAGCUAGGGGAAAGAAAAGUUUUUUGUCAAAGUAAAAAUUCUUUUGGAAAUAUAAAAUGAACCUCCUAUUAAUAAAAAUAGGUGGGACAUGUUUUAUUUGAAUGUGGCUCUGUUUUAAAAUAAAACAAACAGAAAAAUAAAUUCAAAUAAGUGUGUGUUUCCACCCACAAAUCUUUGAAAGGGGUUUUAAAUAACUUGAAUAUUUUUAAUAGGCCAAAACGUAAACUUCAAAUCUGCCCUAAGCUAUUUGAAAGGAGAGAGGGUUUUUGGACAUGACACAACUAAGGUUUUGAAGGGCUCUUGUUGCACCCACACCACACUCCACAAGAACAAUCACAAGACACAUGCAAUCACAUACACCACCACACCAAGAUCAACAAGGAAGACAAAAGAAAUAAAUGUUAUGCAUGAUGCAUGAUGCACAUGAAAUGACAACAUCACCAAGUCUCUCAUCCAUCACAUUGCAUCACAAGGUUGCCAAAGAUGGAAAGGAGUUACAAAGAAGGAAGGAAAAUCAUUGGGGUUGUCAAAACUCAUCAUCAGUAUGUUUGAUGAUGUUUUACUUUUGCGCAAGUGCAUGUGGUUGUGAACUGUUGGAAGGUUGUUGUAGCUUAAGUAUGAAAUACUCUAAUUAAUGUAGUGUGCCUCUGAACUAGAUCUACUAUCUACAUGCACUGUAAUAUGUUUAGCUAUGCUUUGUUUCAAUGUAUAUAUUAUGAGUUUAGGUGCUGCAAUGAUCAUGGUAGUUGCUUCAAUGUUGCUUCACUUAUUAGACAUGCUGCAUAAAGUUCCCAUGUUGUGGCCAUGUGCAACAUGAUGUGCCCCAUUUGCAAAGCGUGCAAAAUCAUAGGUUGUGGCCAUGUUGCAGAACAUUGAAUAUUCCAUUUGGUUACAAAAUUUUGAAAAUCUGAAAUAUCGCAGUGAAAUUUUGGACCAUCUUCAAGUGACCCAGAAAUUGUUCCAAAAUAGGUGUCUAAUUAAUUUUGAUACAUGGGGUUAAGUUAAUGGAGCUUAGUAAAGUUAAUGAUAAUUGUUCAUCCUCACACAUUCUAGCUUAAAAUCUAACUUAACUUUGAAGAAAAUGCCCAACCCUAGGGUCCAACGGGGCUAAUUGCAAGUUAACACACGCGCGACAGCAGUUGCCCCCAAACGGGGGUAAGGGCUAAUUCUGAUGAGAGAGGAGUUCGAUACCUCUACCAUGCGCGGUUGAUGACGAGUUGAUGGAUAUACUUCUCACCCCUCGUUGGUUACCCCAAGUGGAAGGUGGUGAUGUAGUCAGCAACAGAUUUCCCUUACACGGGGAUGAUAAGGUUUAUCGAACCAGGAGGAAACGAGGAUCAACAAGUAGGUGUCCGCUGCUCUGGCGCUAAUAGAAGACGUGGACCUGCACACACAACAAAUAACUUUGCUCCCAACGAGUACAGAGAGGUUGUCAAUCUCUCCGGCCUUGUAGUUUGCAAAUGAUCAAAACACAAGCAGGAAUAGUGAUAGUGAUUGUAAUGGAAAAGUAACUGAAAGCAGUAAAUGAUGGAGGUGUAAGCAAUGGUAGUGAUAUGGACCUGAGUCACAUGAUCUUCACUAGUGAUGUCUCUCUACCAAAAGACGAUAAACAACUAUGCAUAGGUAAGCAAAUUACAGCUGGCAAAUGACAGAAUUAUAAACGCACCACAAUGCUAAUUAUGCUACUUGAAAGUUAGAGGGUCAAUAGUGAAAGUGCGUUAUAUCGACUAGAGGGGGGUGAAUAGGAGAUUUUUAGAAUUUCAUCACUGAGGAAAUUCCUUUUGAGGAAAUUCCUCACUGAUGACUAACUUACAGCGGAAACAGUUAAGGAUCAGACGUGCAAACGUUCACAACAGCAGUAUUACAGAGUGACGGUUGUGAAAACAGAUUGCACAGUAAGCAGGCAUGCAGAAUACAGAUGAUGAUUAACUCAAGUGAAGAAUUUGGGGUUGAGGAAAUUUAGAGAAAGUCUUCAGCAAAUUCUUCAAUCAGUCACAGUGAAUGUCAUAAACACAUAAUACAGAGAAUGUAAAGAGUUGAGGAAUUAGAACCCGAUUCUUGGUGAAGACUGUUGUUGAUGACCCCGUUCCAACUGCUGUGACAGUUGUACAUCUGGUUUGGAGCGGCUUGGUAUUGAAACCAAAGGACACCCAGUCCCGGGACACACAGUCCCUACCGUAUUCUCCUUGAGCUAAGGACACACAGUCCUCGCCCAACACUCGUGGUAAGUCUUCAGGGCAGACUUCCAAACCCUCACAAACUCGGUCAACCGGCGAUCCACAAUUGACUGCUGGAUUGCUCUAGACCAUGACGCCUAACCGUCUGGAGGAUGCACAGUCCUCAAAGGUAAAAGGCUUCAGGCCCACACAGGAACAACUUCUUCAGUGAUGCUCAAUCACUAGGUUUGGUUUGUGGUUUCGGUGGGUAGUGUAUUUCCUCACUGAUGAUUUACUCUCGAAGGCUCUGAGGAAUUUGGGUUGCUCUUAUGACAAGUGUCAGUUUCUAACGGAGCAGCCAGCCAGCUAGUGGUUGUGGGGGGCGGCUAUUUAUAGCCUGGGAGCAUCCCACAUGAUUUGACAUUAAUGCCCUUAGAUAAUAUGACCGUUGGAGUGGAUAAGACCAGUGACUUGGCGUGGUUAUCGAAACGGUCGGGACCCUCAACUGUGAGAGUCCUCAUGUCACUCAUAUUCCUCACUUGAGGCUUUUGGUAGGAUUUGGCUUGGGUUGAGCAUCUUGAGGAAAUCCAUUCCAUAGUGUUACUUUGACCCCCUUUCACAGUACGGUGUUCCUAUUCCUCAAAUGCGAAGAAAGUAAAACAGAAAACGUAAAUCUUCACGCUUCAAUUUCUUCAGAACGAUUUUCUUCAGGAACCACCGAUCUUCUUAAUAUCAAAAUCUUCAUGAGGAAUAUCAAUUUCAUCGCAGAUUCCUCGCGAUUCAAUUCUUCAGCUUCAGACCAAAUUCUUCAACUGAAGACGUAUAUUUUUAGGGGUCGAUAUUCUUCAAAUAUCUCAAACUCCUCAAUGACUUAUAGAUUGUGUGUACACUUAUAAACACAUUAGAUACUUAACCUAUAAGUCUUCAAACCACCAAAAUCACUAAGGGGCACUAGAUGCACUUACAAAUAGUAAUGGGCAGUACGCCAAGACAAGUAGACCGUUUAUUCACAACAUAUACUUACUAAUCAUCCACCUUGAGAUAUCUAUCCAGAACAUCUCGCCGAUAUUAAGUUGCGAGCCCCACCCAAAGUGUAAACUCAAAGCAACGGACAACUGCAUUAACGAACUUUGCGUAACGUAAGCAAUCCUUGUAACCACGGUCACAAGCACCGUUGUUUUCUCCCUGGUGGCAACAACACAUCCCCUAGUCGCAUGUUUCUGUCACUCAAGCUAGACAUCAGGGGCAUGAACACAGAAUCAUGCAUAACGCUCCCUCUUGGAGUUACAAUCUACUACUCGGCCAAAGCAAUAAGGAGAACAUGCAUGAAUCACUAAAGAACAUAAUAUAAAAGGAUAAUCAAAUAUAUAACUCAUCACAAUCUAAACAUGAUCUCAUAAUCCAUCGGAUCCCAACAAACCAAGCAUAGCAAUAGCAGGAAAAUUACAAAGGUGCCUUGAUUAUGUAGGGAGCUCACAAGGGCUAAUCAUUGAAGCACAAAAUUGGAGAGAAGACAUCACAUAGCUACUGGUCAUGGACUCAUGGUCCAAGGAGGACUACUCACGUCACGUCCGGGAAGCGUCCAUGGCGGUAGAGAAGCUCCCGGAGGUCAAUCCUCCCUCCGGCAGGGUGUCGGGAAGAGCUCUCCAAACGCUUCCGAUCUCGGAAGCGCUGCUGCGGCGGAACGAUGGAGAAAUUCGCAAUUGUGGAUAUGAUAGAAGGGUUUCCAAUUUGAGGGGUAAAUAUAGGCCAAACGAGGGCGUCACAGGAGGUGGGCCCCACCCAGGCGACCUGUGGGCGCGGCCAGGGGCCAGGCCGCGCAGGGAGGCCGCCUGGGUGGGCCCUGUCUCCCCUCUGGCCCACCUUUAGUGCUCCGGAAGCUUCCGUCACGUUGAUUUUUAUAUAUUUUUCUCGGGAUUUUUGGGGCUCUAGAAUUUGGGUAAAAGCACCUGCAAAAAAGAAAUCAACAUGCAGAAACUCGCACUGGGUGCAAUGAGUUAGUAGGUUAGUCCAAAUAUGUGUAAAAAGAUAUAAAAGUGUAGCAAAUCAUAUAAUAAUAUCACCAAAAAGAUCAUGGAAAAAGCAGAAAUUAUAGAUGCGUUUUGGACGUAUCAGCGGUAUAUAAGCUAGUCUGGGCGCCCCUCCGCUUCCGAGGUAGGACUAAACCCCCUUUGCGGUCGCCCCGUCGUGCAUGGGGGCAUUGCCACGUUCGUGGGCCCGCCAAUAAUGUUAGACCACCGCGGUCGGUCCCCUUCCCCCCUCGUGUGACCUCUCCCCCGCCAACCGGGAUGACCCAUUUCCCACCGGCGAGGUCGCCCCGGCCCGUGGUGCGCGGUGAUACGUCUCCAACGUAUCUAUAAUUUUUGAUGGUUUCAUGCUAUUAUCUUGUCAAACUUUGGAUGUUUUGUAUGCCUUUUAUAUCUUUUUUGGGAAUAACUUAUUAACUCAGUGCCAAAUGCCAGUUCCUGUUUUUCCGUGUUUUUGACCCUUUUCAGAGGAGGAUUUUAAACGGAGUUCAAACGGAACGAAACUUCCAAAAAGAUUUUUUUUCCGAAACACAAGACGAUCGGGGAACUUGAGAACCAAGGCAGGUGGCCACCAGGGACCCCACAAGCCCCCUAGCCAUGGCCAGGGGGCGUGCCUCCUAGGCUUGUGGGCUCCCUGGGCCUCCUCUGCCCUAGGUAUUUCGCCUAUAUAUUCCCAAAAAUUCCAGAAAAAACAGGAGAUCAUCGAAAGUACUUUUACGCCGCCGCAAGCUUCUGUCUUCGCAAGAUCCCAUCUGGGGCACGUUCUGGUGCUCUACCGGAGGGGGGAUUCGGAUAUGGAGGGCUUCUUCAUCAACACCAUAACCUCUCUGAUGAUGCGUGAGUAGUUCACCAUGGACCUAUGGGUCCAUAGCUAGUAGCUAGAUGGCUUCUUCUCUCUCUUGGAUCUUCAGUACAAAGUUCUCCAUGAUCUUCAUGGAGAUCUACCCGAUGUGUUCUUCUUUUGUGGUGUGUUUGUCGAGAUCCGAUGAAUCGUGGAUUUAUGAUCAGAUUAUCUAUGAAUCUUAUUUGAGUUUCUUCUCAUCUCUUAUAUGGAUGAUUUCAUAUCCUUGUAAUUCUCUUUGAGUUGUGGUUUUGUUUGGCCAACUUGAUCUAUGAUUCUUGCAAUGGGAGAAGUGCUUGGUUUUGGGUUCAUACCGUGCGGUGACCUCACCCAGUGACAGAAGGGGUAGCGAGGCACGCAUCGUGUUGUUGCCAUCAAGGGUAAAAAGAGGGGGUUUUCAUCAUUGGUUUGAGUUUAUCCCUCUACAUCAUGUCAUCUUGCUUAAGGCAUUACUCUGUUCGUCAUGAACUCAAUACACUAGAUGCAUGCUGGAUAGCGGUCGAUGUGUGGAGUAAUAGUAGUAGAUGCAGAAAGUACCGGUCUACUUGUCUCGGACGUGAUGCCUAUAUGUAUGAUCAUUGCCUUAGAUAUCGUCAUGACUUUGCACGGUUCUAUCAAUUGCUCGACAGUAAUUUGUUCACCCACCGUAAUAUUUGCUAUUUUGAGAGAAGCCUCUAGUGAACACUAUGGCCCCCGAGUCUACUUCACACCAUAUUUUCAGCCUUACUCUUUCACUUCGUUGCACUUUCCGCCUUCAGAUCUCACUUUGCAAUCAAUCUUGAAGGGAUUGACAGCCCCUUUAUAGCGUUGGGUGCAAGCUCUUUUGCGUUUCCGCACGUACUCUGGACUUGACGAGAUUCCCCUACUGGAUUGAUACCUUGGUUCUCAAACUGAGAGAAAUACUCACUACUCCUGUGCUCCAUCACCCUUUCCUCUUCAAGGGAAAAACCAACGCAAGCAAGUCUCCGUCAACGUGUCAAUUUCUGGCGUUGUUGUUUGAGAAGUAGCACGCGGCACAACUGAUUGUUUAGUCCCACCUUGGAAGCGGAGGAGUGCCGAGACUUGGUUAAAUAGCUGGCAUGACAGGAGUGUUGAAAUCCUCUAUCACACAACCAACCAGCUGAUGAUGAGAUGAUGUAUACACUUCUCGCACCACGUUAGUUACCCCAAGUGGAAGGUUGAGAUGUAGUCAUCAGCAAGUUUUCCCUCACACAGAGAUUGUAAGGUUUAUCGAACCAGGACGACUCCUAGGCUAAACAAGUAGGUGUCUCCGACCCUGGAGCUAGCAGAAGAUGUGGACCUGCACACACAACAAAUAACUUUGCUCCCAACGAGUACACAGAGGUUGUCAAUCUCUCUGGCCUUGUAGUUUGCAAAGGAUCAAAACACAAGCGGGGAUAGUAAUAGUGAUUGCAACGGAAAAGUAAAUGAAAAUGGUAAAUGAUGGAGGUGUAAGCAAGAUAUGGACCGGAGUCACAUGAUGUUCACUAGUGAUGUCUCUCUCCAAAAAUAUGAUAAACAACUAUGCUUGGGAAACAAAUUACAGCUGGGCAAUUAACAAAAAUAUGAACGCACCCAAUGCUAAUUAUGCUACUUGAAAGUUAGAGGCUCAAUAGUAAUGGGCAGUACGCCAAGACAAGUAUACCGUUUCUUCAUCAGCAUCUACUCACUAAUCAUCCACCUUGAGAUAUCUAUCCAUAACAUCUCGCCAGUAUUAAGUUGCGAGCUCCACCCAAAGUGUAAACUCAAAGCAACGGACAAUUGCAUUAACGAACUAUGCGUAAGGUAAACAAUCAUUGCAACCGUGGUCACAAGCACCAUUGUUUUCUCCCUGGUGGCAACAGCACAUCCCCUAGUCUCAUCUUUCUGUCACUCAAGCUAGACAUCGAGGGGCAUGAACCCACAAUCAUGCAUAACGCUCCCUCUUGGAGUUACAAUCUACUACUCGGCCAAAGCAAUAAAUAGCAACGGACAACUUGCAUGAAUCACUAAGGAACAUAAUAUAAAAGGAUAAUCAAAUAUAUAACUCGUAACAAUCUGAACAUAAUCUCAUAACCCAUCGGAUCCCAACAAACCGAGCAUAGCAAUAGCAAUAGAAUUACAUUGAUGCCUUGAUCAUGUAGGGCAGAUCACAACGACUAACCAUUGAAGCACAAGAUUGGAGAGAAAACAUCACAUAGCUACUCGUCAUGGACUCAUGGUCCAAGGAGGACUACUCACGACACGCCCGGGAAGCGUCCAUGGCGGUGGAGAAGCUCCCGGAGGUCAAUCCUCCCUCCGGCAGGGUGCCGGGAAGAGGUCUCCUAACGCUCUCGAUCUUGGAAGCGCUGUGGUGGCGGAACGAUGGAGAAAUCCGCGAUUCUAGAUAUGAUGGAAGGGUUUUCUCUCGGAGGAGUAAAUAUAGGAAAAAGGAGGGCACCAAAGGAGGUGGGGUCCACCCAGGCGGCCUCUUGCCGUGGCCUAGGGCUUGGCCGCGCCCACAGGUCGCCUGGGAGGCCCCUGGCCCCCCUCUGACCCAUCUUCAGUGAUCUAGAAGCUUCAGUUAUGCUGGAUUUUUAUAUAUUUUUCUUGGAAAUGUUUUGGGCUUCGGAAAAUUGGGUAAAAGCCCCUGCAAAAUAGACAUCAGCACACAAAAACUGGCACUGGAUGCACUGAGUUAGUAGGUAGUCCAAAUAUGUGUAAAAUGAUAUAAAAGUGUAGCAAAACAUAUAACAAUGUCACCCAAAAGAUCAUGGAACAAGCACAAAUUAUAGAUACGUUUGGGACGUAUCAACAUCCCUAAGCUUAAUUUCUGCUCGUCCUCGAGUAGAUAAAUGAUAACACAAUAAUUUUUGUGCUGACAUGCUAACACACACAUAAGAACUUCAAAAUAAAACAAGUAAUAUAUGUAAUUCAAGUCAAUACAAUAACAAGCAAGAGUCUAUAUCUAGUAUUGAAAUUAGCAAAGUAAGAACAUAAAGGUGCAAGAGCUCUCCCUGUCCGUGACUCGAAUGUCUCCAAAUGGUGUUUGCGUGCAAGAAGUGGGAGAUGGGUUGAGAUCAUAAAAUAUAUUUUUUAAUUGAGAACUCAAUCUACUAAACCUCAUACUUAGUCUCCUUCGGAAUCUUAUUUUGACUCAUCUCCAAACCACUAGUCAAGCACAAGUCAAAAUGAUCCUCUCCCUUACGACUUUGAGCUCUCAUGAAAUGGAUGAGCGUAAGCAAGAUAUGUUGGUACUUACGAUGGCAAAGAGAAUAAUGAUGGGGAAGGAAGACAAAAAGGUGUGAAAAGCUCACAUCAAUGAGGACAACCAUACACGAGAGAAAGCCAAAUGAUAGAUAUGAUGUGAGGAGUAGGGAUUGCCAUGUAACAGAUGCAUAUAUGAGCUAGUGGGGGUGCAUCCAACUUGUUUGCUCAUGAAGACCUAGAUCUCAUUUGAGGAGGCUCAUCAUUGGAAUAUGCAAACCAAGUUCUAUAGUAUAAGGGUCCCCACAUAGUUAUGCAUGAAUGAUAAUCUCUAUGUAGUACAAAUAUAGCAAUGGAGUACGAGUGUGGAUCUUUCAAAAGGAAUAGUAGUGUUUCCCCCUUCUCUCUUUUUAUUUCUUUUUUUCUUUUUCUUUUUCUCUUUUUUUGUGGCCUCUUUGUCUCUUUAUUUUUAUAUCUCAUUUGUCCUCUUUGGGAUCUUUCCCUCACUUAAGGCCAACACUCUAUGUUUUACAAGAAUAAAAAAAAUCAUCACACUUUAUAAGAAGUACUCAACAUAAAGACAAGUGAAAACUAUCAUGAUGUAUGCAAAUGUAUGCCUCUGCGAGUGUAGCAGGAUAUGCAAUGAUACUAGCACGUCAUGUAGCAAUAAUAAGGGCAAGUCCCAACUAUCAUGCGGCUCCUCGAUCAAGCAAAAGCAUGUAUGGCAUGAAGAUCAAGUCAUGAGAUGGUGGAUUUUGCAUGGCAAUGUAUCUCGGAAAGGCUAUGGAAAUGCCUUAAUAGGUAGGUAUGGUGGCUGUUUUGAGGAAAGAUAUAAUGAGGCUUAUGUAUGACAGAGCGUAUCAUGUCAUGGGUUUGGAUGCACCGGCGAAGUUUGCACCAACUCUCAAUGUGAGAAAGGGUAAUGCACGAUACCGAAGAGGCUUGCAAAAUAUGGAUGGUGGAAGUGCCAACAAUCGAAUACUCACAUUAGUCCGCAGAACUCAUACACUUAUUAUUGGUAACUCUCUAUCUAGUUAGGAAAUUCACAAAGAGACAAGUACCCCGAGGAGGAGUGUUUGGGGGUUUGGUUAUCCUUGUGCAUCCUCGACUCAUGGUAACGUGAGGGCACUCUAUAUAUUCCAACCCCUCCAGAGGUUAGCGAUCAAUUUAGUAGCUAGAGUUCUCAACUAUUUUUUUGUUUUUGAAAAACACAUGGAUUUCCCAAAAUAUGACACCUAUAACUAAUAGGCUCAAGCUCUUGGCACCAAUAGUCCAAACGUUACUCAAAUCAAUACCUCAAAACUAUUGCAAGUUACUACUAUACUUAAAUAGCAACAUCAAUUACCUACUCAUGCAAGACACACAACUUAGUGCAAUGAGCCAACUCUCUAAACAAGAUAAGCAUGGUAACUCAGAAGAGUUCCAAAAUCAACCUAAAUAAUAGCUCUUAAAAAUAUAUGGCAUGAAAACUAAGAGCUAGGCAUGACAGUAGUUACGAAAAGAUAAAGAACACACAAAAAGAUAAGCAUGAAAACCUAUGUUGUGUUCUAGAGUGGAAUGUAGCGUGUUUCUCUCCAAAACAAGGUAGGCUAGAUUCCGACUUGUUAUGAUCAGAAAGCAAAACUAAAACAAACUAAAAAGUAAAGAUCGGGACGCUUCAAGCAUAGCACAUAACAUAUGAAGUGAUAAAAAUAUAGCAUGGAGAUGGACGAACUGAUGAUUGUUGAUAGAGAAGGGGAUGCACGGGGGCAUCCCCAAGCUUAGACGCUUGAGUCUCCUUGAAUAUUACUUGGGAUGCAUGGGGGCAUCCCCAAGCUUGAGCGCUUGACACUCAUGUAUCUUCUUUCAUCAUCUCCCAUCGCAUGCUUGAAAACUCCCUUCAUACGAAACUCAUCAUAAGCUGAUUAGAGUGGUUACUACCCUUAAUAAAAUAAUUCAUUACCUACUGGAAAUGAUUAUUUUCAUGAAAAGCUACUAUUUCUCAUGAUUGCCAAAAGGUUUUUGCAAAGGAAAAUCAAGCUUAAGAUUUGCAAAAUGAUGAAAACGCAAAACAUGGCAGAAUAUGUGAAAAACAGAACAUCAGGUAGUAAAUAAUUUAUUCGGGGCACUUAUGCAACUCAAAUAAAAAAAACUCAGAACAUAUGGGAGAAAGACAAAUAUAUAGAUCUUUUUGUAAAACAAAUUCAGAUAAAAAAGAUGAUCUGGUGAUUUUUGGCGAUUUUUUCCGUUGGGCAAACAAAAUCUGUUUCUGGACAGCCUGUCACAAUUUUUGAACUUUCUUGCGAUCGGAGGCUAUAACUUGACACAAAGCUUAAAAAUAAAGAUACAAUGAUGUUGCUACAGUAGUAACACGCAUCAAGACCACUAAAACUGAAAGUAAAAAACAAAUUGGGUUGCAUCCCAACAAGCGCUUUCUUUUAUGUCUUUGAGCUAGGCAAAAUGCAAGAAGAUCAAGUAUUAUCAAAAGAAUAACUUGCCCGAGUAACGAACUCAUAAGGUAACUUAAGUUCUUUCGAGGGAAGUGUUCCAUUCCCUUUUUAAGGGGAAAUUGGAAUCUAAUGGUCCCCUCUUUCAUGUCAAUGAUAGCACCAACGGUGCGGAGAAAAGGAUGUCCCAAAAUAAUUGGACAUGAAGGAUCACAUUCAAUGUCCAUAAUAAGAAAAUCAACGGGCACAUAAUUAUCAUUGACAAUAAUAAGCACAUCAUCAUUUCUCCCUAUAGGUUUCUUUAUGGAAGAAUCAACAAUACUAACACCAAAAGAACAUGGAUCAUAAGGUUUCCAAUCAAGCAUAUCAUACAUUCUUUUGGGCAUAACGGAUUCACUAGCUCCAACAUCACAUAAUGCAAAGCAAGAGAUAUUAUUCAAUUCAAUUUUGACCAUAGGAGCCCAACCAUCGUCUAGUUUCCUAGGGAUAGAAGUCUCUAGCUUGAUCUUCUCCUCCCUAGCUUUGAUAAGAGCAUUGGUAAUAUGCUCGGUGAAGGCAAUAUUGAGUGUACUAGUGUGGGGGUCUUUAGCCAUUCUUUGCAAAAAGGUGAUAACUUCGGAAAGACUACAAUUGUCAAAAUCAAGGUUACUACCAUUAAUUAAAGUGGUAGUAAUGUCAUCUAAGAUCAUUCUUUUAGUAGUCUCUAAAUUCAAAGGACCUUCUUGUCCUAUAGUUGAGGUAUUAGCAUCACCAUUAAUAGGUCCAUUAGGACUAGAAGUGUGAUGGGUGCUAAACGUUUUGAGAUCCUCAACAACUUGUAUAGUAGCAAUGGUUGUGUGUGUAGGAAGGCUCUUAAUCCUAUCUUCCUCUUCUUUUUCUCUAGCCCAUCUAUUUUUAAGUUUGGCUAGCAUUCUUAUGUUCUCAUUAAUUUGGACUUGGAUAUCAUUCAUGGGUUUUGGUGUUCCUUUCCUCAAGGGGUAAGUUCUAAUUUUAAGCAUCUCUACAUCAUGAGCUAUAUUGUCCACCUUCAAAGAGAGACUAUCUAAUUUUUCUAGCUUCUCUUCUACACUCUUGUUGAAGGCUUUUUGAGAAGUGAUAAAGUCUUUAAGCAUGCUCUAUAAUUCAGAAGUGGAGUUUUUGGUGCUAGGAUAAUUGUUGUUGUUCCCAUAGUUGUUGGAUGGGAAAUGUCUAGGAUUGCUACCAAAAUUAGUCCUAUAACCUUUAUUAUUCAAGUUGUUCCUAGAAAUAAAAUUAACAUCAACUUGCUCUCUUUAUUGAGCAACCAAAGAAUUUAAAGGAACAUCAUGAGGAUCAAUAGGAGAUUGCUUAGUAAGUAGAGUCAUGAUCAUGUCAACCUUAUCAUUAAGGGAGGAGAUCCCCUCAACAGAGUUUACCUUCCAACCUGUUGGAGCUCUCUCGGUGUGCCAUUAAGAAUAAUUUACCAUCAUCUCAUCCAAUAGCUUUGUGGCAGCACCAAGUGUAGUUUACAUAAAGGUUCCUCCCGCAGUCGAGUCUAACAGAUUCCGCGAAGUAAAGUUCAAUCCUGCAUAGGAAGUUUGGAUAACCAUCCAAGUAGUCAAGCCAUGUGUAGGGAAAUUCUUAACAAGAAAUUUCAUACGUUCUCAAGCUUGAGCAACAUGUUCAUUAUCCAGUUGCCUAAAAUUCAUAAUGUGACACCGUAGGAAUACUUUGUGUGUAUCAAACGUCGCAACGUAACUGGGUGACUAUAAAGGUGCUCUACAGGUAUCUCGAAAGGUUUUUGUUGGGUUGGCAUGGAUCAAGACUGGGAUUUGUCACUCCGUGUGACGGAGAGGUAUCUCGGGGCCCACUCGGUAAUACAACAUCACAAUAAGCCUUGCAAGCAAUGUGACUAAGAAGUUAGUCACGGGAUCUUGUAUUACGGAACGAGUAAAGAGACUUGCCGAUAAUGAGAUUGAACUAGGUAUCGAGAUACUGAUGAUCGAAUCUCAGGCAAGUAACAUACCGAAGGACAAAGGGAACAACAUACGAGAUUAACUGAAUCCUUGACAUAGAGGUUCAACCGAUAAAUAUCUUCAUAGAAUAUGUAGGAGCCAAUAUGGGCAUCCAGGUCCUGCUAUUGGUUAUUGACCGUAGAGCUGUCUCGGUGAUGUCUGCAUAGUUCUCGAACCCGCAUGGUCUGCACACUUAAGGUUCGAUGACGUUUCAGUAUAGUUGAGUUAUAGGUGUUGGUAACCGAAAGUUGUUCGAAGUACCGGAUGAUAUCCCGUAUGUCACGAGGAGCUCCGAAAUGGUUCAGAGGUAAACAUUGGUAUAUAGGAAGUCCUGUUUUGGUCACUCGAAAAGUUUCGGGCUCAUCGGUAGUGUACCGGGAGUGCCGGGAGGGUACCCGGGACUAUCCGGAGGGGUGUCAUGCCCCGAGGGGCCUUAUAGGCUAUGGGAGGAUACAAACUAGCCCCUAGUGGGCUUACAUAAUCUCCCACUGAGUCCCAUGAGGUUUGAGAGGCAAAAAAACCCAAAGGUGGAAAGGGUUUCCAAGUGGAAAGGAGGAAUCCUACUCCUAGUAGGAUUGGAGUAGGACUCCUCCACCUCCAAUUUCGUCCAAACCUUGUGCCUUUGAGGCUGCCUCCUCCCCUCCCUCCCUCCUAUAUAUACUAUAGGUAUUGAGGGUUUUUGAGAAAAAGAAAAACAGCCACGUGCUGCCCUCACUCUCUAGAUUUGUUUCUCCUCUAGUCUAGUUUCAGCGGUGCUUAGGCGAAGCCCUGCUGGAAUAGCUCCACCACCAUGCCGCCGUGCUGUAGAACUCAUCUACCUCUUCGCCCCUCUUGCUGGAUCAAGAAGGCGGGGAUCGUCAUCGACCUGUACGUGUGCUGAACGCGGAGGUGUCGUCUGUUUGGGACUAGAUCGGGAUGGAUCGUGAUGAGAUCGCGGGACGGGCUGCGAUUUGGAUCGCAAAGAUGUUCCACUACAUCAACCACGUUAUAUAUGCUUCCGCUUAGCGACCUACAAGGGUAUGUAUAUUCACUCUCCCCUCUCGUAGAUGAUCAUCACCAUGGAUAGGUAUUGCGUGUGCGUAGGAAUUUUUUUUUGUUUCCCAUGGAACGUUCCCCAAUAGUGGCAUCAUGAGCUAGGUUCAUGCGUAGAUGAUAUCUUGAGUAGAACACAAAAGAGUUUGUGGGCAUUGAUGUUCAAUUUGCUGCACUCCUUAGUCUUUUCUUGAUUCGGCGGUAUUGUUGGAUUGAAGCCGCCUGGACCAACAUUACUCGUACGCUUACGAGAGACCGAUUUCAUCGACUAACAUGCAACUUGUUGCAUAAAGAUGACUGGCGGGUGUCUGUUUCUUCAAAUUUAGUUGAAUCGGAUUUGACCGAGGCGGUCCUUGGAGAAGGUUAAAUAGCAAUUUGCAUAUCACCGUUGUGGUUUUGCGUAAGUAAGAUGCAAUCGUACUAGAUACUCAUAGGAGCCACGUAAAACAUGCAACAACAAAUUAGAGGACGUCUAACUUGGUUUUUCACGGUAUGCAUGUGAUGUGAUAUGGCCAAAGACAUGAUAUGAUAUAUUGGAUGUAUGAGAUGAUCAUGUUGUAAUAGUUAAAUAUGGACUUGCAUGUCGAUGCUACGGCAACCGGCAGGAGCCAUAGGGUUGUCUUUAAACUAACGUUUGUGCUUGCAGAUGCUUUUACUAUAUCGCUAGGUUGUAGCUUUAGUAGUAAUAGCAUAGAUAGCGCGACAACCUCGAUGGCGGCACGAUGAUGGAGAUCAUGAUGAUGGAGACCAUGGUGCGGCGCCGGUGACGAUGGAGAUCAUGUCGGUGCUUUGUUGAUGGAGAUCAAGAAGCACAAGUUCAUGUCCAUAUCAUCUCACUUAUGAUUUGGAUGUCAUGUUAAUCCUUUUAUGCACCUUAUUUUUCUUAGAACGACGGUAGCAUUAUAAGAUGAUCCCUCACUAAAAUUUCAAGAUAAAAUUGUGUUCUCCCUGACUAUGCACCGUUGCAACAUUUCGUCGUUUUGAGACACCACGUGAUGAUCGGGUGUGAUAGACUCGACGUUCACAUACAACGGGUGCAAAAAAGUUCCACACGCAGAACACUCGGGUUAAACUUGACGAGCCUAGCAUGUACAGACAUGGCCUCGGAACACAAGAGACCAAAAUGUCGAGCAUGAAUCAUAUAGUUGAUAUGAUCAACGUGGAGAUGUUCACCACUGAAACUAUACUCAACUCACGUGAUGAUCGGACUUGAGUUAGUGGAUUUGGAUCAUGCGCCACUCGAAUGACUAGAGUAAUAUGAUUAGCUAAACUCAAUUAUCAUGAACAUAGUCCAAAUGUCUUUGCAAAUUAUGUUGUAGCUUGCGUUGUAGCCCUACUGUUUUGAUUUGUUCCUAGAGAAAAUUUAGUUGAAAGAUGAUAGUAGCAAUUAUGCGGACUGGGUCCGUAAACUGAGGAUUGUCCUCAUUGUCGCACAGGAGGCUUAUGUCCUUAAUGCACUGCUUAGUGUGUUAAACCCAGAGCUUCGUCUGUAGAUGUUGCGAACAUCUGACAUACACGUUUUUUACGACUACAUGAUAGUUCAGUGCGUAAUGCUUAAACGGCUCGGAAUUGAGGUGCCAAAGACGGUUUGAAACAUCACGGAACAUAUGAGAUGUUCAAAGAGAUGAAAUUGGGAUUUCAUGCUCAUUCCCUUGUUGAGAGGUAUGAGACCUCCGACAAGAUUCUUUGUCUACCAAGUAAGGGAGAAAAGUUCAAUCAUUGAGCAUGUGCUCAGAUUGUCUGAGUGUUGCAACCGUUUGAAUCACGUGGGAGUUAAUCUUCCAGAUGAGAUAGUGAUGGUUCUCCAAAGUCACUGCCACCAAGCUACUAGAGCUUCAUGAUGAACUAUAACAUAUCAGGGAUAGACAUGAUGAUCCUUGAGCUAUUCGCGAUGUUUGACACCACGAGAGUAGAAAUCAAAAGGAGCAUCAAUUGUUGAUGGUUAGUAAAACCACUAGUUUCAAGAAGGGCAAGGGCAAGAAGGGAUAAUUCAUGAAACGGCAAACCAGUUGCUGCUCUAGUGAAGAGACCCAAGGUUGAACCCAAACCCGAGACUAAGUGCUUCUGUAAUGAGGGGAACAGUCACUGAAGAGGAACUACCCUAGAUACUUGGUAGAUGAGAAGGUUGGCAAAGUCGACAGAAGUAUAUUGGAUAUACAUGACAUUGAUGUGUACUUUACUAGUACUCCUAGUAGCACGAGGGUAUUAGAUACCGGUUCGGUUGCUAAGUGUUAGUAACUCGAAAUAAAAGCUACGGAAUAAACAGAGACUAGCUAAAUGCGAGGUGACGAUAUGUGUUGGAAGUGUUUCCAAGGUUGAUGUGAUCAAACAUCGCAUGCUCCCUCUACCAUCAGGAUUAGUGUUAAACCUAAGUAAUAAUUAUUUGGUGUUUGCGUUGAGCAUGAACAUGAUUAGAUCGUGUUCAUUGCAGUAUGAUUAUUCAUUUAAAGAGAAUAAUGGUUAUUCUAUUUGCUUGAAUAAAUACCUUCAAUGGUUUAUUGAAUCUCGAUCGUAGUGAUACACAUAUUCAUAAUAUUGAUACCAAAAGAUACAAAGUAGUAAUGAUAGUACCACUUACUUGUGGCACUGCCGCUUGAGUCAUAUUGGUCUAAAACGCAUGAAGGAGCUCCAUGCUGAUGGAUCUUUGUACUCACUCAUUUUUGAAAUGUUUGAGACAUGCAAACCAUGCCUAUUAUAUAGAUGGAUCGUUUGGACUCACUUGAUUUUGAAUCACUUGAGGCAUGCAAUCAUACCACAUGAGUAAGAUGACUGAAGGCCUCGUUUUUCCAGUGAGAUGGAACAGGAAAGUAACUUGUUGGAAGUAAUACAUUUUGAUGUAUGCAGUCCAAUGAGUGUUGAGGCACGCAAUGGAUAUCGUUAUGUUCUUACUUUACUGAUGAUUUGAGUAGAUACAGGAGUAUUUGCUUGAUGAAUCACAAGUGUGAAAUAUUGAAAAGUUCAAGCUAUUUCAGAGUGAAGAUCGUUGCGACAACAGGAUAAAAUGUCUAUGAUAUGAUCAUAGAGAUGAAUAUCUGAGUUGCGAGUUUGGUACACAGUUAAGACAAUAUGGAAUUGUUUCGCAACUCAUGCCACCUGGAGCACCAUAGUGUGAUGGUGUGUCCGAACGUCAUAAUCGCGCCCUAUUGGAUAUAGCACAUACUAUGAUGUCUCUUCUCAAAAUACCACUAUCGUUUUGGGUUAGGCAUUAGAGACAACCACAUUCACUUUAAAUAGGGCACCACGUAAUUCCAUUGAGAUGACAACAUAUGAACUAUGGUUUGGAGAAACCUAAGCUGUCGUUUCUUAAAAGUUUGGGGCUACGACGCUUAUGUGAAAAAGUUUCAGUCUGAUAAGCUCGAACCCAAAGCGGAUAAAUGCAUCUUCAUAGGAUACCCAAAAUAGUUGGGUACAUCUCCUAUCUCAGAUCCGAAAGCAAAGUGUUUGUUUCUAAAAACGGGUCCUUUCUCGAGGAAGAGUUUCUCUCGAAAGAAUUGAGUGGGAGGAUAGUGGAAACUUGAUGAGAUUAUUGAACCGUCACUUCAACCAGCAUGUAGCAAGGUGCACGAACUUGUUCCUGUGGCGCCUACACCAAUUGAAGUGGAAGCUGAUGAUAGUGAUCAUGUAACUUCGGAUCAAGUUACUACAAACCUCGUAGGUCGACAAGGUCACGUACUGCUCCAGAGUGGUACGGUAACCCUGUCUUGAAGGUCAUGUUGUUGAACAACAAUGAACCUACGAGAUAUGGAGAAGCGAUGGUGGGCCCGGAUUCCGACAACUGGCUGGAGGCCAUGAAAUCUGAGAGAGGAUACAUGUAUGAAGACAAAGUGUGGACUUUGGAAGGACUACUUGAUGGUCGUAAGACUGUUAAGUACUGAUGGAUCUUUGAAAGGAAGACAUAUGAUGAUGGUGAAAAGUCACCAUUAAGAAAGCUCGACUUGUCUCAAAGAUGUUUCCGACAAGUUCAAAGAGUUGACUAUGAUGAGACUUUCUCACUCGUAGCAAUGCUAAAAGUCUGUUUGAAUUAUGUUAGCAGUUGCUGCAUUAUUUAUGAAAUCUUGCAGAUAGGAUGUCAAAACAUUGUUUCCUUGACUGUUUCCUUGAGGAAAGGUUGUAUGUGAUACAACCAGAAGGUUUUGUCGAUCCUAAGGAUGCUAACAAGUAUGCAAUCUCCAGCGAUCCUUCUAUGGACUAGAGCAAGCAUCUCGGAGUUGGAAUAAGUACUUUGAUGAGUGAUCAAAGUUUUUGGUUUAUAAAAGUUUAUGAGAAACUUGUAUUUCCAAAUAAGUUAGUGGAAGCACUCUAGAAUUUCUGAUUAGUAUAUGUGGUUGACAUAUUGUUGAUCGGGAAUAAUGUAGAAUUUCUGCAAAGCAAAACGGGUUGUUUGAAAGGAGUUUUUCAAAGGAAAACCUGGAUUGAGCUACUUGAACAUUGAGCACCGAGAUCUAUGGAGAUAGAUCAAGACGCUUCAUAAAAUUUCAAUGAAUACAUACCUUGACAAGAUUUUUUGAAGGAGUUCAAAAUGGAUCAGUUAAAGAAGGAGUUUUUGACUGUAUUGUAAGGUGUGAUUUUGAGUAAGACUCAAAAAGCCUGACCACGACAGAAGAAAGAGAAAGGACGAAGGUCGUCCCCUAUGAAUUAGUCGUAGGCUCUAUAGUAUGCCAUGCUGUGUAACGCACCUGAUGUGUGCCUUGUCAUGAGUCUGUCAAGGGGUACAAAGAGUGAUCCAAGGUUGAAUCGUUGAACAUCGGUUAAAGUUAUCCUUAGUAACUAGUGGACUAAGGAAUGUUUCUCGAUUAUGGAGGUGAUUAAAGAGUUCGUCGUAAAGAGUUACGUCGUUGCAAGCUUUAACACUAAUCCGAAUAACUAUGAGUAGUAAACCACAUUCGUAUAGUGGAGCAGUCAUUUGGAAUAGUUCCAAAUGGCGCGUGAUAGCAGCAUCUAUAGGAUGACAUAGAGAUUUGUAAAGCACACACGGAUCUAAAAGGUUCACACCCGUUGACUAAAAACCUCCCUCACAAGCAAGACAUGAUCGAACCCCAUAACUGUAUGGGUGUUAGAUUCAUUGCAAUCGCAUAGUGAUGUGAACUAGAUUAUUGACUCUAGUGCAAGUGGGAGACUGUUGGAAAUAUGCCCUAGAGGCAAUAAUAAAUUGGUUAUUAUUAUAUUUCUUUAUUCAUGAUAAUCGUUUAUUAUCCGUGCUAGAAUUUUUUUUGAUUGGAAACUCUAAUACAUGUGUGGAUACAUAGACAACACACUGUCCCUAGUGAGCCUCUAGUUGACUAGCUCGUUGAUCAAAGAUGGUCAAGGUUUCCUCCCAUAGACAAUUGUUGUCACUUGAUAACGGGAUCGCAUCAUUAGAAGAAUGAUGUGAUGGACAAGACCCAAACUAUAAACGUAGCAUAUGAUCGUGUCAGUUUAUUGCUACUGUUUUCUGCAUGUCAAUGUAUCUAUUCCUAUGACCAUGAGAUCAUGCAACUCCCGGACACCGGAGGAAUACCUUGUGUGUAUCAAAUGUCGCAACGUAACUGGGUGACUAUAAAGGUGCUCUACAGGUAUCUCCAAAGGUGUAUGUUGGGUUGGCAUGGAUCAAGACUGGGGUUUGUCACUCCGUGUGACGCAGAGGUAUCUCGGGGCCCACUCGGUAAUACAACAUCAUAAUAAGCCUGGAAAGCAAUGUGACUAAGAAGUUAGUCACAUGAUCUUGUAUUACGGAACGAGUAAAGAGACUCGUCGAUAACGAGAUUGAACUAGGUAUAGAGAUACCGAUGCUCGAAUCUCGGGCAAGUAACAUAUCGAAGGACAAAGGGAACAUCAUACGGGAUUAACUGAAUCCUUGACAUAGAGGUUCAACCGAUAAAGAUCUUCGUAGAAUAUGUAGGAGCCAAUAUGGGCAUCCAGGUCCCGCUAUUGCUUAUUGACCAUAGAGGUGUCUCGGUCAUGUCUGCAUAGUUCUCGAACCCGCAGGGUCUGCACACUUAAGGUUCGGUGACGUUUCAGUAUAGUUGAGCUAUAGGUGUUGGUAAUCGAAAGUUGUUCGAAGUCUCGGAUGAUAUCCCGGAUGUCAUGAGGAGCUCUGGAAUGGUCCGGAGGUAAGUAUUGAUAUAUAUGAAGUCAUGUUUUGGUCACUAGAAAAGUUUCAGGCUCAUCGGUAGUGUACCGGGAGUGCAGGAAGGGUACCGUGGACCGUCGGGAGGGGUGUCACACCCCAAGGGGCCUUAUGGGCUGUGGGAGGAUACAAACCAGCCCCUAGUGGGCUGACAUAAUAUCCCACUAAGGCCCAUGAGGUUUGAGAGGCAAAAAACGCAAAGGUGGAAAAAGUGGAAAGGGUUUCCAAGUGGAAAGGAGGAAUCCUACUCCUAGUAGGAUUGGAGUAGGACUCUUCCACCUCCAAUUUUGGCCGAACCUUGAGGGUUCGAGGCUGCCUCCUCCCCUCCCUCCCUCCUAUAUAUACUAGAGGUAUUGAGGGUUUUUGAGACACAAAAAACAGCCACGUGCUGCCCUCUCUCUCUAGAUUUAUUUCUCCUCUAGUCUAGUUUUAGCGGUGCUUAUGCGAAGCCCUGCUGGAAUAGCUCCACCACCACCAUCCCGCCGUACUAGAGAAAUCAUCUACCUCUUCGCCCCUCUUGCUGGAUCAAGAAGGCGGGGAGCGUCAUCGAGCUGUACGUGUGCUGAACGCGGAGGUGUCGCCCGUUCUACACUAGAUCGGGAUGGAUCGUGAUGGGAUUGCGAGAUGGAUCGUGAUGAGAUCGCGGGACAGGCUACGAUUUGGAUCGCAAAGAUAUUCCACUACAUCAACCGUGUUAUAUACGCUUCUGCUUAGCGAUCUACAAGGGUAUGUAGAUUCACUCUCCCCUCUCAUAGAUCAUCAUCACCAUGGAUAGGUAUUGCUUGUGCGUAGGAUUUUUUUUUGUUUCACAUGCAACGUUCCCUAACAACUUCCCAAUAAAAGCAUCUUUGCACUUAUGCCAAGAAUCUAUGCCAUUCCUAGGCAAGCAUUGAAGCCACACUUUAGCUCCUCCUCUCAAGGAGAAAGGAAAAAAGCUUAAGUUUAACAAUAUCACCAUCUACUUCUUUAUACUUUUGCAUAUCACAGAGCUCAACAAAAUUGUUCAAGUGCAAAGCAACAUCAUCUCCAGCACCGGAAAAUUGAUCUUUCAUAACAAGGUUUAGUAAAGUAGGUUUAAUCUCAUAGGACGUGGCUCCAGUGGCGGGAGCAACAAUAGGAGUGUAGAUAAAGUCAUUGUUGUUGUGACUAGUGAAGUCACACAACUUGGUGUUCUCAAUGGAACCCAUAGCAGCGGCAACUAGCAAGAACGAAGCAACUAAUAUUUUUGUGGGUUUUGGUAUAAGACUCUAAAGCAAAAACUAGAAAGCAAACUAACAAGACUAAAAAGCAAAGGUAAAGGAUAACGUGCAACUCCCCUAUCUUGAAGAAUGGAGCCACCGGCAACGGGGCCAGAAAACUUUGCUUGAUGACGAGAUGAUGUAUAUACUUCUCGCACCUCGUUGGUUACCCCAAGUGGAAGGUUGAGAUGUAGUCAGCGGCAAGUUUUCCCUCACACAGAGACUGUAAGGUUUAUCGACUAUGAGGACUACUAGGCUCAACAAGUAGGUGUCUCCCACCGUGGCUCUAGAAGAAGACUUGGACCUGCACACACAACAAAUAACUUUGCUCCCAAUGAGUACAAAGAGGUUGUCAAUCUCUCCAGCCUUGUAGUUUGCAAAGGAUCAAAACACAAUCGGGAAUAGCAAUAGUGAUUGCAACGAAAAAGUAAAUGAAAACGAUAAAUGAUGGAGGUGUAAGCAAUGAUGGUGAUAUGGACCGGAGUCACAUGAUGUUCACUAGUGAUGUCUCUCUCCCAAAAGACGAUAAACAACUAUGCUUGGGUAAACAAAUUACAGAUAGGCAAUUGACAGAAUUAGAAACGCACCGCAAUGCUAAUUAUGCUACUUGAAAGUUAGAGGCUCAAUAGUAAUGGGCAGUACGCCAAGACAAGUAGACCAUUUAUUCAUCAUCAUCUACUUACUAAUCAUCCACCUUGAGAUAUCUAUCCAGAACAUCUCGCCGGUAUUAAGUUGCGAGCCCCACCGAAAGUGUAAACUCAAAGCAACGAACAACUACAUUAAUGAACUAUGUGUAAGGUAAACAAUCCUUGCAACUGUGGUCACAAGCACCGUUGUUUUCUCCCUGGUGGCAACAACACAUCCCCUAGUCUCAUGUUUCUGUCACUCAAGCUAGACAUCGAGGGGCAUGGACCCACAAUCAUGCAUAACGCUCCCUCUUGGAGUUACAAUCUACUACUCGGCUAAAGCAAUAAAUAGCAAUGGAGAACAUGCACGAAUCACUAAGGAACAUAAUAUAAAAGGAUAAUCAAAUAUAUAACUCAUAACAAUCUGAACAUAAUCUCAUAAUCCAUCGGAUCCCAACAAAUCGAGCAUAGCAAUAGCAAGAGAAUUACAUUGAUGCCUUGAUCAUGUAUGGCAGCUCACAAGGACUAACCAUUGAAGCACAAGAUUGUAGAGAAGACAUCACAUAGCUACUAGUCAUGGACUCAUGGUCCAAGGAGGACUACUCACGGCACGUCCGGGAAGUGUUCAUGGCGGUGGAGAAGCUCUCGGAGGUCAAUCCUCCCUCUGACAGGGUGCCGAGAAGAGGUCUCCUCACGCUCCCGAUCUCAGAAGCGUUGCGGCAGCGGAACGAUGGAGAAAUUCGCGAUUCUGGAUCUGAUGUAAGGGUUUUCUCUCGGAGGAGUAAAUAUAGGCGAAAGGAGGGCACCAAAGGAGGUGGGGCCACCCAGACAUCCUCUUGCCGCGGCCUAGGGCUUGGUCGCGCCCACAGGUCGCCUGGGAGGCCCCUGGCCCCCCUGUGGCCCAUCUUCAGUGAUCUGGAAGCUUCCGUUAGGCUGAUUUUUUAUAUAUUUUUCUUGGAAUUUUUCGGGCUUCGGAAAAUUGGGUAAAAGCCCCUACAAAAUAGAUAUUAGCAGAUAGAAACUGGCACCGGGUGCACUAAGUUAGUGGGUUAGUCCAAAUAUGUGUAAAAUGAUAUAAAAGUGUAGCAAAACAUAUAACAAUGUCACCUAAAAGAUCAUGCAACAAGCAGAAAUUGUAGAUACAUUUGGGACGUAUCACCAGCCCCAUUGGAUCCUGCUGUUGGGUUUGUAGUGGGCCUAUUUGACUCAUUUGGGUGAAAAAAUAUGCCUACUACAGGUCCAGCGGCUGCUGUAGGUCAGCCAAUUUUUUUUACAAAGUUCGAACAUAUAGAGAACAGUAAUAUUAAGCACUAACUAGCAAAAUAAACAACUAUAUAGCUAUUUUUUGAACACAACAAUAUAGCUAUGCUUGGUCUCACUUAAGCCAGUUUUUGUAGAGAAGGUGAUUUUUUGGACCAUCUCCAAAUGACCCCAAAUUUGUUAUACAUGACCAAAUACAUGUGCCAAACAUGGAUAUGAAAGAAGAUUUCAAAAUAAAUUUAGUUAUCAAUGCCCCAUUAAGCUAUAGUCUUAUUUUUUCCACGGUAGGUCUAUAGGGCAGUAUAAAUUGGAAAAAAUUCAAAAAAAUGUAUAAUCUUCAAAACCUAGCUAUGGUUGUGUAAUAGAACAUCCCUCUAGCCUAUUACCUUUCUCCAUCUCUUCUUUGCAUAACUCACAAAAAACGGUUAUGUGAUGUGCAUUCCAAUUUGCCUUUUCCUUUUCCAUCUAAUUCAUAACAAAGGUUUCAAGCAUAUAACCUAAUUUCCAAACACUUUUAGUGCACAUAUUUCUGCCAAACAAUACUACUAGCGUGAGAGCUUGACCACUAGUCCACCACCACCAGCAGGGCGUGACCAGCAGUAAAGAGGAGAAGGGAGGCGGAGCUUGACGGGGAUCACGGGGCUCACCUGUGUGGGAGAAGAAGAGCACGGGGGGGAGGGGCAAGAUCCACAACGCGAGGAGGUCGGAGGCCAACGGCCAACGACGCGAGGAGCGGUGCGAGAAGGGGUGCGAGAUCCACAGCGCGAGGAGGUUGAAGGCCAACAGUUGGCGGUGUGAGGAGGGCCGGUGGCUCGAAGAGCGGUGCGAGGAUGGGUAUCACGAUAGCGGAUGGGGGCGGGGCGGAGGUGCCGACGGCGCGCCGGUCGGGACGAGGAGCCACACCGACUGUCAGCACAUGGUGGUGGCAUGGAGAACCCUAAUCGCCAGAGAAGAGGUGAUGAGAGUGAGUCCUGUCGAGCAGGGUGAAUCGGGUCGGGUCGUGUGGAUCGAUUGGAUGGUAAACAUGGGUAAUUUCAGUCGAACUUCAGGGGUAUGUUAGAAGAGCCACGCAGCGGAAGCCACGAAAGCACCUCCGCGGCCGAUUUCUCUCAUACGUGUAUUUUCCGCCGCGCUAUGAUGGAAUCGAGCCGGUACUUUUGCCCUUUGGUUAUGAUUCGGCUUUCGAGGAGCGGAAUCCAACUAGAAAAGCUAAACCAAAUGGGGUGUUCGUCUAAUCUACUCCCUGGUUCUGAACUCCGUGUUGAAUCAAGGUUGUGCUUAGGGAAACUUCAACGGGCCGACCCAAACGAACGACGAUUUUUUCUGCUUUUUGUCUGUUUGGGUCGGCCGCCCGCCCAGCGUUCGCCCUGUUUUAGAUUUGGGUCGGCACUGUGCCCAAUGCGUCGAGCCAUAUGUGCCGGCGUGGCCGGCUGCCACCCUAUUUCAACAAAUAGCUCAUUUUUGCAUUGCUUUUGCAUUCAAACAUAUAGUAAAAUAAAAUAGCAUAGUUUCAACCGAAUAAAAUAACAUAGUUUUACAAGUCCAAUAAAGAAGAUACAUCUAUUGGUUGCCAACAUGAGCCCACAUAUGCUCAACCAAAUCAUUUUGCAGUUGCACGUGAGUUUUCUAAUCACGCAUGUCAUGAUGAAAUUGGAUGAAUUGUUCAAACGUUGCCGCUCCGCCAUGCUCAUGCACAACAUUCUCAUCCUGAAACUGAAACCCUUCAUCGUACAGACGUUCUGGACGCUCAUCUUCUACGAUCAUAUUGUGCAUGAUCACACAAGCAGUCAUCACCUCCCACAGUUUCUGCGUGCUCCACGUAUUAGCACGAUACCGAACGAUGCCCCAUCAAGAUUGCAAAACAUCAAAGGCACGCUCGACAUCCUUUCUAGCACUCGCUUGCUCUUGGGCAAAACUUUUCCUCUUCUCCCCGACAGGAUCAGCGAUUGUCUUGACAAUAGUGGUCCACUGAGGAUAGAUACCGUCACCCAGGUAGUAUCCUUUAUCACUGUGGCCGUUGAUAGUAAAGUUCACAGGCGGGUUGUUGCCUUCGGCAAGCCUAGCAAACACCGGCGAGCGCUAAAGCACGUUGAUAUCAUUGUGUGAUCCGGCCAUGCCAAAGAAAGAGUGUCAGAUCCAUAGAUCUUGAGACGCCACGGCCUCUAAUAUGACAGUGCAAGCCUUGACAUGGCCAUUAUAUUGCCCUUGCCAAGUAUAAGGGUAGUUAUUCCACUCCCAGUGUAUACAGUCUAUGCUGCCAAGCAUCCCUGGGAAGCCCCUGCUGGCAUUCAUCACCAACAAACGAGUUGUAUCUUCAGGAGUCGGCUCUCUCAAGUACUCAGGGCCAAACACAGCAAUAACAGCCUUGCAGAACUUAUAGAGGGACUCUAGGCAUGUAGACUCGCUCACACGGAUGUACUCGUCAUUGAGAUCACCAGGCACUCCGUAUGCAAGCAUUCAGAUGGCGACAAUGCAUUUCUGAUAAGAGGAGAAACCAAUCCUUCCAACGGCAUCCUCUUUCUACUUGAAAUAGCCAUCGUAGCCGACCACCCCCUCUCUAAUACGAUUGAAAAGAUGCCUACUCAUAAGGAAACGAUGGCGGAAUUUCUGAUGUUUGAACAACGGAUUUGUUGUAUCAAAGUAGUCCUUCCAAAGAAGGAGAUGCCCGCUCUCUCGGUUGCGACUCAACGUCGGACGGUGGCCCGGAAUGGAGCCACGGAACAACGGCCGCUGGCUAUUGAGGUGGCGAUGGACCAACACGGCAGUCAAUAUCUCCUCCUCGUCAUCGGACGACGAAUCGUCGGAGUCACAAAGGAAAUUGUGAAAAAAAAACUCGUCGACGGAGUCCAUUUUGUACCUUGGCAAACUGUCGAACAGCUUGCGGGCGUCGACGAAGGAGACGAACGGCGAAGGGAGUGGUCGGCGUCCGGCGAGCGUGCUGGUGAGGCUCUGGCCGGAGCAGCGAGGCGUCUUCUUGGUCGCGGUCGUGACCGGCGGCUGGCAGAGUCGCCGGAAAAAAUGGGCGGCGACGGCGACGACGAAGGGGGCGAUGGGUUCCUAUGCUCGAGGUAGGCGACCUCCUCCGGGCGCAGGGCGUGGGGAUAGACGACGGGGGGCUUGCCCUUGUUUUGGGCGGAGCCGGCCAUGUCCGCUGGCUAGGGUUUGGUCGCCGGCGAUGGAGCAGAGAGGUGGCGAGAUGGGGACGGGGUCUGCAUGCAGAUGAGGCCGACCCCCAUCGCACGCUUGGAUUAAUAAAGGCCGACCGCGGUCGCUGCCGCGUGGGCCCGUGAAGGAUGGUUGUCAUUAAUUAAGUUGACCGUGGGUAGUUGAACAAUCAGUGGGUGUGGAUGGGGCGGACACUAAGAAGAGACGCGCGCGUCCGCUUCGCGUUCGUGUCGACUUAUUUCAGUCCAAAAUUUAGAUCGAAAAUGGAUCGCGCGGAUGCGAAGCAGACACGUUUUGACAAUGAAUUCGUACUUUAGGCCGUUAUAUUUGACCGCACGAAUCCAAACGGACGACAACAAACGAAAUGAGUCGCUUGUUUGAAGUUGACUAGUAAUAAUGCACGUGCAACGCACGUAUCCGUCAUUAAAUAUAAAUAUGAGUAUGCUUAAAGUAUCCGAAAUUUAAAAUCCUUGUCCUAGUAUAAUUUAUAAUAUUUUUUCAUAAAUGGGAACCUAUCUAGAAGUGUUCUAGUAUGAUAUUUCGGAGAUAAAUUAUAAUUGAAUAUAAAAAUCUUAACAUUCCUUUUAAAAACCGAUAAAUGCAUUAAGGAAACCAAAUGCUAGGUGUAUGCAAAAUGCACUUCACAGAUUUUUACACAUGUCAAACCCUAUGUCGAAUACAGAUCUGUCUUUGCAAGGUGCUCAACAUAGAAUGUUUUUCUUUAGAGUAUUUGCCUAAAAAAACUACAACAUCACAAACUGCGGGCUCAUAGAGAAAGAUCGGUUUGAUAUACUAAAGAGGAAUUUAAUAUUAAUAUGAAAAUAAAUGAGGUUACAUCUGCUUUUAACAUGGUAUACAUAUACAAUCCCCCAAAUACAAAUAGGACUAUUCAAACAAGACUUCAAAUCAUAAUCUGAAAAUGAGGAGGGGCACCUAACUUUGGUGGCAAACAGAGCACAUGGUCAAUCUGACCUGAAUAAUCACAUGCACCUGUGCAAAUGCACGUACAAACGCUGCUUAUACUAUAAUCAAGUUGUUACUAUGUACAAAUAACCAUGUCAAAAAAUAUUGCAUGGCGAUCAAAUAUUGUAAAUCAACUACAUAGGUUCACAUUUUCACUCAAAAAACAGGACAAUGAAGCCAGGAAACACUGACACUGGUGUCUCCAAGCAGUUUAAAGCAAAAUCCUGCCACGCAAUGACCUCACUAUGCGUGUCGCUGAUGUCGGUUGCGUCUUUGUCUUCCAUGCAUGAUAGAAUAAAUUUAUGGGGCAUGAAGAUGACAAUAACUGCACGAGGAUCGCCCCAAGCUAAGCUACGCUCGCCUGAAUUGGAAUUUGGCAAAGAGCAUUGUUGUAUCAUCACUUAUGUCAUAAUUAGAAUAUAUGACAACCAUCUUGCAAACAGAAUAUUCACUUUAUCAGUUUUCGUAAGAAAAAUUGAAAAUCACAAUCCAUCAGUGUGUUAUUCCAUCUAUCAACACAAGGCCAUAAAUUUUAUUUAACUUUGAAUCCAGAUUUGCCUGUUUAUUAGCAAAAAGAGUCUAUAUUUGGAAAAGGAAUCAUUAUAUUCGAAAAUGCAUUUGGAGAACUUCACACGAAAAUAAUAAAGCACUGUAGUCAAAUAAACUGGAGAUCGUUGGAAAUAAUAGUAAAAUUGAUCACGAAAAAAUGAUUAACAGAGUGCUUGUAAGGUAUCACGACAUGUAAGGCAAAUGCUUCCCUAAAUAUAAUACGACAAAUGUUUUAUGCGCACCAAACAUAAGUACUAAAUGACUUGGGUCCAACAGUUCUAGAUGUGUAUUACCUUUUAUGAAGAUUGACAAAAAAAUGUAGCAAACACCAACAACAUUUACUUGCUCCAAGAAUGAUGAUAGAUGUGAAUCGUGUGGAAGAGCACACAUAACCAUGUAAAGCAUAAUGUCGAUACAUGAAACAUCUUGAAUUUUCUUGAAAAAGGACACAAGAACUCUUAUUAUGUCAGCAAACCUUCAGUCUACAACAUAUGUUUAUCGUAACACAGAUUAAUCUCAAGAGAAAACAUACUAAACAAUAAAUUUACCAGCAUAAGGCAAGGAAAAUAUUUUCAUUCUUGCGCAUAUAUCAGCAUUGAACAUAAUAUUAAGAAAAUGAUACUAAAGUUCAUAUGGAGAGAGAAACACAACGUUCCGGAGUGUAGACACCAAAAAGCAUCUCCGAGUGAAGAUGUACUUACUUUAGGCUCAUUUCUGCAAGACUCGAUACUGUCAAUAGGAGAAGACGGAUCUUGUGAAUUUCUUUUAUACGUGGUCUCUCUAUGGAUAUAGUAAAGGUUGAGAAGACGUACAAUGUCAAUGAUCUUAGGGAGUCCACACAUUAUUGGUAAUAGUUUCCCAUCAGUCUCAAAAUACUAUAUCAAAGACAAAUAAAGUUCUCUUUGUACUUCGUAACUUGAAUGUGCCCAAAUAUGUGGGUUCAGGUUAAUUUGUGGAAGAGAAUAUUUUAGUAAAGCUUAGGACAUACCUGAAAGAGCGGAUAGGUUAGUAAUAUACACAUGUCCAAGCAAGAGCCAUAUAGAGAUCACCAAGUUUGUCAAAAAAUUCAAGAUGUACAUUUGUAGAGAAAGGGUCUUAAAAUUUAGUACCUGCGGUGAAACAGAUUUUAGCAAGAAACCUAAUGUAUCAGAAAAGGAAGAAAUACAGAGGCACUGUCGACACAAGAAUUAUGUCCUCCAGCAAACGCUGCGAGCAUCACUUUGUACCGUCCAUGAUGGUUGACUCAAGCUUGCUCUUUUCAACAUUAUCAAUUCCAUAAGGCACGUUGAACACAGUCCUAUUAUUGUUGCUCCCUAGCUAGAACCAAAAUCAAACAAAGGAGAGACAUGGUGUAAUGAAUGUAAGUCUCCAGACAGUACAAAUCAGAAAACCAAAUCGCAAAAUCCCAGCAUCUACUUUACUGCGAGGAGCUCGCCGGUGUCCAAAUUUAUCCCGAGGUAGACAACGUACCGGAGCCGAUCAUCUCGCCCUUGCGCCAUCGGAUCGGCGGGAUCUCUCCUGCACGUCCGCUCCCAUUGACACGCACGGGCAUCUCCGGCAAGAGGCGGCGCGUCGGUGAGGGGCUCUUGGAGAUGAGCUCGAGCAGCCCCAUCCCCUAGUCCCCUAGAUUAUAAAUUAUUGUUUUAAUCACUUGAAAAGCACAUGAAGGCUUUAUUUCUUCCAAGUUUGGUAGAAAGAAACUGGUCAUGCAAAUCCUCUAGAUGAUAGUCGACCUUAACAGCAUAUUGAACAUCAAUCUUACCAACUUGGCAACUUGCUUAGAUGCCCCAAAAUCGGCAAGCUUAAUGCAGCCUUUGCUAUCAACAAGAAUGUUUGCACGCCGAAUUAAAAACAAUCCCAUGAUCAUGAAGAUGAUUAGCACAACCAAACAAUCAGUGAUACAAAGAUUCUAGUAUAUGUUGAGGCUUCAGAGUUUUUACCUUAAUGUCUAUGUAUCAUUGCAUUGUUAUGCAGAUAUUCCAACCUUUGCAAAAUAUGACUGAUAUACUUCCUAAUCACCUGAUCAAAACAUGCAACGAAUCAAUUUCUCUUCUGUGAGUCAAAUUACAGUAAACAACACGGAUUGAUGGUUACUUACUGCCUCUAGGAAUGAACUGAGUUCUCCAAGAAGCGAUUGGAUAGACCCACCAGGAACAAACUCCAGCAGGAUAUUCAGUGUGUCUUCCUCACGCACAGUCCCAAGGUACCUCUUCUCAAACCGAAGAGAGUAGAUCAAAGAACUACUUUACUGUGAGCAUCACUCCGGUGUCCAGGUUGACCUAUUGAUCUCCUCAUCUGUCGACCUCCUCAUCUGUCAAUCCUAACUCAGCACACCAAGCCUGCUGCUGCCAGGACCGGCAAUUUUUAUAGAUCCGCAGAAUAACUAAAUCAUGUCACGUGUCAGCAGCUUCCUGCAGUAUAUUUUUUAUGUCUACCCACACUUAAAUUACAAAUGCAAGAUUCUACACAUCAACCAUUUUAGCCUUAGACAUCAGGAAAUCAUUUGCACUCAGAAUUCUCUAUUUUGCAGAUUUUCGUUAACUGAAUUAUCAUGUAGCAAACACAUGAAGGAAAUGCGUUUUGUGCUUGCCCACCUCCACCUACUGUUCCACAAUUGCUAUCAAAUAUACUAAGUAUCACAAAUAACGCAUGGCAAAGUGACUACCUUCUUGUCCAGCCGGGAGUUUAUUGGUCAACUAACCGAUGGAUUGCUCGGAACCCUCCGCCGCGGUCCAUCAUCUGCCUUUGUCGCGGGCGCCCCCUCCGCCGCACGGAUCUGCCCGUCGGUGCUUGGUGCCGCCAUGGGGACAGCUGACCUGCUACCACGGUAGACAUGCCCGCCGACGCCCCCUCCGCAGCACCAUUUGGGGAAACCUGGUGGAGCCGAGGAAACCAAGGUAGACAUGCCCGAACGCGCCGGAGCCGACGCCACUGGAUUAGCGGGAUCACCCCCGCUCGCCCGCCCCCGUCGGUGGGCACGGGCGUUAGAGGCAGCAGGCGGUGUGGCGGCGAGGGGCUCUUGGGACGGCGGCGGGGCUGGGCAACCGGGGGGGAGGGUUGCGAGGGCUGGCGGGGCGAGGCAAGCGUCGAGCGACGGCGACGGCCACGCGAGGCAAGCGUUGGGCAAGCGGGCUGAGCGGGGGCGGCGGCGGCGGCUGCGCGAGGCAAGCGUCGAGCGACGGCGACGGCGACGCGAGGCAAGCCGUGGGCUAGCGGCCUGAGCGGGGGCGACGGGGGCACGAGGCGAGCAGGUUGAGCGAGGAGGUGGAGCACGGUCAGCCUUAGUUUAUUUGGUAAAUGCACACGGUGGUGUUGCGUGGUGGUGGAAGGCGGUUAGAUUAUAAUUUGUUGUCUAAUUGUGUGGUGGUGAUUGAUGUUUGUUUUUGUGGGGGUAAUAGUUACGUGAACCUAGAGAAGUUUUCGUUUGAUCUUCUAUUAGUAGUAUAGAUGUGAAGGGUUGAAUUUAUCAAGUCCGAUGCCUAAGUUACCGUCGCCCGGGGCGACAGCAAAACGUACAACACACUGGCAUUGGAGCAAGGUGACAGAACGUGGACGAUUCAUGACCUCUUCGUCUCAUCUACUCCCUGGUUCUGAGCUCCGUGCUGAAUCAAGGCUGUGGUUAGUAGUACUGUGCUACGUACUACAUGGACACGAGCUAUCACAAGGCAAUGUCAGUAGCAGGAGAAAAGUAGUCCGAGCUCUUCCCUGAAAUUGUACCCGACAACCCCCACGCGAGCUAUCAAGUUCGGCACGAGCACAAGCGGCGCAUACGGCGCCCCCUACCUAACGGCCGGACGCAUCCACGAUCCACCGCCCCCGCUGGCAUCAAUUCGCACGGCUGGCACCAGCAAUCUCGUACUAGCGCUGCCUGUGAUGCGAGCGAGGCUAUCCUCGCGUGCGUCAACAAACUAUAGUCAGUCACUUCGUACCUAUCGCCCUAUCUUCCCGUCGCUGCCGGUGUCACCGUAUCAUGUCGCGUUCCGUCGCCGUUCAGCUCCAGGCGAGUGCGGUUGCUGGGGAAUUCCUCAAGUAGUUCACUCUACUAAGGCUUUGUUUAGAACCACCCAUAUUAUAUAAUUCAGUUUUUAUAAUCUAUUAUGUCUUCAAACAGAACAGCUUAUAGUGUAGAUUAUAAAAACUAAAUGAAUAGAUUAUUAAAAACUUAUAAUCUACUCUAUACCAGCUAAAAUCAGAUUAUGGAUUGCUAAUGACCCAUUACCCUUGUAAAGUUGGAGAUAAUUACAUUCUACCACCGACACCCUCCUUUUUUUUGAAAAAACAGAGGGCAGAAAGGUCAUUAUGCAAUGUAAAAUCUGGAUUACAGUUUGUAUAAUCUGACCUCCAAACAUGUCCACCUAAAUUAUUUUUAUAACCAGAUUAUAUAAUCUAUCUUUAUAAUCUAGAUUAUCAUAAUCUAUUAUGGUUCCAAACAGGGCCGCAUGUUAGCUGGGUUGGCGGCAUUGCGGAUGGACCGGAUCUCACGGUCUGCCUAAUUCCUAAUUCCCUUGGGACAGACAUACGUCGCUCCCGGAUUCCGCGUCGGAUUGGUCAUACACAAAUACACUCACAUGAUCAUGCGUGGCAGCCACCUAAUUACGGAGGAGUGGCCGGAGCAAUGCAAUGCAACGCAACGCUGACCCGCACACAUGCGUUCUGCUAAUCAGAUGCACGUGAUGCACGCUACAUGAUUGAUUGAUUGAUCGCCAGCAUAAGCGGGUGUAUACAGAUCAGAGGCGUCAGGGGGCUGCUGGAGCGCGUAUCGGCGUAUCACCCAGAUCAAUGCUUCACACACACGAGAUUAAAAUAGAUCGCGUCCAAAAACACCAUCACUAAUAAAACACUGAGAGGCGGAGCCGAUGGCCGUUGAGCCGUCGCGACGCGCCCACUGAGAAAUCUGGAGGGUGGCGUGUGCCGUGCGGUGGAGGUGGAGCCGAGUCACCUGAUGAGACCGGGUCGUCGUCAGCGAUCCGGCACCGUCAACUCCUCCGGUCAAUUUCCAUCAACUCACCCACUCCUCACCCAGUGACGGCAGGGUCUAGGCCACUUGCUUUGAAUGUGCUGCAGUUGGUAAAAUUGACAAAUUUAAUCCAGGAGUCAAAACAUUUCACAAACUAAAUUAUGUUUGAAAAAAAUUCAUUCAUCCAACCCUUUUGUGUGGCGGCCGACAGUUAUGCGUCACACUACACUGUGUGACGUCUUUGUUUUAGACGUCAUACUACACUAUGUGGCGUCUACGCCUUAUGCGCCACAUUAGGUCUCAAGCGUCACACAGCGUAGCGUCGGGCAUCACACAGUAUAGCGUGACGCCUAAGACAAAGACGUCACAUAAAAGGAUCAGUUGGAUGAAUUUUUUUAAACAUAGCUCAGUUUAGGAAUUAGUCUGAUUUUUAAGUCAAAAUUGUUGAUUCUACCGCUACAGCUACCUUGCAGAACGGCGAGUAUUUUUCAUGUCCUACGUGUGGCGUGGUACAACAUCGACGAAGACACGGAACCGUGACCGGCGAUUCCUCAACCAAACCGGCAGGGGAACAUGGGUGUAAAUUGUACUCGGUCCUCCUCCUCCGUGUUGUGAGAUAUUGACCAACAACAACGGAGUUUAUGAGCACUAGCACACAUCUACAGUAAUUACUCUUGAAGUUAAUCACUAUUAGUAUAUGUCUCUGUCAAAAUUGGAGUUUCUGACUGAGUGUCGGGAAAAAGUAAUCUUUGCCGGAGAAACUGAGCACCUAAGAUUAUACUUUAAUCAUAGCUGCUUUCCAACACAUCCCAUGGUUCCGCUUUUCGCAGCAAUUAUCCAAGCAAGUAGUAAAGCCGAGAUUUACCAAUAUUGCUUUCACUUCCAAACACCUACCGCAAAAUAAAAACACCAGCACCACUCACCAUCAAUCAACAACACAUCAUCAUCAUCAUUCCAAAGGAAGUUUUAUGCUCGACACAAUGAUGUCAUCAUCCUAAGUUAAUCUCCCAAAAAACCUUGUACGCAAUACAGCAGCCGGCAGCCAUCCACCACGUCUCCCGUUUCACGUCGGCGCUGACUCGGAUCCACGCCCGACUAGCUGCGCCCUCAUCGGCUGCGGCGUGGCACGCUGAUAUUUUAGGACGACCGCGACAUUCGCACGCGGGCCCAGGCCGUGAACGUCGACCGUCGACGUCCCCCACAGCUUUGUGCUGGCACAGGCAAGCUCAUUGUGUGUGUGCUGGCAGGCAGGUUAACCUCUAGCUGGAGAAGUGUAGGUCUCCGGCUCUCGACGUCGGCUCAGGGGUACGACGAAGCGGUAUGAUGACAUGGACAUGUCAUAUGUACAGUAUACAUCCAUCUAUACUUAUGGUGUAAUCAAGUUUACUUAUCUAUCUUAAUCAUUCAGACGUGCGAUGUUUGUGUACGUGUGCACUCGAUAUUAUGUAUGACACCGACGUGGCACCUCAGUUCGCGUCGAUCUGUUGGUCCCACUGUAGCAUAGUAGUAGUAGGCAGGAAUCAGUUUUGUCCUUCAGGCAAAGCAAACUCGCAGUUUGUUGCGGCCCGUUUCUUUUCCGGAGCGGAAGGUUCGAACCAUACAUUGAUCGCUCGUAGCGUGGCGCGUUCAGGACCGUCCGCCGCGAGUAGCUCCCGCCACGCACCGCCUCGUCCGGUCAACACGUGUCAGAGCUCUAUAACACGUACCCAUCCCGUACACAGGUGAGGUCGAACGGAGCACAGCAUGGACGGGCCAUCAUGGAGUUCGGUCACUACGUGGCCGGUUCUUCUUCCUUCUCUUUCCUACUCGAACUCGAAGGGGCGUGGCAGAUGCUUGCACUGAUGCAGUCUAUGUUGGCGGGGGGUGUAGAGGGUUAGCGGUAGAUGGGACCUGUGCCUGCAAAUCUAUCCAGCUAGGCACGCUAAGCAGUAGAUAGUGGUGCCACGUUGUUAACUUUUGUAGAGUGUGUGGAGCAUUGAAAUGCCAACUGGAAGGUUUCGCGCACGAUUAAACUUUAGAAAUUAAGUAUUUUAUAAUUUUUUGGAAUCUUGGGCUGACGUGGAGAUUACUAAAAAUUGAUUUAGAUCAGACAAGACCUUAGCGAAACAGAUCCUGGCGUGAGCGUGACAGGGAGCGGAAGGGCCAAACGAUCCUUCUAGAUAAGUUAGGUCUACGUACUCGAUCGGUUUCAAACUAUAAGAUGUGUAUUUCUUUUCCAAAACAUAAACUAGUGCAUGGUUGAUAAAAGCUUUUAGAAAAAAAAAGGUGAGUAUCAAUAUCUACAAUUAUUAGAUUCGUCAUGAAAAGUAUCUUUAUAAUUUAUUUAUUUUAUUUUUAUCUAGAUAAUGAUAUUUGUUUUACAAUAUUUGUCCAAUGUAUUUAAACAAUGAUACUUUAUUCCAUUGCCGCCAUGUUGAGCGUUUAUACGUGCACUAGCGUUUGUAUUGUGCUUAGAGAAAAUAUGAAUUCAAAACAUAUAUCGAUACGAGUUUGCGCUUUUUUAUAGAAAAAGGCUUUCAUCAAAUUUCAUAUGUAAAGCAAUGAUUAUCAACAACUCGAUACAAACACAUGUCAUCGCAACACACACAAACCCAAGGCCGUAUGCAUAGGCGUUGAAUGUUGGAGCAUCAUCGUAGGUACUACAAGAGCAAUCACACUCUUGUAUCCUAAACACGCCACCGCGAAGAUAUGGAGACGCAUACGACGAAACGUGGGCUUAAAGGCGACGCCUUCAGAAAAGAAACGAUACCGGAGCGCCGUCACCGCCCGGCCCGAGGGUAAGAAGUUUUUCCUAGAGCAACACGACGUGCAAUGAGGACCGCAAUGACGCCUUCAAGAAGGAUCGACCUUCUCCGCCGUCGGUCCGUCCAAAGAUAGAGUAGAUUUCACCCUGGCCAACACUCACCAUUGUUGAACGCCACACCCUGGCUACCAUGCCGCCCAGACACCCAUGAUCGUCGGACAACACCAAGCCACAAGCUCUGCCCAUGAACACCGCGCUACCACCACCAGUGUCGCCGUCCUCGCAUUCAAUACCUUGACACCACCUCAUUCGAGACCCACAACUACUCCAACCAAAGAGAUGAGUGGAUUUGGCCCCUCUUUCACACCCCUGGGUGCCCCCCGAGCAUCGAGAUCUAAUAGGUCGACCAAAAGUGGCCUCCAUCGACCCAUCCCGCGGCACCGGGCACGAGACGAGCUCGGUCCUAUCGUUGGGUGCGAGAAAAGUUUGGUCCCGCAGCACCGGGCGCGGGAGGAGCGAUGGACCGUAGUUGGGAGAGGGUCAACUCUUUGACGAAGCUAGCGCCCGGACGAUGAAGAGAGUGAUCGAAGGUCGAUACCAGCCGCUCAUUGACGGGCUGAUGUCGUAGAUGUCUACCUGCCAUCAUGAGACGAACCAUACCACCGCCAUGGGCCACCACCACGUCGUGGCAGCCAAAAUCAACCGAACCGCCCUGUAGCAGCAGCGACGCAUCAUCAAGGUCAUUGUCGCUCCCAAUACCAGGUCGCAACAGGGUCACCGCCAAGCCCCGCGUCGCAUGUUUACCUUCUGAAAGGACGUGGAUGUCGCCUAGAGGGGGGGUGAAUAUGCGCUUUAAAAUAAUUAUGUGUAACGACCAAGAUGCGGUCCUUUCCGAUCUGGGGGUCGAGGCCCCCGAAUAGGAAAGAAGCGCAUCUAAGCGUUUCGCAAGAAAGUGAACAUAGCACAAAAUAAUAAAUACAGUAGACAAUCUGGGAUUCAACUGUCUUCUUAUUAAAAAUACAGAGUACAACGCAGAUACAAACAAGGUAGUUCCGGUACGGACUACAAAACAGGGAAAAUGCUAUGCUACCCGCUGCAGGCCCACGUUCACGACCACGCCUCAGUCCUCGGGAUAGUUCACGUAAAGCCGGUCUGUCUCCUCGUCGUACUGCCACGCCAGCUGGGUGCCGUCGGGAUCAUCUGUCUAUGGGGUACCUGUACCUGCUGGGAGUUUCGGAGGAAUCCGUGAGCCACGGCGACUCAGCAAUCUAAGACCUUGGUGCCAGAACUAGUGAUGUUAUUGGGUAAGGAAGGGAUGAAGUGUUUCAGGCUGCUGCAACCUAUGAUUGAAUAAUUGGCUAACUUACGCAAAAGUGAAGUGAAAGUGGUCUAUGCUAACGAUCGAGAAUACUUGAUCAGAAAGUGAUCCUGAACACCUACCUACGGCAUUCAUAACCCCACCGUGUUCUCGAUCGAGGAGAGAUCUUCGAAGGGACAGUCACGGUUACGCACACAGUUGGCAUUUUUAUUAGUUUACGUUUAAGUUCUCUUAUACCGGAUGUUAACAAAAUAUUCCAAGUUGCCACAUAACCGCGGGCACGGCUUUCCGAAAGAUUAAACCCUGCAGGGAUGCUCCAACUAGUCCAUCACAAACGAACACAGGCCGCAAAGGCAUCCUCUAUCACGAAUCUCGUGAUCUCGUCGGAUUCCUUAGAGGAAAACCUCAACUCUGGGUGAAAACCAAAGCUUCACUGGGAUUCCUAUAUGCAAGAUAUACCGCUAAGGUAAGACAAGACUAGCAGGACCUCCCGACGUGUCGACGACCCUGAUAAGAGCCGCGUAUCUCAGUCUCAGGACACGCCGGAUGAGUCACACUACAGGUAUACCAAACCUCAGGUUGCCCUGUGGUGGCCCCAUAGUCUGCCCAGUUUUGACCAACACUCAUGAGGAGCACUGGCCCGGGUUGUUGAUUAAGAAAUCUCGGGGUAGCUACUCCCUAUGCAGAUUAUUAUUAAGUUGUUAGCAAAUUAACACCAAUGUUGGGUCCUGCCGGACAAGCCUUAACACUACGCGAUUUAUCAAGGGGGUCCCCAUAACAACCCCGAACGUGUUAGGAGCGAUCAUUAUGGAAUCAAACACCGAUAACCAGUAACUAAGGCGGCAAUAACGGAACAAGUCACCCGGCAAAAGGCUAGGCCUCCCGUCAUUUAUAUAGAUACAUUAAUUAAAUAACAGGAUUAAUAGAAUGAUAUCAAGCUCAUGUCAUCACAUGAGUUUAAAACACCUGCAACUAACAAUGCUAACAUUAGUAGCUGAACAAGCCUACCUAGCCAUGCAAAUUUGCUAGGAAAGAGUAAGGUGUUUAGGAUCAUGGCAUAUGAAGAGGCAACAUAUUUUCAGUGGUAGGCAGCGAGCAAUUUGACAUGGAAUCGAAACUAACAUAACAAGUCUAGAGAUGGAAUCAAGGUCAUAUCAUCUUGCCUGUGAUAUCCUCAGCUUGGAAUGGUUCUGGAUCGUCCUGCACGUACUCUCCUGACUCCACGUAUUCGUUCUUCGCUCCCGGUGCUACCCAACAUAAGAAAUAACAGCCAAUGAAUAGCAACACCACAAAAUUCAACAAUCACAUGAUGCAUGAGAUGAAAGUUGAGCAUGCACCACUAUUUCUAUCACUAGCACAAGCAAAAUAAACUACAGCCAGUUCCUGGACAGAACUUUGCACCAACUAUUUGGACAUGCAUGGGGAUGACAUGAACAGAUGCAUAUCAUAAAAACGGUGCAAAACCAUAUAAAGUACAUUGCAAACGGAGCUACGGAUCAACGGGAAUCAACGAUUCAAGAUAUGAAGCUCUACGUGAAAGAUUCAACACCACACACACAAUUGGCACAAAUCUGGUAUUCCCAGGUUGCCAAGACAUAUAUUAACCCAACAUGAAUGAAAUGGAACAAGGUAGAACACCACAACAACAAUUAAGCACAAACUUUGAACAAAAUGGCAAAACUACAUAAUCUGCCAGUUUCUGCAUCUUAGCUGUUUGGGAGCAACAUGCAACAUAGCUACAGGUCUUCAAAUAUGGCAAAUAAUAUAUUUGGCUGUUGCCAACCAAGAACACUACAAGCUCCAGCAAGAAUCACAGCAAAAGGAAUUAAACUCUAGAAGAUACAAGGCCACAAACUUUCCCAAAUCCAACAGUUCUCAGGGACUUAGUGAAAAUUCAUGCACCUGAGUUUCUGUUUCUGUUCUGAAGCUUUUGACAGCAAUCAAAACACAAGCUACUGGACUCCAAAUGACUUGAAAAUUGACAGGAAGCUCCACAAACAUACCAGGUUCAAACUACUAGCACUGAACUAAGUCCAGUUCGCAACAGAAUGACCAGCACAUCCUCAUCUACAGGGGAAGAAAAUGUUUCCAACAUUCCAGACUUAGUGAAAUUUUCAGAGUUCAAAAAUCUGGAAUUUUCCAGCCACAUGCCCACUUUGUUUAGGCAUAGUUUGCACAGACAUGUCACCAAGAGGUAGUUGACACCACUAUGGUGUUGAUCACAAACCCCUACUACUAUCACACAAAAAUUCAUGCCCUUGGGCUCCAUCUAUACCAUGGAAACAAAGCCCAAACUUCAACAAAAUGUAAAUGCAACUCCAUAAGGUAUGCUUCUAAGAUGACAAAUACCUAGGUGAAUCUUAUGUGCACAAUGACAAAGUGACAUGGGGGUUUGAACCCCAUGUUUGUGUCAUGCGCAUCAACAACACCAACACACACAAUACCUCACAAGCACUAGCAUCAAGCUCAACACAAAAUAACUCUAAGUUAACAAGAGAGUAUGCACACCCCCACAUAUGGGCAUGUGAUGGUGCACACUCUCACAAGCAUCACUAGGAUCACUCUAGGACUCAUGUCAUUCUCAAGGAGCAACCCCCUACAACAUUCUACCCUAGCUUAACUAGUAAGCUCCACCUACACAUGCUAACAAGGUAGCCACCUAGUGCAACUCAUCACCUCAAGUACAUGUGGGGAGGGGGAGGCAUCCACCCCACUAAAUCCAUGCAAACAAUUUAAACUACAAGAUCAACUUAGCCCACACCAAAGUUCCAAAGAUGGGGCUAUACAUGAUUAGCUAGUGCAACUUUCCACCUCAAAGCACAACACACACAAAUAGUACGACAUCUAGCAUCAACCCCUAUCAAGGGUAACUCCACUUACCUAAGGUGCAACCACCACAAAUAGCAUCACAAGGGUAGCAAUAUCAUCUAUCACCACUUAGUGUGCAAAACACACACACAAUUAAUCUAACCUGACUAUACUAGCAGGGAAAAGGAAUUAAAAGCCACCUUGCUGCCCAAACACAAGGAAGAGGAAGAACAAUUAAAAGGCAGCAAAAGAGAUAGCAAAAACAAAUAUCAGGGGUCCUGGGAAUCGAACCCAGUACCCCCUGGUACACAAGGCACCACCUAGCCACUGCACCAGCACCACUAUUUCGACAGAAAGGGGGAAGAGAACAGGGAAACAUGUCCCUGCUGCUCUUGCACAGGAAUAACAGGAAAAUCUGACAAAAAUACACAGCGCCAAGGGGGGGAUUCGAACCCACAACCUCUCAUCAGGCGCACACAUGGAACAACCACUGGGCUACGAUGUGAUUACUGACAGAGGGGGAAACUCGAACAAAUAUGCUAUUUGAAAUCGCCCUCUGUUACAGGGAACGCCAGCGACAGAGAAACUGACGGGAUACCCAUGCCGGUGUUGCCGCGCUGCGCUACCGGCGACGAGGAGGUUUCUCUGGCCACGGCGCUGCUGUCGCGAGGGGGGAGGAAGCCCUCCUCUGCGCAGCACACCCACGAACUCUGCACUUUGCAGAACAAGCCGCAACUACUGCAUCCUUCCAUGCUGCUGCUAGUUGAACAGAGAAAGUACGCACCACGACGGACCCGAGCCGAUCUGCGGAGGAGGAAGGAAGGGGGAAGGCGCGGCCUCACCUUGGGGAGAAGAGGGGGCGCCGAUCUGACGGAGAGGAGGCCGGACCGGGGGAAGAAGACGAGCCGAAGAAGUUCCUCCGUAGACCGAAGAAGAGGACGCAGUUCGUCGGGUUCGCGUCGAAGACACGCUCCUGCCCAUUGCUGUGGUCGCUCCCCGACCUCAACAACGGCGGGAACGGAGCGCGGGCAGUAUCCCCAAGCUCCCGGGCAUGGUGGCCGUGCCGCCCGACGAAGCUCGCGGGGGUAGACGCCGGCGAGCUCUCUUCUCUGUCUCUCUGCUAACCCUACAGGAAACUUACCUGGGGAGAAAAGGAAGAGAUGGAGGGGGAGGAAGGAGAUGGCGGCGGCAGGAGGAAACCCUAUUCGAGGGGGAGAGGGCACGCACGCCAACGCAUAUAUAAGGGGGACCUCGACGUUGCUUCUCACGGCGUCAACUCGCCUCUCUCUCUCUGGUUCUGACGGAAAGCAACACGCGCGGGGGGAGACGGCGUCAGGAAGGAGGGGGUUGCUUGCCUGGGCUCCUCGCGCUGGGAGGGAGACCUACUGGGCCAGCACGGGAGGAAGACCUACUGGGCCAGGGAAGGGAAGAAACACACAGGAUGUUUUUCUAUUUAGCUUAAAACACACAGAGAAAAAAAAUAAACCACAAGAUAAGAUGUUGUGACAAAAUCAAAAGGAAAUACCUGCUAGACAUAAGGAAUUAUGGCCCAUUAGAAUAAAAUAGGAAAGCAAUGUUUGGAGCCUUUUGAAAUAAAUGCAAAAACAGAAAUUAAUUUACUGUUUUGGGUUUAUUUGCACCUUUAAAGUUCAAAUAACAAGUCAGCAAAAAUACACCUCCUCAUAAACACAAUUUAAUCUAACCACCAGACAUUUUAAAAUCAUUUUUGGGAAGAAGGAAUUUUGACAUGAGAUAAUAGGAGGGAAAAGGAUUUAAAAUAGCUAAGAGCUUUUGAAAUCCUAGCACUCACUCCUACCCACAUACCAUUAUCACAUGAGCAUCAACACAAGAUAAUAACAAACCUCAACAACACUCCUAACAAGAUCACAUGCAUCUAUAUCACCACAAUACUAACUCCUAGUAGGAACAUAUGCCACCAUGAUCAUGACAUGCAAUCAUAAGGUAUGGCAUAGAAUCAAGGUAUGGCAAAGAUGGUAUGGCAUGGAUACAUUCAUGCAAAGAAAACUAAAAAUAAGAGUCACAUGAAAACACAAGAUCAAGGAGAUGACAUGUUAUGUUAUGCUAAGCAUGCAUGCAAGGAAGAUAUGCAAGGGACACAGGAAAUCAUAGACACAAGUGGCAUCAACAUAUAUCUGACAGGGUGGACCCACAUGCAACAGGUUCCAAAUAGGGAAGGUUCCACACUUGGGGCAUUACAUUAUGGUUUAGGCUUGAACAAAUGCGGAAUAAAAGUAACGUUUAAUUUGUCAAGCACAAAACCUACAACAACUAGGCUCAUCUAUGUGCACCAACAACUUGUGCUAAGCAAGAUAAACAACUAAGUGAUAGCAAGAUAUAUGACAAUAAACAAUAUGACUAUCACAAAGUAAAGUGCAUAAGUAAAGGGUUCGGGUAAGAGAUAACCGAGGCACGCGGAGACGAUGAUGUAUCCCGAAGUUCACACCCUUGCGGAUGCUAAUCUCCGUUGGAGCGGUGUGGAGGCACAAUACUCCCCAAGAUGCCACUAAGGCCACCGUAAUCUCCUCACGCACUCGCACAAUGCAAGAUGUCGUGAUUCCACUAAGGGACCCUUGAGGGCGGUCACCUAACCCAUAGAAAUGGCAACCCUUGGGGGCGGUUACCGGUACCCGUAUAAAUUGCUCGGGGCAAUCUCCAAAACCUAAUUGGAGACCCCGACGCUUGCCCGGAGCUUUACACCACGAUGAUUGAGCUUCAAGACACCACCAAGCUUCUAGGACGCCAAAGCAUCCAUGAAGAACAAUCUCUAGGGUACUAAGUACCAAAAGGUAAUAUGGCUUCUCAAACUUCACUUCCACGUAUCACCAUGGAGAACUCAAACCAAUGCAACUAAUGCAAUGGCAAGAACACACGAAGUGGACAAGUCCCUCACACUCAAAUCCCUCCACAACAAUAAAAGCUACGGAGAAAUAUAAGAGGAAGAACAAGGAGCUCACAAAGAACUCCAAGAUCUAAAUCCAAGGGGUUCCCCUCACAUAAAGGAGAAAGUGAUUGGUCGAGAUGUGGAUCUAGAUCUCCUCUCUCUUUUCCCUCAAGAACAAGCAAGAAUCAUUGGAGGGAUUGAGAGUAAGCAAGCUCUAAGAAGGUCAAAAUGGGGGUAGAACAUGAGCUCAACGGAUAGAUAAGGCCAAGGGGGAAGAAGACCCCCUUUAUAUAGUGGGGGGAGGAAUCAGACCAUUACCCCCACUCACAGCCCGAGCCCAGCGGUACUACCGCUGGGCCCAUGGUACCGCAAAGAUACUACAUGGCCAACCACCGCCAAGAAAGUCUUCGCAAAAAGUCCGACGUAGUACAGCCGCAAGGAUGACGGUACUAAAGUCUUGGAGCGGUACUACCGCUGGGCCAGCGGUACUACCGCCAGCUCUAGCGGUACUACCGCCAGGGCCAGCGGUACUACCGCCAGCUAUAGCGGUACGACCACUAGGGCGAGCGGCACCACCGUUAGGGCCAACAGUACUACCGUUAGGACUGGAGCGGUACUACCGCUCGUCACUGAAACAACCAUAACUUUCGCAUACGAGCUCCAAAUUGAGCAAACCCAAGCUCUUAAGGUCACGUAGAUAUGAAAAUGCUAAUGAUAUAGAGAUGUGAGUCCUCUAUGAAUGAAGAACCGGCAAAAACUCCAACAUCGAAAACAUCAUAGUAGAUGCAUAUGAACUCUGUUUUCGAUGAACUCGAGCUUGUCAUGAAGAUGACCAUAAGUUCUAAAACUCACAAAGAGAAACACCAAAUAAGAACCAAGAAGUAUGAUGCAAGGAUGGAAAUGGUUUGAGCUCUUAACGAACGAUACGAUCGAUCUACUCACUUGAGAGCCCCCCUUGACAGAACGACAAUCUAUCCUAAAACAAAAAACCUAUCAAGGGCAAACCUAUACCUUGCACCUCGUCCUCUUGAGCUAGAUGACGAUGAUCUUGGCUUCCUCAAUAUGGACCACCUUCUUGAUUGUGUUGACUUGAUGAAGACUAGUUGAUUGCUCCCCCAUACACAACAUGGGUGAGCCGCUCUUUAGUAUAUCUUCACAAGUCCAUUGCCACCACAAUGGACGGCAGGCUUCAAGCAUGAUAUCUUCGUGUUGAUCCACUUGAACUUGCACACCGCAAUCUUGAUGAUGAUCACCACUUGACGUCAUCCUUCAUAGGUUGUAUGAUAUCUUCCUCUAGACGCAAGCCCAUGGAGACACACCUAACCCCACAUAGAACUCUCACGAAGACCAUGGGUUAGUACACAAACACGUAAUGGACAAUGCUUACCAUACCAUGGGAUCACUUGAUCCCUCUCGGUACAUCUUGUACGCUUUGUGUGUUGACCAUCUUGCUUUACUCUUUGUUUGAGAUCUUGAUCAACCUUGUGUCUCUAUGACCAUUCUUUGGAUAAUACCUUGAAUACCAUCUUGGUCAUCAUAUAAACUCCUUGAACCCAACAAAUGGACUUCAAGAAGUGCCUAUGGACAAAUCCUAUAAAUAUAACUUAAGGCAACCAUUAGUCCAUAGAAAUUGUCAUCAAUUACCAAAACCACAUAUGGAGAUAUUUAGGACAGUAUAACCGAGCCUAAACGGAGACCUCUCACACCCUCGCGUUUUCUGACCGUUAAAUCACACAUUAGGGUCGUUUUUAACCGUUAGAUAUGCUGUCCUAAAGGACUGCUACUCCACAAGAAAAAUCUAAGACCUGUGGUUCAUGAGGCCUUUUUGCCGGCCCAUUAACCUAUAUGCCAAUCGUGAGAGCCAGCCAGAUUAUUAACCGGUUCGUCUAUAUCGACAGAAUCAUACCAACGCUCCUCACCCGACUUCUCAUCUCUCUCACGACCUAGAGUCCUCGACGAACCCUAGGUAUGUUGUGGCCAUACAGCCACCGCCGAUGGUUUGCCAAGGAAUCCUCGCGCUGGAGGAUGGCAGCGGCGGUGGACAUGCAUGGCCCGGCGGAUGCCAUCAUCAUUGGAGCCGGGGUGGCCAGAUCUGCCCUCGCCUACACGCUCAGAAAGGUGACAUGUUUUUUCCUUACUUCUCCGUCCUUCCAUUCCGCUGGUUAGGCACGAAGUUCUUGUUUUUUUAGACUCGAAACUUAUGGUUCCUGUUUCUUGCGAGAAGGAAGACGGAAUUUUUAUUCAACAAACAACACUGAUUGAAUUUUGUAUUCAACGAGGUUGGGUGUUGGCACUAGGAUCAAAAUUUCCACGAUUUUUCUGUCGGACCUCUUGAUUCAGUUCAGGAAGCCAACUACUCACCUUUUCAUCAAAAAGGUAAUGUGAUGUCUUUUGAUAUGGGUAGAUGUAUGCAAGUCAUGUGGCGGCCCUUGAUCUGGGACAGAUGCAUGUAGUGAAUAAUUUUAAUUUGUCGUAAUUCGACUGGUGUUUUCUUUGCGUGGUUUCCCCUUGGGUGAAAGCUAAGCCUCUAUCAUGCAGCUUCUUAUUUGUUGAUGUUGGGGAUGUGGAAUACAUAUGGUGUUGGGAAGGUGUUCCUUAAAUAUCAUGUCAUGCAAGUCUAAAUAAGAAACAAAUCUCACCCAAAAAGCCGUUGUACAAAAUCGAGCCGUGGUACAAUAUCAUGUGAUGCAGCUUGUCAAAUAAGUUAAAUAAGUUAAAGUGCCCAGCGAGGUUAUUGGUUUAGAUGAUCUUCGAUUGACUGCAUGGGCAUUUUUAUGAUGCUUGCUGCUUGUACACCUCUUUUUUGCCGGAAGUUUGGUAUGAUUUUCAUGAUGCGCAUUUCUUUAACUUAUCCUGGAGUAUUCAUUUUAAAAGUAUAUUUUUAAUUAAUUUCUAUUCAUAUCACAAGCUUGGUAUAUUGAUCAAUCCAUGUUUUAGAUGGUUGAUCUGAACAUUAGAACAUACAUAUUGUUAUGCACACUGCUUUUACUCAAAGCUGGUCAUGUCAUGCUUGAUCUCAGUGUAUAUCUUGGCAAAACCAUAUAGGAUGACAGACGAUUAUUAUUUUGCAAUUAGGAUCACAUUGUGGAGAUAGCAUCAUGAGAAGAAGAAUCCCAGCUUUCAUAUUGUAUCAGGUGAAGUAGUAACCUGUCUCUAGCUUUAUCAUGUCAUCACAGAUGUUUGGAACUUUAUUAUAUUUGAGUGAUGUCCUAUCUUCGUAUUCUAACACUAGCAGGGCACACAAUUCCUACUUGUCUAAUUUAGAGAAACAUAUGGGAACUACGUUUGGGAAAUGUUGUCGGCCUUAGGUUGCUACUAUAAGAAUGGGGUGUGUAUAUGACCACUUUUUUGUUAUGUCAACAAGAUUCAAGGACAACUAGGCGGGAUUUAUGACAUGGCCUUUACAACCUCCUAAUCUUUGUGACCAUCUCAUCUUUUAUUCAGAUCACUACUAACAAAAGAAAAUGUAAUUAUAUUCCAAUUUUCCAAUAGGGUGGACUGCUUGACAAGAUUAUAAGCUGAUGGGACAAUCUUCCUACCGCCAAGUCUAAUCCUAUAAUCCUGCAUGUGGAAUUAUUUCCUGUCUCACCAAAUUAGAUAUUCUCACCACUGAUGAUGAAUACGAGAUUAGUGAGGUAUUGUGAUGCUUUUUUGCCUUCACACUUUUGGUAGAAUUAAUCAAAUAAAAACAUUUUCGCUCAUCGAACACUUAGAGGGGUAUGGUUGAUGCCUUCAUGGUGUAUAUGCAUGAUGUCUUCAUUGUUGUUAACUAAUAAUGUACUAAUUCUUAGAAACACUAAUGAUUAUUCUGUGCACGCGUCUUAAAUGGUUUACAUAGAUGCACUUUCCAAUCAGUACUUGCAUUGUUUAGUUCAUUGUCUUACUUCGGCUACAAAUAAUCUUUGGACGUGAGGAAUAGCAGCAUGAGUUUUGCAGCCCAAUUUUGGCUCACAUUUUGGAUGCCCAUUGGAUAAGGGAAAUAAGCAAUAUAGACAAAUUAGAUGCUUCCAUCUAUAUCUGCUUUAAAAUUAAUAUGUUGUAGAAUGAGAUGAUUUCAUAUAAAUGUUUCUCUUAACUGAAAUGUGGAAACUAAGCUUUUUCAUGCAUAUUGGCAAACCGUGGAGCAGCUGGGUGAAGCUACAUCUAUUUCUCCCUAUAGGAAAAAUAAUUGUAUCUGUUUUUUACUUUCGUGUGCAACAUUAUUGUAGAGCUUACCCAACAUCCAUUUCUAUUUAUAGGAAAAAUAAGUGCCCGCGUGCCUCAUAGGAAGUUCGUCCGGUGCACAAUUAUUUGUUGAAAUGAACAUGAGCUUCUAUAUCAAAAUUAUCACAAGUUAACGCAAUUCCGUUUGUUCUUCAAAUUUAUGACUACUAUUUUUUUGGUUAUAUGCUAUAUUUUAUUAGGAACAAGGCUGAUAAAAGGAGUGAUGUUCUUCUGUGUGUAGUACAACCGUGGAUUAUCAAAAGUUUGCUUUUUGCAACAUGCCAAAAAGCAAAAGGAAUGGCCAUUUCAAACCAAGACACGAAGCAUGAGCAUUUAACCUUGUAUAGUUUCAGUUAAAUAUACUUAUUUAUCACAUUGGGAGUACUUUACAAGAAUUGUAUUGUACACCUUAUAAAUUCUAUAUCAAUUGCUGAUCAAGCUUCAAUGUGUUUCCAGUACUGUUAUUCUUUGAGGCAACCUCAACUCAAUAAGAGUUUAGAUACAGAUUUUUGCUUAUCCAGCCAAACUUUUAUUUUCUCUUAUUGAUAUAUGUAUAAAAAUGCCUAUCCUUCUACUGAAAAAUUGACGGGCGCUUGAGAUCUGAACUCAAACAAACCACAAACACAUUAGGCCUAAGAAAAGAAAAGCUCAACACACUUCUUUCUUGCAAUCUAAUAAGAUUCAUAUAUUCAAUUUUGUAUCAAUAUUUUUCAAAAAUUAAAAGACAAGCGCAAACACGAAAAAGCACAUUACUUCAAAACAUUGUAAACACAUGCAUACAAACUACUGCAAACUCCUAAUAAUUACAAGAGACAAAUUAGACGGGCGCGGCAACGCGCGCCUUCAACGAUCUAGUAUGCUCUAACACCUUCAAGACAUCAUCUUUACGAAGAGAGGCGACAACAAGGUUGAUCAAUACUAAGUCAACGAGUGAAUCAAGUUGAUCAACACACAAAGCGUAUAAGAUGUACCGAGAGGGAUUAAGUGAUCCCAUGAAAUGGUAAAUAUUAUCCAUUAUGCUUUGUGUACUAAUGAGGGUCUUCGUGAGAAUUCUAUGUGUGGUUAGGUAUAUUUCCAUAGGCUUGCAUCAAGAGAAAGAUCUCAUACAACCAAUGGAGGAUGACAUUAAGUGGUAAUCAUCAUCAAGAUUGCGAUGUGCAAAUCCAAGUGAAGCAUCAAGAAGAUAUCAUGCUUGAAGCUUGCCGUCCAUUGUGGUGGUAAUGGAUUUGUAAAGAUUCGUUCAAGAGUGACUCAUCCAUAAUGAAGUAUGGGGGAGCAAUCUACUAGUCUUCAUCGAGCCGGCGAAAUCAAGAAAGAUGAUCCAUCUCGAGGAGGACAACAUCGCCAUCAUCUUGCUUAAGUGGACUAUGCUCAAGGCAAAUCUUUGUCUUUGAUAGAUUUUCUAUUUUACCGGUGUGAGUGCAUGCAUGCUUGUGUGUGUGAUCCAUUGUGUAGAACUGCGAAACAUGAAAACAACAACAAUGAGUUCGCCUUCUUUUAUUUUAAUUAGCCUCUAAUUUAUUUUGACAAUCUUUCCUUUCCACACUUUGACCAAUUUAAUUUUAACGGUUUUGCUGGAGAUGCUUCGAGUUGUGGAAUCACCGGGAACAAUUUUUCAUAUUUUCCAACGUUCACUCUUUUUCUGCGUAAGUGGGUAGCCAUGCACGGAAAAGAAAAUCGUAGCAUGUGGCACCAGCAGCCGGCUGGUGUCGCCCGGAAGACCGAGGUUUCGAGAAACAAUCAAUCGGUCUCUCUACCGUAAAACACCCAAGGAUUUAAUUUAAUUAAAUUCAAUCCAUACUUACUAAAUUAUUAGGCAAACAGAAAAGGAAACCCGUGUGCGAACACGCGCGGCAUUUGCACCCCAUCUCCAGUCCCAGUUUAGUUUUGCGCCGUGGCGACGCGGUCUCGCGAUUUGCGUGCGUGCAUGCGGUAAUUGAGCCGGAUUUUCGGAUAAGAAUAGAUAAUCCCGCCAGCCUGUCUGCGCGCACCCUGCCGUGGAACUCUCCAGGCGCGACGGGGGCUUCGCUCCAGCUGUACCCCACUCCCUGCACCCACCGCACGGGCCCGUACACGUGGACCGCCCUCCGGUCGCCCACACCCAUCAGCCCCCCGUGCAGCGGACAGCGUCCACGGACAUCCCGUGUUAAUGGCGGCCAUUAAUCCACAUAGUACCGCACCGAGAUAUUAUCGCUGAGCAUUAAUGAACGUGCCCUCCGAGAUAUUAUCGCUGCCGCGAAGCGUCACAGACAGGUCCAUCCCGGAAGGUAUAAAAGAAUGUAAUUACCAAGUAGUUUCAGGGGGUAGAAAGGCAGCCCAGCCCACGAAACCCUAUCUACGGCCCAUUAACCACCCCCCGCCCUCUCGCCGUCUAUUUAUUCCCUUCGCCGACGCUUCCUCCGUCCGUCCUUCCGGUUUUAUUUAUCUCCCACCUUUCCUCUCCGACGACGCAUUCAUUCAUCGCUUUUCUGUGAAGCGGAACAAAUUCCCGGAGGAUUCCAUUCGUAGACGGGCGGCUGUGAUCACGAGCUUCCAUUACGGGCGCGGAAUCAUCGGUGAUCGGCUUCUUCGCGGGAUUCGGUUCCAUCUACAUACUACUACUACUACAAAGGGUGUCUGAGGUCGUUGCGACUGGAGGAAGCGGGGAGCCAUGGGGGCGGGGGUCUCGAGCUUUUUAUUCGGCGUUGGCGGCCCGGCGGCGGAGGCUGCGCCGGGUGCUGCGGGCCUGGGCGACCUGCCGGAGCUCUGCGCCGCGCAGGUGCUGCUCCGGCUCGACGCGCCGGAGAUCUGCCGCCUCGCGCGGCUCAACCACGCGUUCCGCGGCGCCGCGGGGGCAGACUUCGUGUGGGAGGCCAAGCUGCCGGAGAACUACCGCCACCUCAUCGGGUACGUCGAGGGCGGGGGCGAGGAGGGCAGGCGCCGGCGCCGCCGGGCCGGCACCAAGGAGAUCUACGCCAGGCUCUCCAGGCCCGUCUCUUUCGACGACGGCACCAAGGUUAGAUAUUCUUCUACAUGAAUAUAGGUCC